RNAcentral lists this long non-coding RNA (99893 nucleotides) under Olea europaea subsp. europaea. Lineage: Eukaryota; Viridiplantae; Streptophyta; Magnoliopsida; Lamiales; Oleaceae. The record is from RNAcentral.
UUACAAUAAAGUCAUCACCUACAAAUAUUUAAAUUAAUAUCAUAUUUUUUUCCCCUACAAAUAGCUCGAAAAUAGAUUGUACUAGCAUAAUUAAGAAAGCAUGGGCAAAUGCAAUAGUAAAGUUGAUAUCUUUACCGUCCUCCUAAUCUGUGGUAAACUUCUAAUUCCUUGUCCUUUAUAAUUUUUCUUCUAUACAUGUAUUAUUGUGCUAAAUUAUUCUUUCUCAACCUUUUCUUUAUGUGGUAUUUGUUUUGACACAAUGUCAAACUUAUAUUUCCUUCUAUAUCUGGGCAUUUUACCCGCCUAAUCGUGGAACCAGCCCGAAAGGAACCNAAAUUCUCAUUGAAUCAGUUUCUAACUUUUUUUCUGAAAACUGCCAACAACAGUUUCUAGUGUACGGAUAAUAUAUACAUACAUUUAAAUAAUAAUGCUUUCGAAUUAAAUAGAACACUUUAGUGCGACCACAUUCCAAGCGCUAAUAUCAUAUAACUCAAUUUAGGCAUUUUAAGUCUUCGUUUGUCUCCCUUUAAAACAAAAACGUUUGAAUUCUCAUACUCAUUCUCUGUCAUGCAUUAACAUUAUAAAAUAUUUUACAUGUAAACCCAAAUUUUUUUUUUGUACUUUUAAUGACACAUUUUAAUGUUUACCAUUCAAACAUGAUUUUUUCAAAAUAAUGACUACCAAACAGGAGUUAAAUAACAUUGAAAGAGCUAAUGUUAUUAUUACCAUUAACAAGAUAAAAUUCACUAUGAAUCUUGAUCGGUAAUCUUCUUAUUUCACGAAAAUAUAUAUUGUAGCUUCAUUUUCAAUAUAGAAACAUAAGGGAUGACGUCUUCUCCUACACAAACUGACAAGAUAUAUAUAUUUUUUCUAUCGGGAAUUAAAAAUAAAUUUGUAGGUUUGAAAAGACAUUUGCUUAAGUGCCAUAUCUCUAACUUGUGCUUUUUUUCAUUACAAUAAAGCCAUCACCUACAAAUAUUUAAAUUAAUAUCAUAUUUUUUUCCCUACAAAUAGCUCGAAAAUAGACUGUACUAGAUAAUUAAGAAAGCAUGGGCAAUAGUAAAGUUGAUAUCUUUACUCUCCUCCUAAUCUAUGGUAAACUUCUAUUCCCUCCUAAUUGUGCUAAAUUAUUUUUUCUCAACCUUUUCUUUAUGUGGUAUUUGUUUUGACGCAAUGUCAAACUUAUAUUUCCUUCUACAGCUGGGCAUUUUACCCACCUAAUCGUGGAACCAGCCCGAAAGGAACCGACUCCGUUUUACUUAGGUCAAUUUUGUUGCUUGAUUUGUUGAUUUUUAGGCUGGCUUUGAUCCAACACAAAAAAAUCUCGUUUUGGUAUUUAGGGUUUUUUUUUAAAAUAAAAAUUCAAGUAUAUUUUACCCUUGAAAAUAAAUCGACUUUGAUUGUUUUGAAUCUGCUUUUAACUAAUGUCAUAUUAGUUUGAGUUGAGGUUUCGCCCAACCUUAUGAACCAUAAUAAUGCAACUAAAUGAUAUGAAGAUACAUCAUUUAAUCUGUAAAUAGCUCAGCAGCUGAUAAUGGAGUCGCAUUUGACGGCUUAUUGAUUCAAAAGAUGCAUUUGAUGCCCGUUACACAUCUUUUUGAUACUCUUGUGACUAGAGAUUCUAAUUCCAAACGAAUAAAUUAUUUUCCAUUAUAUAAGAUCAAGUUUGAAAAAGAAGCAGAAUUGAAAUUACUGCGAGUUUACUGCAGUGUGGUCUAUAGUGCAGAUGCAGAUAAAUUAGGACCAUCGCAUUCCUUUAAAAUCGAUCUGUGUGGAAUGAUGCAGAAAGUAAAAAUUCCUUAAGGAGAUGCAAUUAGAUCCUUAUUUGGAUGUAGAAAGUGCGCUUAAAUUCAUAUAUUUUUUGAGCCAUUCUGCUUGAAAAGAAAAUUGAUCUUGGAAAUGUACUAUUGAACGAUUAAAUUGCCAAUGAGGAAUUUCAAGCUAAUAUGGUGAAGCAAAAAGUGGAAAAAAAAAUAAAAAAAUCACCAAAAUUGCACGAACCUUUGUCGCAUGUUGACUAAGGAGAAUUUGACAGUUUUUGACAAGAUAAUGUGCAAUGACUGAUUCUUCUUGUUAGUUGAAGAGUGAAAAAUGGCUAGACAUAUAGAUAACGAUCCACAAGUGAGAUAUGGAAGUGUUCAGGUAUUAUACCAUUGCAAUACUGUCGGGAAAUAAGUUGGAUGGAGGUAAUAUGACACAAUUAUCUCAUCUGACAUGACAUUUACAGUUUUCUUGACCAAGUUGCUAGAAAUUGAACUCGGGCUAGGGUUCAUUUGAAAUGAAUUAUUAGAAUUUCCCACCUCGGUUUUUUUAGUUUGGGCUGAAUUUAAAUUUAAUGAGUUCCCAAAGCUACUAGUAUUUGACAAAGAGAUCAAUUUGUGUACUUGGUAAGUAGACAUUGUCGGAGUACGGGGCCUUUCGCGCCUUCUUUUUCCGGGUAUUGGUUGUGAAAGGAAGUCAUUUUGGACUAAAUUGGGAUGCAAAUCAGGGUUGUUUGUGUUGGAUUUGGAAUUGAAAUUAGGGUCUGAGGAAGGUAAAUGAAUGGUUAAUUGCACGGGAUUCCUGGACUCGUCAGUGCCAUGAGAAUGAGGGGUUUGAUUUGAUGAAUCCAUUUGAGUGUUUCGCUGAGAGGGCUUCACUUUGUAGAAAAUUUUGGCUUUCCUGCGAGUUGCUAAGGAGAGGUGGAAAUAGUGGUAAACAUCAGUUUUUCGAAGCAAGAAUUCUAGUUCUUCCAGCAUUAUUUAUUGGGAAAAUUGCAGCAGUGGUGGGAUGGGGGGAAGAAGAAGAUGAAUAGUAAUUUCUUUUAUUUUUAUUUGGUAUAUUAGUUUAUUUGUUUUAUUAUAGAAUUAAAUAAUAAAUUUACCUUUCUACCCUUUUAAGCUGGUCAAAAAUUGGUCAAAAUUCAAUUUUAUUUGUCAACUAACGGUCAAACGGACGGUUUCCAUCCAUUUGAACCCCCAUGCAUAUUUUUGAAAGGUUCGGGACUGUGGGUGGCAAUUACAUUUGUUUUUUACAAACUCACCUCUUGAUGGCGAUGGUGCUUGACGGCGACAGGAGAUGGAGCGUUUGGACUCCGGGCUGUUGAGUUUUCUAAUUUCAACUGUGGAUUAUGGAAUUUCAUAGGAGCUUGUCGAUUUUUUAAAACCUCAUUUUCCAACGGAAACCGAAAAUCGUUGAUCCUGAUGCAGCGACACCAUCGGAUUUGUAGGGUUACAUUUGAGGAUUUCUGUGGGCUUUGGAGAGAGGAUUUCUGUGGGUUUUGGGGAGAGGUCGUUGGGGGUGAUGUUUGGCUUUUUCCACUUUAAAAUGUGGCUUUUUUUUCUUUUUUUCAAAUGUCAUGCCAGCCCUAUCUUUGAGCUUGUAUUCUACCCGGUCUCAAUAGCAGGAUUGUUUUAUUUAUUAGUUAUGAUUUUGAGAUCUGAUGGGAAUUGACUGUCACGUGUAGAUUGGAUAGGGAUCAAGUAGCUUUUGAUUUUAUGUAAAAUUUGGAUUGAUAAUUUUUGGGAGAACGCCUUAGCAGAUUUUUGUAUCUAUCAAAAUUCAAUUUUCCCUUUCCACUUUAAAUACCGUGCAAAAGUACUCAUUAUCUACCCAAAAAAGUGUAGAUACAUGUAUACGGCGAUAGUAACACCAUAAGUAGAAGGUAAAGAAUUGGAACAUGAUUUUGGUUUUGUCUUUCAAAUUUAUUUGAUCUAACGAAAUAGGAUAAUGAGGUGUAGUUAUUUUUAUCACAUUUAAAUUAUUUUCCGGUGUUAUCAAAUUAUUAUACUUAUGAAAGUUAAAGAUAUGAUAUGAUAUAUAUGAUAUUGCCAUCCAUUACCAAGGAUAUGAUAUGUAUUGAACUGUUACUAGUCCCUAAAGUUAUGAUAAUGGUAUGAUAUUUUUGAUGCAUAAUUUAAAUAUUUAUAUUCAGGAUUGUACCAUUAUUUUCAUGUCCUACUCAAUAUCCCCCACAUACUCAUCAUUUUUCCUACCUCUCACAGGUUAGAAUUGGUCGUCGAUUGAUGGGCAAUGAGAUGCAGUUGUAGUGAUUGGAUUCACUGGACUUAAUAAAUUAAAUUUGGUAUAAUGUGACUAUAAAUUUUAUUUUCAGCAUUUAUUUUAGUUUUAUUAAUAUUUAGAUUUGUAAUUUAGGAUUUGGAGCAUGUUUUAUUUUCUUAUUUUUUUCAUAUGUUCUAUUUAAUAUUUGUGGAACCAAAAUUUCACGUUGUGAUGUUUGAUAUGUUUUUUUAAUUAUGAAAUGAAUAAGAUAUGGCUUAGGAAAAUCCUCGUUCUUCUUAAAUUAAAGAAUAUGGAAUUAAUCUAUAUAACAGUGAGUAACCUACCAUUACAUGAUUUUAUAUUUAUUGCAUACCAUUUUUUUCAAAAGCUUAAAAUGAAACUUUUUGUAAUGAUUUAAAUAUUAAAAAUUUGGGUCGUUACACUAAUUAAGCAUGUUUUUAAUCUUUCUUUCAUGCCGAUAUGAAAUAAAUACACUGGCAAAGCUGAAACUCUUGUCCUUAGAUAUUGACCUGCACGUAAAAGAGGUCCUUACUCCAAUUGAGUUUCCCAAGGAUUGUAUUCUUACUUAGUUUUAUAAAAUUUGUUGUGGCAACAUGUUGUUCGAUAGAUUUGGACAAUAAAAUUAAGAAAAGGUAAAAGUAAUGUUCAUUAUGUGGUCAGGAUCAUAUCCACUAGUCCAUACCAAAUAUGCACGGAGUAAUUUGUGUUGUUAGUUAAAGAGAAAAAUGGUGAGUACAUAUUGAUAACUAUCCAAUGGUGAUAUAUAGAAGUGUUCCAUUAUAAGUCAAUUCUAUAGACCCUAGACUUAUUCAGAAGUAAAGAAAAGGAGUCCAAUUACAAGUAUGAAGGGAAGGAAUAUGACAGUUUACUAUCAGAAACGAGGUCUAAGAAGAUCAAGCAGAUUUUGUGAGUAGGAAGAGACUAAUACGAGAAUAAAAUAUAUUUUUCGCAACUAGACUUUAAUUGACCAUCCAAAAAGCCAGCCAAAACGCUCGUUCAUUGACUAAUUAAAAUAAUUAGUUGGCAAUAUCUUUGCCGACGAGUUUUUUUUUUGUUCAACCCUCAAAACUUAGCCCAUGACAACGACAUUUGCCAACCUAAAUAAUUGUUGUCAUCCAAGAGGAGACAUAUUAGCCGACCAAAUGAAAUGGGUCUAUGAAUAUCUUAUUUUUGUGCCAAAAUAUUUGACAACGGAUAUGGACGCAACAAUAAAUGGUACUAUUAGACCCAAAAUAUCAUUUAGCUAGGGUAAGAAAUUGCUCCAUUUCCGGCCGUGAACAUCUUAUAUCUCUUAUUCUGGUGUCCUCCGUCUCUCUCGAUUUCUGGCCAUCCCAGGUUAGUUUACUUUAUCUUUCCCUUCCUCUCUUUUGCAUCUCUAUAUAAACUAAUGCCCUCACUCAGCAUCCCCAAGGGAUAUUUUUCUUCUUGGUUGAUGAAAAAACAAAGGGAGGAUUGGGAUAUUGGUGUUAGUGGUUGUCAGUAGUAGUUGUAUGUGGGAUAUUGGUAUAUUGGGCUCUACUAUAUAUUGGAUAUCUCCACACGAAAAAAAUAAAGGGGAUGGGGGCAAUUUCGUAAUUUUUCGCGAAAUUCGACUGGCUGAUCGGAAUCGAAAUCCGCGCCGCCCUGGGGGCAAUUUCGUAAUUUUUCGCGAAAUUCGACUGCCUGAUCGGAAACGAAAUCCGCGCCACACCGGGGGCAAUUUCGUCAUUUUUCGCGACGGUGUCGGAAUGGGACAAUAUGGCAAGCUUAUGCUUACAAGUAAUCGGCACAAAAUUGAUACGUUCUUUUGCAAGAAAAAUUUAGUAGUGUUAAUACGUUCAAAGUUCUUCAAUACGGUUUUAGAAAUUUUUAUAACGUUCAGUGACAAGUAACAUAAUUAACUAUUGACACGAUAGUACGCUGGGAUUAGUUUUUCUCUUUUAUGUUCUAAUUUUAGAAUGUGCAAUGCACGUAAUCAGCACGAACUUGUUACAAUACGCUACAAGUUCUGUUUGAUAUUGUUAUGCUUUCUGAACGACAAAGUAAUAGAUCCUCUAUUCCGUGUAUGAUUUUACAGAAGGGAAUAUUGUGUUAGCAUUGAAAGGUCAAAUGAAUACUUUAUACAUUUGCAAAAUCAGUCAACUGCUUCGAAAGAAAAUGUCGAUGAAAACAACAUGCAUAUUAAAUAUGACAUGCUCUAUUCUGUGCAAUGCACAUUAAAUAUAUUAGAAAAUGACAAGCUCAUAAUAACAACAUGCAUAAAGAACCUGAGAAACAAGAUAUGCUAAAGAAAAAAUGGGAAGAGAAAAUAAGGGAAGAAAUUGAGUGGCAAAAUCAGGUAAGAUGGAAGGAAGAUAGAGCUAACGGAGGAUGAGCAUAUAUAACCUCCGUGGCCUGGACACUUCAAUUAGAAUCAUGUGUUUUUGUCAGACAUAUGUCAGAUACUGACAGUUCUCGAACACUUAGAAUCAUGUGUUUUUGUCAGACAUAUGUCAGAUACUGACAGUUCUCGAACACUCCACCACGGUAAUGUUUUUCUUUGUAAUAAAUAUUAUUUAUUUUUUACUUAAAUAUUUUUUAUUAAAUAACAAAUAAGUAGUCAUAUUUAAAAAUUUUCGAAAUAAAAAUUAAUGACAACUAUAAAACUAAAUUUAUACUAUAUAAAUAAAGAAUUUUAAAGAAUAUAAUCAACGUGUCAAGUUAGUAUUUUUUUGAAAAAUCUCAUAUCGGCAUGUUUGACACUUAUCAUGUCCGAUACACGUGUCAGUGUUGGUGCUACAUAAUCUAGAACUGAUGGAGUUAGCUGCUCCAAAAGUUACCUUCAAUUGUUUCUCUUGAUUAUGAUAACAUGCAUGCAAAAUCUCUGUCAUUUCCAGAAGAUUUGUGCCCAUUUACUCCGAAGGCAUUGAGAGUGAAGAAUAUAUUUCCUAUCUUUGGCCUUGUAAUGUUGAUUAUUUAGUCCAAUCUAUCCAUGACUAUGACUUAAAGACGCCUGGUAUGUUACACAUUUCUCUUCUAAAACUAACCGUAAAAGAUAUUGAAGAUGUUGUGGGCCUUGAACAAAUCAAUAUGGUGAUGUCAAUCCUGAAGGUGUACAUCCUCAGCAUUCAGAACUGGCUGAAGCACUUAAAUCUGCUGACAUGUUCUGAAAUCUUGUGAGGAUAUAGCAUUUACUUUGUGAAUAGCUCAAUACUUGGAUAACUCCGUAAGCAUAUAGGAUCACUGACAAGUAAUAAUUUAGUGAGUUAAUAAUAUCAUCCUACAUGGAAUAUAUACUAAUUAAAAUGCACUAGUCUUAUAUCGAAUUCGAAAAAUGUAAUGCAAAAGACAUUAUGUUGUAAUUAGUCUAAAUUAUUCACUAAAAUUAUGUAGGAGUUUGGUUUUGUAAACUUAUAUGGAAUAAUUUUAUUGGAAUUAUAAUCCAUCUAAUGUUAUGUAUUUUAAUUUUCGAUUAUUUAAUCCAGUUUUAUUCAUACUCUCUUGAUCAUUGAUAAUCAAAUUUUGCUUAAAUUUCUUUUUCAAGAUAAGUUAAAUAUAUGUUAGAUACGACAAGACCCAAUUCUAUUCCUAGUUCAAUUUUAUAUUAAUAGAAUGCAUUUAACUACAAGAUUAUUUAUAAGAUUGCACAUGCAAGCAUUACAUGUUAGGAUAUAUGUUAAUCAUAAAGAGUUCUAAACUUAGUGUGUACCUCUUAGCACUAUAGCAAGCAACUAAUUAUCCAAUUGAUGGCAAGCAAUUAAAUAAUGCAACAAAAAUACAAGAUUAAUUGAGAAAAAAUAAAAUUUACUAAAUUACUCAUCUUGAACUAAAUUAAAUAGACAAAAAACAUUCAUCUUCUUCAAUUCAAAAAAAUAUCAAGCUUAGCUUGAUUCCUAUUAUAUUACCGAAUAAUAAUGAAAAAUCAUCAUCUAAAAUUAAUAUGGAGACAAGAAGUAUGUAGAAGCAAUUUCUUGCUCUUUAUCUUCAACCAUGAGUCUUUAUUCUUCAAGAUCAUGAUGUGAUAGUCCUUCAAUUCUGACUAGGUUUGAUCCUCUCUCCCAAAAGUGUGUGAAUUGACCGCUCGUUUUUGAUUAAUUUUGUAAUAUAAAUGUGUAUUAAGAGGCUAGAAAAAGAUCUCUAUUAUUUUGCCUGAAUUCUAUGUUUAUGGGAGCUGAAUUUUAGGUCAUCGAGAUUGCGUCCAAUUAGUUCUAAAGAAGUUAAAAAGAGAAGAAAACUGCUGAUUCACCUGCUAGAAUAUGCCCAUGCAAACACAUGGCAAUUAUGCACCUAACAAACAAUUCAUCCUCAAGUAUGGGAACUGGGAAUCUCGGGUGCGUUUAUGUCUCUGAUUAGUCAUCAAUAAUUUUCUCGUAUCUUUCUCUUUCCAUAUCCAAUUGAGGCAAUUCGAAAUGCGAUGGAAAGCUAACCCCAAGGGAUACAAUAAUUAUGGAAGUAUCAUGUUUUCAUUUCCAUCGGUUACUAUGUGAAAAAUGUGUCCCAGUCUGAGUAUAUGGAGCAUCACUUGUACAACUGAAAGAUGCAAUUGGUGAAAAAUAUAUUUUAAUAAUUCACUCCUAAUUGAAUCCAAUUGAUCAUAGGUGAUCUCCAAUCAUCAUUUUGUAGCCCAAACCAACUAUUGGAUAAUUGCAAUUUUUUCCCCGAACUUUGAAUUCUACAUUUUUCACCUUUUUUGCUCAAAUGCUGAUUAAUAGAAACAAGAUUAAUACAAAAUAAGUUAUAAUUAAUCAAAAUCACUAAUAAAUACUCCUAAUUGAAUCCAAUUGAUCAUAGGUGAUCUCCAAUCAUCAUUUUUUAGCCCAAACCAACUAUUGGAUAAUUGCAAUUUUUUCCCCGAACUUUGAAUUCUACAUUUUUCUCCUUUUUUGCUCAAAUGCUGAUUAAUAGAAACAAGAUUAAUACAAAAUAAGUUAUAAUUAAUCAAAAUCACUAAUAAAUACUCCAAUUUAAUAGACUAGAUAAGUGUACAAAAUGACUUAUCACUUAGUAGCUUAUAAUGCACUUGCAUUUGGAGGCUUAUUUACUCAAAGGACGCAUUUGAUGAUCUUUACACAUGCUUGUCCAUGUAGAUGCAAUUUGUUUUACAGCUCAUUUUGAGGUGGACGUCUUCAAUAAACUACCACCCAACUCUAGCCCAUGCUGGUUGCACCGUGCAUUGGGAAACGAUGAUAUUGUACAUCACACACUUUAUGUAAAUCAAGCACUCAACUGGAGGUUUUGUGAUCACUUUUUUGGAGUUGCAUUGUUUUUCCGCCAUCUAUGAAGGGGUCCAAAGAAUCAAGCAUUUGAAGUUUUUAAUCCAAAAUUGAAACUUGAUUGCCUAAGUAAUCAUUGCAUCUAGAAAGCAAGAAGGGAUGGUAUCUAUUUUCUUCGUGGGGAGGUAGGAACAAAACAAUAUGAUUGGCAAUAAAAAUUCCCCAGUACUUUAAUUCUUAAUUUAAAAUUUUUAUAUAGUUUGAAUGUCAUGUUAAAACCCUUAUGACUUACAUAAGUUACAUAAGUUAUAAUUGUCGAAUUCAACUUAAUCAUAUCGGUAAUUCAAGCGGUCACCUGAGGUCCCUUAUUCAAGGAAGGCCCUACAAAAAUUUAAAGAAAUUUCAUAUUUUCAUAUUUUAUUUAGUUUUUACUAAAUAAGAUUAAAAUCCCAAUAUUCAAGACUCUUUUACUUCUCUACUUUUUCCUUGUUCUUGAAAACUCGAGAUCAUAUAUUUACAAUUCAUAACUAACAAACUCUUUAUUAUUACUACAUAUAUUUACAACAACUUAUCGAAGCAAUUGUCAAAAAGCAAUAUUUGCCGAUUCGUGUAAGCCUAAUGCUACUAUCAUUUUCUUGAAAAUCAAUAAUUAUCAUUUACUAGCCUUUUCAUGCGUUCUAAUUGAAAACUAUUCAAGUGACUGAAUGUGCUAAAAUUUUGCAUCUUGGUUAGUAAAAAUCAUUUUCUUGUAUCAAAUUUUAGGUAUAAAAAAAAACCAUAUAUAAAAAGAGAGAACAAUUUUCAUUUCUGUAAUUACCUAAAUGCGUUAUUGCAGAAUUUCGAUAAUUUCAACUUUAAAGGCUUUUUUGGGCAAGUGUUAGUUCAUAGAUUUUCUUUCAUUUGAAUUUCAUGGAUAAUCGUGUUUGAUAAUUCUCACUUAUGCUAAAUUUACGAGAUUAAAAAUAAAAUGUGGUGAUUUUACUAUUUUGAAUUUUUGGAUAGAAUUUAGUUUUCUGAGUGUUGAUCAAAUCAUCAAGUUAUAUAUCUAGAGCCUUCUAAAUAUUCUCAUGUGGUGGUUUUAGUAAUUAGUGAUAUUAUCAAAUCUUGUCUACCAUUAUAUUAUCUGAUGGAGUUUGACAAAGCAUGUGUUCAUUAUUAUCCUGUUUACUCAAACAAUGUAAAAGUAUUGAAAGUCUAUAUUUUAGAAAUUUUAUAAACAACCAAAUUUUAUGAAACUUUAUAUCUAUUAUCAAUUUAUCCAUGUCAAAACGCCCAGAGUAAUAAUAAAUGUGGAACGCACCUCAAUCCAUUGCUUUAAAUCUUGAAUAUCGACUCGCAACCUUUUUAAUGUUGACUUCUUUCUCAUUACAAAAAAAAAAAAAAAGAAGCCUUUUGCAACAUUCGAACGUAUAUUGCAAAUCUCAAUGUUGUCAUAGAAUAGAAGGAUACAACAACUUUUUUGAAGGCUGCUAAUAAUAAUAUUGCAAUGUUUCUUGAAUGUUAGAAAUAACUUUUUUACAAUCUUUUUUGGCAUUGGUAAUAACAUUUUUGCAACGUUUUUUUAUCAUACGAAUAACUUUUUUGUAGCAUUUUUUUAGUAUUGCUAAUAACAUUUUUGAAGCCUUUUUUUAUCGUUGCUAAUAACAAUUUUGCAACUUGCUUGAAUGUUGCGAAAAAGCUUUUUCCAACUUUUUUGUGCAAUGCUAAUAACAUUUUUGCAACGUUUUUUGAAUGUUACAAAUAACCUUUAUACAACAUUUUUGAAUGUUGACUUCUUGCUCACUACAAUAAAAAAAGCCUUUUGCAACGUUUGAACGUAUAUUGCAAAUCUCAAUAUUGUCGUAGAAUAGAAGGAUACAAUAACUUCUGUGAAUGCUGGUAAUAAUAAUGUUGCAAUGUUUCUAGAAUGUUAGAAAUAACUUUUUACAAUAUUUUUUUGGCAUUGCUAAUUACAUUUUUACAAUGUUUUUUAAUGCUGCGAAUAACCUUUUUGCAGCAUUUUUUUAGUGUUGCUAAUAACAUUUUUGAUGCCUUUUUUUUUUUUUUUUAUCGUUGCUUAUAACAUUUUUGCAACUUGUUUGAAUGUUUCAAAAAACCUUUUUCCAACUUUUUUGUGCAAUGCUAAUAAUAUUUUUCAACAUUUUUUGAAUGUUGCGAAUAACCUUUUUGCAACAUUUUUUAAACGUUGCGAAUAACUUUUUUGCAUAGCUUUUUAAGUAUUGUGAAUAACAUUUUUGCAACAUUUUUUCAGUGUUUCCGAUAACCUUUUGACAACAUUUUUUGCCUGUUGUCUAUGAUUACAUUCUUGUUUUUUACAGUUGACCAUUGUGUAGGUUAUUUUACAUUUUUUUAAAUUUUGUAUUUUUUUUUAUUUGUAGAGCAAUUUAUAUAAAUCAACCACAAAACAAAAGAGAAGAUAACAAUAUCAAAUAACUCUAAUAAUCAUUAUUAAUAUACUCCAAAAUGUAACAAUAUCCACACAAAAUCAGAUCCAAAAUUCUGAAGUACUUAAAACACCAAUACAUUUCCCAAAAAAAAAAAAAAAAAAGAAGAAGAAGAAGAAGAAAAAAGAAAUUCCACAAAUCCUGUUGUAUUCUUUCAAUAGUGUUCUUGCAUUCUAAAUGAGAUAGAACUUUUAUCAAAGCAAAAUCAAAAUAAAGUUCAUACGAUCAAUUUAAUCAAACCCUACUCAUCUGACUUGUCUACUAUCUCCAUUUCCAAGUGUUUAACUACAACAAAAAGGGGGUUUUACGGUGGGUGGCCUGCACGCCAUAUAAAGUAAUGCCGUAAAAAGUAUCCACUUUUUACGGUGUGCAAUUACGCCUUUUAUGAACACUGUUAUUAAUUAUACGAUUUUUGACGGCGUGUAGGCACUUGCCGUAAAUGCGAGUGUUUUACCUUUGCGCACACCGUAAAUGCGAGAUUUUACUUUUAACGGCGGUGCAAUCACAUGCCGUGAAAGGUGACCUUGUUAGCGUUUACGGUGUGCUAAAUGUUAAUUUAAUUUUUAAAAAUCUAUUUAUUUAUUUGAUUACUAGCACCUAAAAUAAUUACACAAAUCCAAUUCUAACUCAACUAAGAUGAAAAUUAAAAUGUUUUUAGUACCAGCUAGCAUGAUAAACAACAAUAAGCUAGUUAAUUAUUCUAAACUUAGAUGAAAAAAAUUAAGCGAAACAUUUAUCAUAUAAAUAAAAUGUACCAAUUAAGUUCAACCAACACAGAUAAGUUAUUUUACAAACAAAAUAAUGCUUUCCAACCACAUGAGAACAUGAUUGAUAACUAAUGGCUUCUUUCUCUAAAUAUCUCAAGCAUGGAAAGCAUGAUUAUGAUAAGACUGGACUCUGUGAAGAAUGUCACAUUGCGGAGCUCGAUCUGGAUGAGACUUCAGCAAUGCUCAUUUGUGAGCUACCUGGACCUAAAAUUUCAUUAGAUGUCAGUGAUCAAGUUCUACUGAAUAGUAAUCAAUGGAUAGUUAAAAGUGUUAAGGCCCACAAAAGUAGGAAUGCUAGGAGGACCUAAAUUGUAACAUUAUUUGCCUAAUGAAUUGUGAAAUUAAAAUAGAAAAGAAGUUAAGCAUACCUUCAUUGUGAUUACAGCAAAUCCACUUCGAUGUACCUAAUUGGCCAUGCUAUUGUACUUCCAAAUGCAUCUUCAAGAAGAAAAAGCUCACGUGUAAGACAAUAUAAGCUGACAUUAUCAAUCACUUCAUUGACCCAAAUUCUCCAACAUUCCUUACCAAGUGGUACAUAAUGCACUAAAUCACUUGGAUUUGUUGAAGCGAUUUCACCUUUUGCAACACAAUCAGCUUUCCCAGACCAAGAUAACAAUUUGCAUUUCCUAUUUUGAAGGUCAUUUGAACCAUUCAAGCUUCUAUCCCUAGUCUGUAAAAUUCAUAUCCAAUUAUACAAUUUAUUAUUUUGCAUACAGAAAUUAUAUUAAAUUUAGAAUAACAUUCAUUAAUUCUAGUUUUCCACUUACAUUAUCUUCUUGUUCAACACUCUUACUCUUCAUUUGAAACAAAGCUUUUAAUUCUUUAAUUUCAUCUCUCAACUCUUGGACUUGAGUUUGCAAGUUAUGAUUAUGCACCAAAGCAUUCAACUUAGAAGGAGUUGCACCGAAACCAAGACCUCUUACCGGUCCUUGAUUCGAGACCAAGUACUCUAGCAACAUCAUCGUCUUUAAGGGAGUGUUGACUUGGGGAGGUAACCGUCUCUGAACAUGCUUUUAUUUUGUUCCGAGACAAGAAAAUAAAUUAAUGGGCAAAAAUUAUAAAUAUAAACUUUGAAUGACCAAAAAUCACUAAAAGCGAUAUUGUUACCAAUGUUUCCCAGUUGAUUCAUCAAUAGGUUCACCAUUUUUUAGCAUAUGUCAUCGAAUAUAAACAUUAUCUCUCGUUAUGGAAUUUGUGUCUUCACUUUCAGCACACUGCAUUUUAUUUAUUUCAUAUAUGUGAUAGCAUAAAUGUUUAUAAUAUUUCAAGCAAAUUUAACUUUUAAUUUAACAAAUUUUUACCAUUUCAGCUUCUAAACGAGCAAAGCCCUUUCUACCUAUUGAAUGCAUUAAGGUUUGACCUACUCUCAUCUUUCUGAAUCUUUCACUUUUUUCCUACAACAUCAAUUAGUAUUUUGUAAGCAUAACUUUUAUUAGGAAUAUAGAGCAGAUGUAGUAAGCAAUUUAGGAAAAAGUAAUGAAGGCUUACCUUAUAUGGUUGAGAAUUGCAUUCUUUUGACAAAUGCUUGCCAUUCUUUCAUCGAUUCAACAUUAUCAAGCUCGAGGAAAGCAGCAGCUCAUGUCAUGCCAAUUGUUUUUCUCUGUAAUUGAUUGCUUUAAGCACAUUAGAUCGAUGAUCUCACCAAUUCUUUCCCAUUUUUUGCAUGAUGUAUUUUCUAUGACAAGUAUCAACAUCAAACUUUUCCUGCAACAAAGCAUACAAUAUUAAUAGUAAUUUAAAUUAAAUUAUAUAAGAGAUGCAAAGUUUAUAGUACGUGCACAUGCUCCCAUAUGUCAUCAAGGAAAUUUUUGCUUAUAUCUUUCCAAUUUUUCCAUAUAAUAGGCAUAAGUUCUCUGGCUGUGGUCCCAAGAAAUGAUGAUAACUUAGUUGAACCUUUAUAAAUUGGCUGCCCUCUUUCAUUAAACUCUACUGUUAACUUCACGCCUUUUCCCUUAUUGAAAUAAUUCAAUUUUGCUCGAGCCCUUCCCUUCUUUCUUUCUUCGGCUGUACUAGCACUAUUAGGCAGCAAUUCUACAUCAUGUUGCACAUCAUUUACUUGUAUGUUUAGAACAGAAUUAGAACCUCAUUCUAAUAUUCUUAUCCCUUCAUUAUCUUCUCUUGUGACAGCAACAUUUAAAGCUUUUUUAGCUCGUUUUGACUUCUUAUAGCCUUGAUUAGAUGACUAUAUUAAACAAAUAAGAAAAACAAAAAAUAUUUUACUUGAAUUUACUAAUAAAAAUUAUUAUAUAUACCAUCUGGGAACUUACUUCACCAGGAUAUGUCAUAUUAUUCCACUAGUGUAAACAUCAGCAUCAACAAAACUCAGCUUUCAUCGUUUGCAUCUACAAAAAUAAAGCAAGAAAUAAUGGAAUUAGGGACAAUAAUGACAUUAACAUCAAUGCAAUGUCACAUAACUAGUAAAUUAAGUGCUUGAUUGGUAGGGAUUUUGUUGAUUGAUUUUUUGACCGUUAAAGAUAAAGUGGGUUCUACUUGUGAGAGAAGAAUUCAAAAAUGACAGCUGAAAUAAUGAAAUAAUGACCAAAAAAUUGAUUAUAAUUGGAUUUUAAACUGUACCAAACAUGCUCUAAAAUAGAGCAAGAAAGAAUCUUAAAGAUAUACAACUACCAUAUUCAAUAUCAAUGUCCUCACAAUAAUGUUUUAAAUAACCUUCAUCUUCAACGAUCAUAUCAAGUCUUAAUGCAUCUAAAGUGGAUGGAGUAUAAGCCUCCUCAUCAAAAUUUUCUAACUCAUGAAAUCCUCUGGAAGUUGCCUUUGAUACAAUAUACCAAUUAGAUGUAUCGCUCACUCUCGAAUAAAAAGCUUGUUUUGCUUGUGAAACUAAAAUAAAUGAAUCUCUUUCGAAUUGAUAUUGUCCUUUAUGAAGAUUUACCAAUGUAAAUCCUUCUUCAAUCUUGAAGUGUUUGAACAUUUUAUUUUGGAUGUGAAAAGUUUUUCAAUGUUUUGGAUGUACAAAAGUUUGAGUGUUUGAUCUCGUGUAAAAUUAUUGAUAUUGGCAAGAGAUGGAUGCAAGAUUUGAUUUUUAGUUUUCUUUCUUAAAUAUGAAAACAUGUGGACUAAACAUAACUUCUGUUCCUUUUUGAUGUUGCAGAGAGAAUUUUAGUGGAAUGGUUAACUUUAGUUAAAUGAGACAGAAAGUUUUGGAAGAUCAUUAGGCCAUCUCUAGCUCUGCACGAAAAUAUGCACCAUUUUGCAUCAAAUCUUGCACCAAAACAAAAUUCUUUUCCAACCAUUACACCAAAACUUACACCAAAUGAACAGUACUUUUUUAUUUUAUUCAUUAUUUCGAUUUUUGACAAUGUAUUUAUUUAAAAAAUUAUUCAUUCAUUCAUUUAUUUAUUUACUUAUUUUAUAACUAUAUAAAUUACUAAAUUAGAACUUAGUUAAAUUAACAAAUAUAUUGAUUACUAAAUUAUUCACGUGUUUUAUAUAUUAUGUUAAAUUGGCAAAAACCAAAAUAAAAAAUGGUCUUCUUUGAAAAAUGAAAAACGAAAAAUAAGGGCAAAACGAACAUUAUAUCAUUUGGUGCAAAAAAUGGUGUAAUGAAUAAUGUUACACCAAAUAUGGUGCAACACUAUUCAUGUUGCACCAUUUUGCACCAAAAUUUGGUGCAGUGGUUGGAGGAAGUUUGCACCAAAUUUUGGUGCAAUUUGGUGCAAUAGGCCAUGCAUUGGAGAUGCCCUUAAUUGCACAUUUUUGCCGACAAACUAUCUAUAAAAUAAUUCAAAAAUGAUUAAGACUAAUGACCAAUGCUAAUUGCUAAAUUCCAAGCCAUGUGGAUUUUGAAGGGACGUCUAUACACACAUAUGAUCGAGCUUCCUCACUAAUCUGACUUGAUAGCCUAACAGAAGUGAAUUUUAAAGGUUAGGCUAACUAAUUUUGUCUUCAACAUGGCAGAUUUGUACUUGAAUAUAAGUUACCAAAUUAAAAUUCAAUAGAGUUAUGCAGCAUUAGUGAAAUUAACGUAAUUGAAGAACCUAUUUUUUCAAGUUUACUCAUUACUUUUUUUCUAUGUAUUAUUUACCAAACAUAACUCUUAAAAGGCAUCAAGUUUACUCAAAAUAACUCAAAUUUACACAAGUAUUCACUAGUAAAAUUGAAAAUACAACACGUAAAAGAAAGAAAAGAAAGAAAUUACAUUCACACGACAAAUGGCUACAUUAACAACAAAAAGGAAACUACAGGGAAAGAAACACAAAAAUACAGAUAGAUGAUGCAGCCAACAUUCUAUCACACCAAUGCCAUUUAAGAGAAUCCCUCCUUUCCGGCACAAACUUGCACAUCCAUGCGUGCUUUCCGUUGAUGGUAAACUCGGCCUUCUCCGAGCCAUCGAGAAUUUUCUGAACAACGCAGCUUUAAGGAACACGACUCGAGCAUAAAGUGGCUGCUCGUAAGGCCUAACCUCCUGCAUUCUGAAGGACUCUAUGCAAUUCCCAUAGACCGUUGUGAAGAAGUGCCUAAUUUCCGUUUCAGCCACUAGAUAACCCUUAGAAAAAGUUGCAAACAUAGUCCUGUCCUCUCGUGUCGACUCGUGGAAAUGAUGUGACAUCAUCAUUUUCUCAACUUAAUUACUGGAACUUGCAUAUAAUUAAACCAAAUGCAUAAAACCCAGAAAAAUGUGAUACCUUCAAAUUGUUGAAACUUUACCUCUACUUGAGAUGAAAUGGAGAUAUCAAAAUUGCCUCAAUAAACUCAAACUCUAAAUCCCAGGUCUCUUAAAAUCCCAUUGCCAAAACUCAAACGUCUUUUUAUAUUGUUCCUCUAAAUUCCCUCAACAAUUACACCUUUACUGUUAAAAUGCCAAAAGAAAUCUUUGAUUUGAAGUUGAAGUUGAAGGGAAACCUACAACACAAAAUAACCCAACAAUGCACAUGGAUUCUAGGAAAUGUGCAAUGUGGAACAAGAAAUUGUUGGGACGAAAUAUAUUAAUAACAGGCCGACUGUAUUGUGGGAAAUUUUCAAUUUUACAAAAAAACAUUUAAAAAAAAUUGCAGUUUUACAAACUCACCUCUUGAUGGCGAUGGUGCGUGACAGUGACCGGAGAUGGAGCAUCUGGACUCCGGGCCGUUGAGUUUUCAAAUUUCAACUGUGGGUUAUGGAAGUGCCCAUGAGCUCGUCGAUUUUUUAAAACCUCCUUUUCCAAUGGAAACUAGAAAUCGUUGAUCUUGAUGUGGCGACACCACCAGAAUUGUAGGGUUACAUUUGAGGAUUUCUGUGGGCUUUGGAGAGAGAAUUUCUGUGGGUUUUGGGGAGAGAACGUUGGGGGUGAUGUUUGGCUUUUUCCACUUUAAAAUGUGGCUUUUUUUUCUUUUUUUCAAAUGUCAUGCCAGCCCUAUCUUUGAGCUUGUAUUCUACCCUGUCUCAAUAGCAGGAUUGUUUUAUUUAUUAGUUAUGAUUUUGAGAUCUGAUGGGAAUUGACUGUCACGUGUAGAUUGGAUAGGGAUCAAGUAGCUUUUGAUUUUAUGUAAAAUUUGGAUUGAUAAUUUUUGGGAGAACACCUUAGCAGAUUUUUGUAUCUAUCAAACUUCAAUUUUCCCUUUCCACUUUAAAUACCGUGCAAAAGUACUCAUUAUCUACCCAAAAAAGUGUAGAUACAUAUAUACGGCGAUAGUAACACCAUAAGUAGAAGGUAAAGAAUUCGAACAUGAUUUUGGUUGUCUUUCAAAUUUAUUUGAUCUAACGAAAUAGGAUAAUGAGGUGUAUUUAUUUUUAUCCCAUUUAAAUUAUUUUCCGGUGUUAUCAAAUUAUUAUACUUAUGAAAGUUAAAGAUAUGAUAUGAUAUAUAUGAUAUUGCCAUCCAUUACCAAAGAUAUGAUAUGUAUUGAACUGUUACUAGUCCCUAAAGUUAUGAUAAUGGUAUGAUAUUUUUGAUGCAUAAUUUAAAUAUUUAUAUUCAGGAUUGUACCAUUAUUUUCAUGUCCUACUGAAUAUCCCCCACAUUCUCAUCAUUUUCCCUACCUCUCACAUGUUAGAAUUGGUCGUCGAUUGAUGGGCAAUGAGAUGCAGUUGUAGUGAUUGGAUUCACUGGACUUAAUAAAUUAAAUUUGGUAUAAUGUGACUAUAAAUUUUAUUUUCAGCAUUUAUUUUAGUUUUAUUAAUAUUUAGAUUUGUAAUUUAGGAUUUGGAGCAUGUUUUAUUUUCUUAUUUUUUUCAUAUGUUCUAUUUAAUAUUUGUGAAAACAAAAUUUCACGUUGUGAUGUUUGAUAUGUUUAUUUAAUUACGAAAUGAAUGAGAUAUGCCUUAGGAAAAUCCUCGUUCUUUUUAAAUUAAAGAAUAUGGAAUUAAUCUAUAUAAUAGUGAGUAACCUACCACUACAUGAUUUUAUAUUUAUUGCAUACCAUUUUUUUCAAAAGCUUAAAAUGAAACUUUUUGUAGUGGUUUAGAUAUUAAAAAUUUGGGUCGUUACACUAAUUAAGCAUGUUUUUAAUCUUUCUUUCAUGUCGAUCAUGAAAUAAAUACACUGGCAAAGCUGAAACCCUUGUCCUUAGAUAUUGACCUGCACGUAAAAGAGGUCCUUACUCCAAUUGAGUUUCCCAAGGAUUGUGUUCUUACUUAGUUUUAUAAAAUUUGAUGUGGCAAAAUAUUGUCUGAUAGGUUUGGACAAUAAAAUCAAGAAAGGGUAACAGCUAAAAUGCUCGUUCAUUUACUUAUAAAAAUAUUUAGUAGGCAAUAUCUUUGCCAACAAGUUUUUUAUUUCAAGCCACAAAAAUUAGCCCAAGACUACAUCAUUUGCCAACCUAAACAAUUAUUAGUCAUCCAAGAGGAGACAUAUUAGCCGACCAAAUGAAAUGGGUCGGAGAAUAUCUUAUUUUUGUGCCAAAAUAUUUGGCAAUGAAUAUGGACGCAACAAUAAAUGGUACUAUUAGACCCAAAAUAUCAUUUAGCUAGGGUAAGAAAUUGCUCCAUUUCCUGCAGUGAAUAUCUUAUAUCUCUUAUUCUGGUGUCCUCCAUCUCUCUCGAUUUCUGGCAGUCCCAGGUUAGUUUAAUUUAUCUUUUCCUUCCUCUCUUUUGCAUCUCUAUUUAAACUAAUGCCCUCACUUAGUAUCGCCAAGGGUAUUUUGCUCCUUGGUUGAUGAAAAAACAAAGGGAGGAUUGGGAUAGUGGUGUUAGUGGUUGUCAGUAGUAGUUGUUGGUGGGAUAUUGGUAUAUUGGGCUCCACUAUAUAUUGGAUAUUUCCAUGUGAAAAAAAUAAAGGUGACAAUAUGGCAAGCUUAUGCUUGCAAGCAAUCGGCACAUAAUUGAUACGUUCUUCUGCAAGCAAAAUUUAGUCGUGUUAAUAUGUUCAAAGUUUAGGGUUUAAGGAAUUUUUAAAACAUUCAGUGACAAGUAACAUAAUUAACUAUUGACACGAUUGUACACUAGGAUUAGUUUUUCUCCUUUAUGUUCUAAUUUUUGAAUGUGCAAUGCAUGUAAUCAGCACGAACUUGUUACAAUAUGCUACAAGUACUGUUUGAUAUUGUUAUUCUUUCUGAACGACAAAGUAAUAGAUCCUCUAUUCCGUGUAUGAUUUUACAGAAGGGAAUAUUGUAUUAGCAUUGAAAGGUCAAAUGAAUACUUCAUACAUAUGCAAAAUCAAUCAACUGCUUCGAAAGAAAAUGUCGAUGAAAACAACAUGCAUAUUAAUAUGACAAGCUCUAUUCUAUGCAGUGCACAAUGUAGAAAAUGACAAGCUCAUGAUAACAACAUGCAUAAAGAACUUGAGAAACAAGAUAUGCUAAAGAAAAAAUGGGAAGAAAUUGAGUGGCAAGAUCAUGUAAGAUGGAAGGAAGAUAGAGCUAAUGCAGGAUGAGCAUAUAUAACCUCCGUGGCGUGGACACUUCAAUUAGAAUAAUGUGUUUUUGUCGGACAUAUGUCAGAUACUGACAGUUCUCGAACACUCCACCACGAUAAUUUUUUUCUUUAUAAUAAAUAUUAUUUAUUUUUUACUUAAAUUUUUUUAUUAAAUAACAAAUAGGUACUCAUAUUUAAAAAUUUUCGAAAAUAAAAAUUAAUGACAAGUAUAAACUAAAUUUAUACUAUAUAAAUAAAGAAUUUUAAAGAAUAUAAUCAACGUGUCAAGUUAGUAGUUUUUUGAAAAAUCUCAUAUCGGCAUGUUUGACACUUAUCAUGUCCGAUACACGGGUCAGUGUUGGUUCUACAUAAUCUAGAACUGAUGGAGUUAGCUGCUUCAAAAAUUACCUUCAAUUGUUUCUCUUGAUUAUGAUAACAUGCAGGCAAAAUCUCAGUCAUUUCCAGAAGAUAUGUGUCCAUUUACUUCGAAGGCAUUGAGAGUGAAGAAUAUAUUUCCUAUCUUUGGCCUUAUUUAGUCCAAUCUUUCAAUAACUAUGACUUAAAGACGCCUGGUAUGUUACACAUUUCUCUUCUAAAACUAACCGUAAAAGAUACUGAAGAUGUUGUGGACCUUGAACAAAUCAAUAUGGUGAUGUCAAUCCUGAAGGUGUACAUCCUCAGCAUACAAAACUGGCUGAAGCACUUAAAUAUGCUGACAUGUUCUGAAAUCUUGUGAAGAUAUAGCAUUUACUGUUGGAUAAGUACGUAAUCAUACUAGAUCAUGACAAGUAAUAAUUUAGUGAGUUAAUAAUAUCAUCCUACAUGGAAUAAAUACUAUUUAAAAUGUACUAGUCUUAUAUCGAAUUCGAAAUAUGUAAUGCAAAAGAGAUUAUGUUGUAAUUAUUCUAAGUUAUUCGCUAAAAUUAUGUAAGAGUUUGGUUCUAUAAACUUAUGUGGAAUGAUUUUAUUGGAAUUAUAAUCCAUCUAAUGUUAUGUAUUUUAAUUUUCAAUUAAGUAAUCCAGUUUUAUUCAUACUUUCUUGAUCAUUGAUAAUCAAAUUUUACUUAAUUUUUUUUUCAUGAUAAGUUAAGUAUAUGUUAGAUACGACAAGACCAGAUUCUAUUCCUAGUUCAAUUUUAUAUAAAUAGAAUGCAUUUAACUACAGGAUUAUUUAUAAGAUUGCACACACGAGCAUUACAUGUUAUUCCUACCAUCUAUAUGUUAAUCAUAAAGAGUUCUAAACUUAUUGUGUACCUCCUUGCACUAUAGGAAGCAACUAAUUAUCUAAUUGAUGGCAAGCAAUUAAAUAAUGCAACGAAAAUACAAGAUUAAUCAAGAAAAAAUAAAAUUUACUAAAUUACUCGCCUUGAAUUAAACUAAAUAGACAAAAAGCACUCAUCUUCAUCAAUUCAAACAAAUAUCAAGUUUAGCAUGAUUCCUAUUAUAUUACACGAAUAAUAAUGAAAAAUCAUCAUCUGAAAUGAAUAUGGAGACAAGAAGUAUGUAGAAGCAAUUUCUUGCUCUUUAUCUUCAACCAUGAGUCUUUAUUCUUCAAGAUCAUGAUGUGAGAGUCCUUCAAUUCUUACUAGGUCUGAUCUUCUCUUCCAAAAGUGUGUGAGUUGACCUCUUGUUUUUUAUGAAUUUUGUAAUAUAAAUGUGUAUUAAGAGGCUAGAAAAAGGUCUGCAUUAUUUUGCCCGAAUUCUAAUAUUUAUAGGAACCGAAUUUAAGGCCGAGAUUGCAUCCAUUUAGUUCUAAAGAAGUUAAAAGGAGAAAAGCAAACUGCUGAUUCACCUGCUAGAAUAUGCCCAUGCAAGCACAUGGAUAUUAUGCACCUAACAAACAAUUCAUCCUCGAGUAUGGGAACUGGGAAUCUCGGGUGCGUUUGUGUCUUCAAUUAGUCAUCAAUACUUUUGUCAUAUCUUUCUCUUUCCAUAUCUAAUUGAGGCGAUUUGAAAUGUGAUGGAAAGCUAACUCAAAGGGAUACAAUAAUUAUGGAAGUAUCAUGUUUUCAUUUCCAUCGGUUACUAAAUGAAAAAGGUGCCCCAGUCUGAGUAUAUGGAGCAUCACUUGUACGACUGAAAGAUGCAAUUGGUGAAAAAUAUAUUUUAAUAAUUCACUUCUAAUUGCAUCCAAUUGAUCAUAGGUGAUCUCCAAUCAUCAUUUUGUCACCCGAACCAACUAUUGGAAAAUUGCAUUUUUUUCCCCGAACUUUGAAUUCUACAUUUUUCACCUUUUUUUUUGCGCAAAUGCUGAUUUAUACACGCAAGAUUAAUACAAAAUAAGCUAUAAUUAAUCAAAAUCACUAAUAAAUACUCCAAUUUAAUAGACUAGAUAAGUGUACAAAAUCACUUAUCACCUAGUAGCUUAUAAUGCACUUGCAUUUGGAGGCCUAUUUAUUCAAAGGACGCAUUUGAUGAUCUUUACACAUGCUUGUCCAUGUAGCUGCAAUUUGUUUUACUGCUCAUUUUGAGGUGGAAAUCUUCAAUAAACUGCCACCCAACUCUAGUCCAUUGUGGUUGCACCGUGCAUCGGGAAACAAUGAUAUUGGACAUCACACACUUUAUGUAAAUCAAGCACUCAAUUGGAGGUUUUGUGAUCACCUUUUCUGAGUUACAUUGCUUUUCUGCCAUCUAUGGUGGGGUCCAAAGAAUCAAGCAUUUGAAGUUUUUAAUGCAAAAUUGAAACUUUAUUGCCUAAGUAAUCAUUGCAUCCAGAAAGCGAGAAGUGAUGGUAUCUAUUUUCUUUGUGGGGAGGUAGAAACAAAAGAAUAUGGUUGGCAAUAAAAUUCCCCAGUACUUUAAUUCUUAAAUUAAAAUUUUUAUAUCUUUUGAUGUCAUGUUAAAACGCUUAUGAGUUACAUAAGUUAUAAUUGUCGAAGUCAACUUAAUCAUAUCGGUAAUUCAAGCGGUCACCUAAGGUCCCUUAUUCAAGGAAGGUCCUACAAAAAUUUAAAGAAAUUUCAUAUUUUCAUAUUUUAUCUAGUUUUUACUAAAUUAGAAUAAAAUUCCAAUAUUCAAGACUCUUUCACUUCUCUACCUUUUCCUUGUUCUUGAAAACUCGAGAUCAUAUAUUUACAAUUCAUAAUUAACAAACUCUUUAUUAUUACUACUUAUAUUUACAACAACUCAUCGAAGCAAUUGUCAAAAAGCAAUUUUUACCGAUUCGUGUAAGCCUAAUGCUACUAUCAUUUUCUUGGAAAUCAAUGAUUAUCAUUUACUAGCCUCUUCAUGCGUUCUAAUUGAAAACUAUUCAAGUGAUUGAAUGUACUAAAGUUUUUCAUCUUGGUUAGUAAAAAUCAUUUUCUUGUAUCAACUUUAAGGGGAUAAAAAUUGACUUAUAUGAAAAGAGAGAACAAUUUUCAUUUCGGUAAUUACCUAAACUCGAUAAUUUCAACUUUAAAGAAUUUUUUGGGCAAGUGUUGGUUCAUCGAUUUUCUUUCAUUUGAAUUCCAUGGAUACUCGUGUUUGAUAAUUCUCACUUAUGCUAAAUUUAUAAGAUUAAAAAUAUAAUGUGGUGAUUUUACUAUUUUGAAUUUUCGGAUAGAAUUUAGUUUUCUGAGUGUUGAUCAAAUCAUCAAGUUAUAUAACUAGAGUCUUCUAAAUAUUCUCAUGUGGUGGUUUUAGUAAUUUGUGAUAUUAUCAAAUCUUGUCUACGAUUAUAUUAUUUGAUGGAGUUCUACGAAGCAUGUGUUCAUUAUUAUCCUAUUACUCAAACAAUGUAAAAAUAUUGGAAGUCUAUAUUUUAGAAAUUUUAUAAACAACAAAUUUUAUGAAACUUUAUAUCUAUUAUCAAUUUUGCCAUGUCAAAACACCAAGAGUAAUAAUAAAUGUGGAACGUACCUCAAUCCAUUGCUUUAAAUCUUGAAUAUCGACUUGCAACCUUUUUAAUGUUGACUUCUUGCUCACUACAAUAAAAAAAAAAAAAAGAAGCCUUUUGCAACGUUCGAAUGUAUAUUGCAAAUCUCAAUGUUGUUGUAGAAUAGAUGGAUACAACAACUUUUUUGAAGGCUGUUAAUAAUAAUAUUGCAAUGUUUCUUGAAUGUUAGAAAUAGCUUUUUUACAAUCUUUUUUGGCAUUGCUAAUAACAUUUUUGCAACGUUUUUUUAUCAUGCGAAUAACUUUUUUGCAACAUUUUUUUAGUGUUGCUAAUAACAUGUUUAAAGCCUUUUUUUGAUCAUUGCUAAUAACAAUUUUGCAACUUGCUUGAAUGUUGCGAAAAAACUUUUUCCAACUUUUUUGUGCAAUGCUAAUAACAUUUUUGCAACGUUUUUUGAAUGUUACGAAUAACCUUUAUACAACAUUUUUUAAAUGUUGCGAAUAACUUUUUUACAACGCUUUUUAAGUAUUGCUUAUAACAUUUUUGCAACAUUUUUUCAGUGUUUCCAAUAACCUUUUGACAACAUUUUUUGCCCAUUGUCUAUGAUUACAUUCUUGCUUUUUGCAGUUGACCAUUGCAUAGGUUAUUUUACAUUUUUUUUAAUUUUGUUUUUUUAUUUGUAGAGCAAUUUAUAUAAAUCAACCACAAAACAAAAUAGAAGAUAACAAUAUCAAACAACUCUAAUGAUCAUUAUUAAUAUACUCCAUAAUGUAACAAUAUCCACACAAAAUCAAAUCCAAAAUUCUGAUGUACCUAAAACACCAAUACAUUUCUCCCAAAAAAAAAAAAAAAAAAAAAAAAAAGGGGAAGAAGAAGAAGAAAAAAAAAGAAAUUCCACAAACCCUAUUGUAUUCUUGUAGUGGUGUUCUUGCACUCUAAAUGAGAAAGAACUUUCAUCGAAGCAAAAUCACAAUAAAGUUCGUACGAUCAAUUUAAUCAAACCCUACUCAUCUAACUUGUCUACUAUCUCCGUUUCCAAGUGUUUAACUACAACAAAAGGGGCUUUUUAAGGCGUGCGGGCUGCACGCCAUAUAAAGCAAUGCCGUAAAAAGUGUCAACUUUUUACGGCAUACAAUUACACCUUUUACAAACGCCGUUAUUAGUUAUACGAUUUUUAUACAAUGUGCAGGUACACAUCGUAAAUGCGAGUGUUUUACCUUUAUGCCCGCCGUAAAUGUGAGAUUUUACUUUUAACGACGGUGCGGUCACACGCUAAGAAAGGUGACCCUGUUAGCAUUUAUGCGUGCUAAAUGUUAUUUUAAUUUUUAAAAAUAUGUUUAUUUAUUUGAUUACUAUCACCUAUAAUAAUUACACAAAUCCAAUUCCAACUCAACUAAGAUGUAAAUUAAAAUGUUUUUGAAUACAAGCUAGCGUGAUAAACAACACUAAGCUAAUUAAUUAUUCUAAGUUUAGAUGAAAAAAUUAACCCAAACAUUUAUCAUAUAAAUAAAAUGUACCAAGUAAGUUCAACCAACACAAAUAAGUUAUUUUACAAACAAAAGAAUGCUUUCCAACCACAUGAGAACUUGACUAAUAACUAAUGGCUUCUUUCUCUAAAUAUCUCAAGCAUGGAAAGCAUGGUUACGAUAAGACUCGGACUCUGUGAAGAAUGUCACAUUGCGGAGCUCGAUCUAGGUGAGACUUCAGCAAUGCUCAUUUGUAAGCUGCCUGCACCUGAAAUUUCAUCAAAUGUCAGUGAUCAAAUUCCACUUAAUAGUAAUCAAUGGAUAGUUAAAAGUGUUAAGGCCCACAAAAGUAGGAAUGCUAGGAGAACCAAAAUUUUAACAUUAUUUGCCUAAUGAAUUGUGAAAUUAAAAUAGAAAAUAAGUUAAGGAUACCUUUGUUGUGAUUAUAGCAAAUCCACUUCGAUGUACCUAAUUGGCCAGGCUAUUGUACUUCCUAAAGCAUCUUCAAGAAGAAAAAGCUCCCAUGUAGGACAAUAUAAGCUAACAUUAUCAAUCACUUCACUAACCCAAAUUCUCCAACAUUCAUUACCAAGUGGUACAUGAUGCACUAAAUCACUUGGAUUUGUUGAUGCGAUUUCACCUUUUGCAACAACAUCAGCUUUCCUAGACCAAGAUAACAAUUUGCAUUUCCUCCUUUGAAGGUUAUUUGAACCAUCCAAGCUUCUGUCCCUAGUCUGUAAAAUUUAUAUCCAAUUGUACAAUUUAUUAUUUUGAAUGUAGAAAUUAUACGUAAUUUAGAAUAACAUUCAUUAAUUCUAGUUUUCUACUUACAUUAUCUUCUUGUUCAUCACUCUUACUCUUCAUUUGAAACAAAGCUUUUAAUUCUUUAAUUUCAUCUCUCAACUCUUGGACUUGAGUUUGCAAGUUAUUAUUGUGCACCAAAGUAUUCAACUUUGAAGGAGUUGCACCGAAACCAAGACCUCUUACCGAUCCUCGAUUCUGGAUCAAGUACUCUAGGAACACCAUCGUCUUUAAGGCAGUGUUGGCUUGGAGAGGUAACCAUCCCUGAACAUGCUUUUAUUUUGUUCUCAUACGAGGAAAUAAAUUAAUGGGCAAAAACAAAACACUAAAUAAAAAAAUAACAGAACGUAAUUUAUUUGAAGAAAACACAACUUGUUCUCGCGUUCAGCGUUAUUCAAAUACUUUAAAGAAAUAACAUUGAAAACUUUCACAAAAAUAAAUCUAAAUAACUUGUUUACAGGGUUUUCCAUAGGCUCGUUGCACCACUCUCCAUCUUUUCCAUCAUCCAGGCCCAAGGUAGAAUCAUAUCAAUUUGUAGAAAAGGGGUUAAACCCAUGAGUUAAAAAACUCAAUAGAUAUCAUUGGUGCAUUCGUGAUCAAGCUAUACAUUUCAAAGCUGUAACUUUAGAAACCUUUUCAUAGUAGGAUUUUCGGUAGAAUCCCAAACACGUAGAGUCAUGACUUAACACGACGCCUGGACCGGAAGUACAUGCCGUAACCGAAUUAUGGAGGUGUAUGCCGUACCGGAGGUACCAUUAGAUGUAACACUCCGACCCCUAUUAGAUCGGAACGCUACCUACUUUACUUAGCGUAACCGAUGGUUUAGUAACAAGUGUAUACAUUUUAGCAGAAGCUUACAUCUUUGGAUAAUAAUUUAAAUAACAAUACUUCAAAUACUUUAAACAAAAAUACUGAAUCAUUUUUCAAAACAAACAAAUGUAAUUUAUUUGAAAAAAACAUAAUUUGUUCUCGCAUUCUGCGUUAUUCGAAACUUUAAAGAAAUAACAUUGGAAAACAUUUCAUAAAAAUAAAUCCAAAUCACUUAUUCACCGGAUUUUCAUGGACUCGUUGCAUCACUCUCCAUCUUUUCCUCCAUCCAUGCCCGAGGUAGAAUUCCUUCAAUCUGUAGAGAUGGGAUUAAACCCGUGAGUUGAAAAACUCAAUAGGUGUCAUAGGUGCAUUCGUGAUCAAACUAUACAUUUCAAAAUAUUAACUUUAUAACUUUUCAUACAUGCCGUACCCGGAGGCACCAUUUGACAUGAAGGGGUAUCCCGUACCCGAGAGCAUCAUUUGACAUACGAACAUUUCUACAACAUAGAGGGGUAUGCCGUACCGGAGUACCAUUUGACAUACAAACAUUAACAUGAAUCGAAACUUAUAACUUAACAUGAUUAAACGCAUUGCAUCUCUACCUACCUUGAUUGAUGCUUUUGAAACUUUGAGAACUUGGAUUGAAAACUUCGAUGAAACUCUUUCUGUAGUAUGUAAAAGCUCUUGCUUUUGAUGUGAGACAAAAUGAGUGAAAUGAGGUCUCUAUUUAUAGGUAAAUAUCCCAUAAUUUAAAGCAAAUGAAGGGUCAAAUUUCAUUUAAGAGAGAAAACAUGGGUGUCAUUUAAGUUUGAGGUUAAAUGCUUCAAUUUAGUGGGGGGUUUUUAUUGCCAAAAACGUGGGUGGCCCUUUGAGAAAAUAAUUGAUGAAAAUAAAUAUUUAAAUUCUAGAGAAAAACAAGAAUUUUCAUUUCAGGCAGUUUCGAUCGACCGGUUGUAGUCCGGUUGACACUACACAGCCUUCAGUAUUCCUAUUAUAACUUCUUCUCCCAAUAUCUGAUUGAGGUAAUUCAAAGUGCGUUGGAAAGCUAUUGCAACUUUUAUUUAGAUAUCGUUUUCCAAAUCGAAUGUUUCCUAUGUUGAAAAUGGGUCUCAAAUGAGACUAAAAAUCUGAAUUAUACAUUAGUCAUCCAAUAUUCAUGUCUUAGUGUCACUAAGGUAUCUAGAAUUAUUUGGGGUUCUACAUCCCCCACACCUUAAUUAAAAUUUCGUCCUCGAAAUUUACCUUCUAAUUGGGCAAAUAGUGUUGGAUACUUGUCUUUGGCUUCUUCUUCUUUUUCCCAAGUGGCUUAUUUUACGCCGUGAUAAUUCCACUGUAUUUUAACCAGCUAAAUUUCUUUAUUCCUUAAUUUAUGUACUUUUUCGAUCCAAUUUCUUAAUCGGUAGUUCCUCGUAUGACAAAUCUUUCUGUACCUUCAAGGUUUGAUAACUCACUACAUGAUUAAGAUUAUGUACAUACUUCUUUAUCAUCGAUAUAUGGAACACAUUGUGCACUAUUGAUAAUUCAGGUGGCAAAGCUAGUCGGUAAGCCACAUUUUCGACUCUAUCAAGUAUCUCGAAAGGUCCGAUAUACCGGGGUUGUAUCUUGCCUUUCUUUCAAAAUCUAAUUACACUUUCAUCGGUGCUACUUUCAGAAACUCUUUAUUCCCAACUUGGAAUUCUAAAUCCUUCCUCCUUGUAUCUACAUAGCUCUUUUGUUAUCCUGUGUUGCCUUUAUUCUUACACGGAUCUUAUCGAUUACCUCGACCGUCCUUUCAACCAUUUCUAGUCCCAAAACUCUAUUCUCUCCUACUUUAUCCCAAUGAAUAGGGGAUCUACAUCUUCUACCAUAGAGAGCUUUGUAUGGUGACAUUCCAAUAGUUACUUGAAAAUUGUUAUUAUAAGCAAACUUUACUAGAGGUAAGUACGACUCCCAAUUACCUCCUAGAUCUAAAACACAUGUUCUGAAUAUGUCUUCCAAAGUUUGGAUGGUCCUUUCAGAUUGAAUAUGUUGUACUAAAGUUCAGCUUCAUUCCCAUAGCUCCUUGUAGACUUUUCCAAAAUUUGGAUGUGAACCUUGGGUCUCUAUCAGACACAAUGGAUACAGGUACACCGUGUAAUCUCACAACCUCUUUAAUGUACAACUGUGUCAAUUGGUCUAAACUGAAUGUCAUUUUCACUAGAAGAAAAUGAGCAGACUUCAUUAGUCGAUCCACUACUACCCAUAUAGCAUUAUUUUCUCUUGCUGACUUUGGGAAUCCAACCACAAAGUCCAUCAUGAUAUUUUUCCAUUUCCAUUCAGGUAUAUCUAGUGGAUUUAACAAUCCAGUUGGUUUUUGAUGUUCUGCCUUAACCUGUUGACAUACCAUGCCCUUCUACACGUACAACCCUAUACUUCUUUUCAUAUUUCUCCAUCAAAAUGUAUCUCGGAGAUCUCAAUACAUUUUUCGUACCACCGGGAUGUGCGAUGUAUGGGAUGGAAUGAGCUUCUUUCAAUAUCUCGUUUGUCAAGGCUUCAUCCUUAUGCAUGCAAAUUCUUCCUCUAAAUAUUAGUGCUCGAUCCUCAGCUACUCCAAAGUCCUUUUUCUUAUCGGUACCAACUUCAUUCUUAAUCUUCUGCAAAAAUGAGUCUUUCUUUUAUGCUUCUAUAAUUUGAUCUCUAAGAGUAGGUCGAAUUAUUAAAGCUGCUAGACGAGCAGUGACUUAUCUUGGUGUGGUAACCACUCCGAUCUCCAACUUUUCCAAGUCCUUGACUAACUCUACUUGAGAGGUAGGUAGUGACGUCAAUUGUCCCAUUGAAUUUCUACUUAGAGGGUCAGCCACAACAUUAGCCUUACCCGGAUGGUAGUGAAUAGUGCAAUUGUAAUCAUUCACCAAUUCCAACCAUCGUCUUUGUCGCAUAUUCAAUUCCUUCUGUGUGAAGAAAUACUUGAGACUUUUGUGAUCUGUGUAGAUAUCACACUUCCGUCCAUACAAGUAGUGUCGCCAUAUCUUCAAAGUGUGUACUACCGCUACAAGUUCUAAAUCAUGCGUCGGGUAGUUCUGCUCAUGUUUCUUCAAUUGUCUUGAAGCAUAGGCUAUCACUUUUCCAUUCUGCAUUAGUACACAUCCCAAUCCUCACUUGGAUGCUUCGCUGUAUAUAACAAACCCUUUCGUACCUUCAGGAUUUGUUAAUACAAGUACUGAUAUCAACUUCUGCUUAAGUUCUUGGAAACUUUGUUCGCAAUUUUCCGUUCAUUGGAAUUUUACUCCCUUCCUUGUAAGCUGCGUCAUUGGUCCAUCUAUUUUGGAGAAUCCUUCUAUGAAUCUCCUAUGAUAUCUAUCCAAUCCUAGAAAACUCCGUACUUCGCCAGCAUUUGUAGGUACUUUCCAGUUGGUUACUGCUUCUACUUUUGCUAGAUCUACUUCAAUCCCUUGGGCAGUAACUACAUGUCCAAGAAAUCCAACUCAUUCAAGCCAAAACUCGCGCUUCUUGAAUUUCGCAUACAACUUCUCCUUGCGUAAUACCUCUAAGGCUAUUCUCAAGUGCUCUUCAUGUUGCUCCUUACUCUUAGAAUAUAUCAGAAUGUUAUCGAUGAAGACUAUGACAAACUUAUCCAAGUAUUGAUGAAACACUCGAUUCAUCAGGUCUAUGAACACUGCAGGUGCAUUGGUUAGCCCAAACGGCAUCACCGUAAACUCGUAGUGUCCAUAUUGAGUUCUAAAAGUUGUCUUAGGUAUAUCCUUUGUCUCUACUUUCAGUUGAUGGUAUCCCGAUCGUAAGUCAAUCUUGGAAAAUACCUUAGCUCCUUUCAGUUGAUCUAAUAGAUCCUCGAUCCUCGAGAGUGGGUACUUAUUCUUGAUGGUUAAUCAAUUUAUCUCCCUAUAAUCGAUGCACAUCCUCAUGCUUCCAUGUUCCUUCUUUACAAACAACACCGGUACACCCCAUGGAAAUAUGCUUGGUCGUAUGAAGCCCAUAUCUAAGAGUUCUUGCAACUGCUUUUUUAAUUCUUGUAGUUCCUUUGGGGCCAUUUGGUAUGGGGCCUUAGAUACUGGUGCCGCCUCGGGAAUUAGGUCUAUGGUGAAUUCCACUUCUCUAUCGGGUGGAAUACCAAAUAUAUCUUCUGGAAACACAUCUAUGAAUUCUCGUACUACUGGUACAUCUUCAACCCUUAUCAUCUCUUGUUUCCCUCCUGAGAUACUUACUAGAUAUCCUUGACAUGUUUCUUUUCUCAAUAUCUUUUCAGCUUAUAAAGCCGAUACUAGUCAAAUAAGGGGUUUCGUCUUCAUUCCAAGGAACAAAAAUGGUUCCUCUCCUGGUUUUUGAAAUGAUACUUUCAUUUCCUUACAUCAGUUGGUGGCGUAAUUACAACCUAACCAAUCCAUGCCUAGUAUUACAUUAAAAUCCUUCAUUUCUAUCAUGUAUAGGUUCGCUUCCAUUGGUUUUCCCUCAACUUCGAUACUUACUGACUUGGCUAUUCUAUCAGUAUUCAAAGGAUUGCCCAAAGGAAUACUAACUUCUAUUAUUCCUUCCAACUUAUCACAGGUAAUACUAGAUUUAGCCAUAAAAGUUGUUGAAGCAAAGGAGUGUGUAGCUCCUGAAUCAAACAAUACAUAAGCAGGUGUAUUGGCUAUCAGUAGAGUACCUGCUAUGACAUUAGAGUUUUCCUCUGCAUCCUGUUGAGUCAAUGCAAAAACUCGUGCUUUCCCUUUCUGGUUCUGGUCGCUGUUAUCAUCCUUCUUCUGGGUAUGUGUGGGACAAUCCCGAAUGAUAUGUCCUGGCUUGCCACAUCGAAAAUAGACAUUUUUCCCUUGAAAGCACUCGCCACGAUGUGUCCUUCCACACUUAGAACAGGGCGCAAUAACCGGCACAAUGCUUUUGCUAGUAUUGGCUCCGCCAUUAGCUUUCUUAUUCUGGCACUUGCCUUUUCCCUUAUCCUGGCCAUUCCAUUUCCUCUUUCCCAUGUUACCAUUGUCUAAUUGAUUGAACAGUUGACCAUGUUGUUCGGCGCUAGUCUUCUAGUACCAAAUAGCAUGAGCUCUUUCCAGCAUUUCACGGUAUGUGGUGAAACGAUAGGACAUAAGUAUUAUGCUUCUAUCCGAGUUCAGCCCUUGUUCAAACCUUUGUACCUUUUUAUCUUCCGUAUCCACCAGAUGUGGAGCAUACCUUGAAAGUUGAUCAAACUUUCUCUCAUACUCAGUCAGGGACAUAGUCUUUUGCUUGAGUUGGAGGAAUUCACUUUCUUUUUGAUCCCUCAAGGACUGGGGAAGUACUUGUCCAUCACUUCCCCUUUGAAUUGCUCCCAAGUCAAUUCUGCUUGUUGUUCAGGGGUCCUUGUCCUUGACGUUGAGUCCCAUCAGUGACUUGCAUCACCGGAGAACAUGAACUCAGCACACUGGACUUUCUGAGUGUUCGUGCACCCUAUCAAUCGGAAUAUACACUCCAACUUGCGAAGCCACUCCUCGGCUACAAGUGGAUCAACUACUUCAUUGAAGGUAGAGAGUUUGUGCCUUUGAAAUUGCUUGACCAUUGAAGCAUGGUUUGGAACAUUAGGAGCUAGUGGUAGGGGUUGAGCUUGGUUUGGGUUUUGCAUGCCUAGGUCUUGAACCGCUCGGAGGAGGUCUCUUAUCAAGUUUUGGUUUGCGCGAGCCAUUUCCUUUGGACAAAAUGUGUGGUUCUUAUUAGUUUCAUUCUUCGAAUACUAAAGCAAAGAAGAUAGUAUUUUAUUUCGUGACAUAAGGGAAGCUAUUACAAGGAUUUAAAUCUAAUCCCUAUAAGUUCUACGGAUCCUUUUUUUUUUUUUGGUGGAGCUUCAUCAUUGGAGGAGUCUUCCGCCUCAGGUCCGAACUCUAUGUCCAUCUCAACCUGUGGCUCUGGCUCAGGAUCAUUCUCUAAAUCAUCCUCGAGUUCUUCUUUGGGAUCUUCUUCCUCAGCCAAAAGUUCCUCACCAGGCUCCUCAUGGACUACAUUAUCCCAUAAAUCAAUCAGGGUAUGGCAAUACCUCUCAAACUCUAACAGGUUUGGGUUGCCUUCUAACAUUUCAUCCCUAACCGUGACUCCCAUAUCUCUCCAUUGAGGUGGGAGGGAGUGUAUGAGGUUAUUUAUGGCCUCAAUAUGCGUGAUCUCCAUACCAGAAUUAAUCGUCGUCAUGCGUCUCUCAUAGAUGUCAUACACAUGUUCGCUAAGCGAUCGGGUCGGAUUAGUUACAUAAUUUUCAUAAGAAUGAAUAGCAAUUCUACGGUUCAAUGCUUCUCUAUAUGCUCUAGCCAUUCUACGAGCCAUAUCUGUUGCAUUUUCACAUACAUCAUACUUUUUCUUUGCUUAAAGAAAACAUGCAAAUAUUUAAACUUUCAUAUCAUGCAAUUCCCUUUAAGCCCUUAGCUUUUGCCCAAGUCCAUUACAUAUCUUUAAAUAAUACAUCUCUAAGUCAUAUUAAAGCAUCAUAACAUAAGCAUAAUCAUUAACUUUAAACAUGAACAUACCUGGGCAAUAGGAUGAGAUUAAUGAAUGGAUGCACGAUGCUAUGAAAUACCUUAAACUUUUCAUUUUCCUUUUGUUUUAAAAAAAAACAUACUUGGUCUACAGAACCGGCUAAACCUUGCUCUGAUACCAUUAGAUGUAACACCCCGACUCCUAGUGGACCGGAACGCUACUUACUUUACUUAGCUUAACUGGUGGUUUAGUAACAAGUGUACACGUUUUAGUGGAAGCUUACAUCUUCGGAUAAUAAUUUAAAUAACGAUACUUCAAAUACUUUAAACAAAAACACUGAAUCAUUUUUCAAAACAAACAAAUGUAAUUUAUUUGAAGAAAACAUAACUUGUUCUUGCAUUCUGCGCUAUUCAAAACUUUAAAGAAAUAAUAUUGGAAAACAUUUCAUAAAAAUAAAUCCUAAUCACUUAUUCACCGGAUUUUUAUGGCCUCGUUGCAUCACUCUCCAUCUUCUCCUCCAUCCAUGCCCGAGGUAGUAUUCAUUCAAUCUAUAGAGGUGGGAUUAAACCCGUGAGUGGAAAAACUCAAUAGAUGUCAUAGGUGCAUUCGUGAUCAAGCUAUACAUUUCAAAACAUUAACUUUAUAACUUUUCAUACAUGCCGUACCAGGAGGCACCAUUUGACAUGAAGGAGUAUGUCAUACCCAAGGGCAACAUUUGACAUACGAACAUUUCUUCAACAUAGAGGGGUAUGCCGUACCGGAGUACCAUUUGACAUACAACCAUUAACAUAGAGGGAUAUGCCGUACCGGAGUACCAUUUGACAUACAAACAUUAACAUGAAUCAAAACUUAUAACUUAACAUGAUUAAACACAUUGCACCUCUACCUACCUUGAUUAAUGCUUUUGAAAAUUUGAGAACUUGGAUUGAAAACUUCGAUGAAACUUGAAUGUUGAAAGAAAUGCACUCCUUGGAUGUUUGAAAACCUUUGAGAAUUGAUGCUUGAAAACACUUCUUAAAUUUCUAGGAAAAAUAGUUUUCCUCCCUCUCUUUUUCUCUCUUGGAAACUCUUUCUUUAGUAUGUAAAAGCUCUUGCUUUUGGUGUGAGACAAAAUGAGUAAAAUGAGGUCUCUAUUUAUAGGUAAAUAUCCCAUAACUUAAAGCAAAUGAAGGGUCAAAUUUCAUUUAAGAAAGAAAACAUGAGUGUCAUUUAAGUUUGAGGUUAAAUGCUUCAAUUUAGUGGGGUUUUUUAUUGCCAAAAAUGUGGGUGGCCCUUUCAGAAAAUAAUUGAUGAAAAUAAAUAUUUAAAUUCUAGAGAAAAAUGAGAAUUUUCAUUUCAGGUAGUUUCGGUCGACCUGUUCUAGUCCGGUUGACACUGCACAGCUUUCAGUGUUUCUAUCAUAACUUCUUCUCCCAAUAUCCGAUUGAGGUAAUUCAAGAUGUGCUGGAAAGCUAACUCAAAGAGAUAAAACUUCUAUUUAGAUAUCAUUUACCAAAUCGAAUGUUUCCUAUGUCGAAAAUGGGUCUAAAAUGAGGCUAAAAAUUUGAAGUAUACUUUAGUCAUCCAAUAUUCAUGUCUUAGUGCCACUACGGUGUCUAGAAUUAUUUGGGGUUUUACAUUAGAGAUACAAACAUUAACAUAAAUCUUCAUUUGCUAGAAACUUAUCACUUAACACGAAUUAACACUUUGUUCCUCUACCUACCUUGAUUGAUGCUUUGAAUCUUGUUGAAAAAUGUACUCCGUUGAUGUUUCAAAAAAAAACACUCCGUUGAUAAUUGAUGCUUGGAAAACACUUCUUGAUAGCAUCAAAAAUUCUAAGAAAAACUAAUUUUCCUCCCUCUCCUUUUUUUUUUCUAGACUUGAAAACUCUCUCUUUUAUGCUUAGAAGCUUUUGUCUUGGUGUGAAAAAUGUGUAUGCAUUGAGGCCUAUUUAUAGGUGAAAAUCUCACAAUUUAAGGGCAAGUGAAGGGCCUAAUAAUCAUUAAUACGGGUGCCAUUUAUGUGGGAGUUAUAGGUUUAAGAAGGUGCUAGAAAAUCGUGUAGGAAUUUGACUUUUCAUAUUCCGCGUGCUUCAAUUGAUACUAUACAACCUUUAGUAUUUCUAUCAUAACUUCUGCUCCCGAUAUUCGAUUGAGGUAAUUUAGAGUGUGUUGGAAAGCUAACUCAAAGAGGUACAACUUUUCUUUAGAUAUCAUUUUCCAAAUCAAAUGUUUUCUAUGACAUAAAUGGGUCUCAAAUGAGACUAAAAAUCUAAAGUAUACUUUAGCCAUCCAAUAUUCAUGUCUAAGUACCACUAAGGUAUUUAAAAAUUAUUUGGGGUUCUACAUCCCCCACACCUUAAUUAAAAUUUCGUCCUUGAAAUUUACCUUUUGAUUGGGUGAAUAGUGUUGGAUACUUGUUUUUGGCUUCCUCUUCCCCUUCCCAAGUGGCCUCUUCUAUUUCAUGAUUAUUCCAUUGUAUUUUAACCAAUUGAAUUUCUUUGUUCCUUAAUUUAUGCACCUUUCGAUCCAAUAUCCUAAUUGAUAUCUCUUCAUAGGAUAAGUCCUUUUGUACUUCUAUGGACUGAUAGUUCACUACAUAAUUAGGAUCAUGCACGUAUUUCAUGAUCAUUGAUACAUGGAACACGUUGUGCACUGCCGAUAACCUAGGUGGGAGAGCUAACCGAUAGGCUACAUUUUCGACCCUAUCAAGUAUCUCCAAUGGUCCGAUAUAGCGGGGUCGUAGCUUUCCUUUCUUGCCAAACCUAAGUACACCUUUCAUCGGUGUCACUUUCAAAAACACUUUUUCUCCAACUUUAAAUUCUAAAUCCUUCCUCCUUGUAUCCGCAUAGCUCUUCUAUCGAUCCUGUGCUGUCUUUAUCCUUGAAUGGAUCUUAUCGAUUGCCUCAACUGUCCUUUCAAUUAUUUCUAGUCCCAAAACUCUCUUCUCCCUGACUUCAUCCAAUGAACAAGAGACCUACAUCUUCUACCAUAGAGAGCUUCGUACGGUGCCAUCCCGAUAGUUGCUUAGAAGUUGUUAAUAUAUGUGAAUUCUACUAGGGAUAUGUAUGACUCCCAACUACCCCCUAGAUCCAAAACACAUGCUCUCAGCAUGUCUUCCAAAGUUUGGAUGGUCUUUUCAGAUUGACCAUCGGACUGAGAGUGAUAUGCUGUACUAAAGUUCAGCUUCAUUCUCAUAGCUCCUUGUAGAUUUUUCCAAAAUUUGGACGUGAACCUUGGGUCUCUGUCAGACACAAUGGACACAGGUACACCGUGUAAUCUCACAACCUCUUUAAUGUACAACUGUGCGAAUUGGUCUAAACUGAAUGUCAUUUUCACUGGAAGAAAAUGAGCUGACUUUGUUAAUCGAUCCACUAUUACCCAUACAAUGUUGUUUCCUCUUGCUGACUUUGGGAAUCCAUCCACAAAGUCCAUUGUGAUAUUUUUCCAUUUCCAUUCGGGUAUGUCCAGUAGAUUUAACAAUCCAGCCGGUCUUUGGUGUUCUGCCUUAACCCGUUGACAUACCAUGCACUUUUCCACGUACAACCCUAUACUUCUUUUCAUAUUCUCCACCAAAAUGUAUCUCAGAGGUCUCGAUACAUUUUCAUACCACCGGAAUGUGCGGUGUAUGGGGUGGAAUGGGCCUUUUUCAAUAUCUCGUUUCUCAAUGCUUCAUCCUUAGGCACACAAAUUCUCUCCUUAAACAUCAGUGUCUGAUCCAAAGCUAUUCCAAAAUCCUUUCUCUUAUCAGUACCAAUUUCAUUUUUGAUCUUCAAUAAGAAUGGGUCAUUACCUUGUGUCUCUAUAAUUCGAUCUCUAAGAAUAGUCGAAUUAUCAAAACUGCUAGACGAGCAGUGACUUGUCCUGGUAUGGUAACCACUUCGAUCUGACUUUUCCAAGUCCUUGACUAACUCCAUUUGAAAAGUGGGUAGUGACGACAACUGUCCCAUUGAUUUUCUACUUAAGGCAUCGGCUACAACAUUAGCCUUACUUGGAUGGUAAUGGAUAGUAGAAUCGUAAUCAUUCACCAAUUCCAACCAUCAUCUUUGUCGCAUAUUCAAUUCCUUCUGUGUUAAUAAAUAUUUGAGACUCUUGUGAUCUAUGUAGAUAUCGCACUUCCCUCUAUACAAGUAGUGUCACCGUAUCUUCAAGGCGUGUACUACCGUCGCAAGUUCUAAAUCAUGCGUCGGGUAGUUGUGCUCAUGUUUCUUCAAUUGUCUUGAUGCAUAGGCUAUCACUUUUCCAUUCUGCAUAAACACACAUCCCAAUCCUUGGUUGGAUGCAUCACUGUAUAUAACAAACCCUUCUGUACCCUCUGUUUUAGUUCUUGGAAACUUUGUUCACAUUUAUCUGUCCAUUGAAAUUUUACUCCCUUCCUUGUAAGCUGCGUCAUUGGUCCAGUUAUUUUGGAGAAUCCUUUUAUGAAUCUCCGAUAAUAUCCUGCUAAUCCUAGAAAGCUCCGUACCUCGCCAGCAUUAGUUGGUGCUUUCUAGUUGGUUACUACUUCCCCUUUUGCUGGAUCUACCUCAAUCCCUUGGGCAGUGACUAUAUGUCCAAGAAAUCAAACUCGUUCAAGCCAGAACUUACACUUCUUGAAUUUGGCAUACAACUUUUCCUUGCAUAAUACCUCUAAUGCUAUUCUUAGGUGCUCUUCAUGUUGCUCCUUACUCUUGGAAUAUAUUAGAAUGUCAUAAAUGAAGACUAUGACAAAUUUCUCCAAGUACUGAUAAAAUACACGAUUCAUCAGGUCCAUAAACAUUGCAGGUGCAUUGGUUAGCCCAAAUGGCAUCACUGUAAACUCGUACUAUCCAUAACGAGUUCUGAAAGCUGUUUUGGGUAUAUCCUUUGACUUUACUUUCAAUUGAUGGUAUCCCGAUCGUAAAUCGAUCUUGGAAAAUACCUUCGAUCCUUUCAGUUGAUCUAAUAGAUCCUCCAUUCUCGAGAGUGGGUACUUAUUCUUGAUAGUUAAUUAAUUUAACUCCCUAUAAUCGAUGCACAUUCUCAUGCUUCCAUCCUUUUUCUUCACGAACAACACCGGCGCACCCCAUGGAGAUACACUUGGUCAUAUAAAGCCCAUAUCUAGGAGUUCUUGCAACUACUUCUUUAACUCUUGUAGUUCCUUCGGGGCCAUUCGGUAUGGGGCUUUUGACAUUGGUGCCACUCCAAGAAUUAGAUCUAUGGUGAAUUCCACUUGCCUAUCUAGUGGAAUACCAUAUAGAUCUUCUGGAAAUACAUCUACGAAUUCUCGUACUAUUGGUACGUCUUCAACCUUUAUCAUUUCUUGUUUCCCUCCUGAGAUGUUUACUAAAUAUCCUUGACAUGUUUCUUUUCUCAACAUCUUCUCAGCUUGUAAAGUCGAUACUAGUCGAAUAAGGGAUUUCGUCUUCAUUCCAAGGAACGAAAAUGGUUCCUCUCUUGGUUUUUGAAAUGAUACCUUCCUUUCCUUACAUCGGAUGGUAGCGUAAUUACAACCCAACCAAUCCAUACCUAGUAUUACAUCAAAAUCCUUCAUUUAUGUCAUGUAUAGGUUCACUUCCAUUGGUUUUUCCUCAACUUCAAUACUUACUGAUUUGGCUAUUCUAUCAGUACUCAAAGGGUUGCUUGAAGGAAUGCUAACCUCUAAUGUACCUUCGGACUUAUCACAGGUAAUACUAGAUUUAGCCAUAAAAGUUUUUGAUACAAAGGAGUGUGUGGCUCCUAAAUCAAACAAUACAUAAGCAGGCGUAUUGGCCAUCAAUAAAGUAUCUGCUAUGACGUUCGAGUUUUCCUCUGGAUCUUUCUGAGUCAUUGCAAAAACUCGUGCUUUCCCUUUUUGGUUCUGGUCAUUGUUAUUAUCCUUCUUCGAGGUAAAUGUGGGACAAUCCUUAAAAAUAUGCCCUGGCUUGCCACAUCUGAAACAGACAUUCUUCCCUUGCAAACACACUCCAGGAUACGUCUUUCCACACUUAGGACAUGGCUCUAUAAUUGGCACAAUGCUCUUGUUGGCAUUGGCUCCGUCAUUAGCUUUCUUGCUUUGCCACUUGCCCUUUCCCUUGUCCUGGCCAUUCCAUUUCCUUCUAUCCAUACUACCAUUGUCCGUUUGAUUGAACAAUUGACUAUGUUACUCGAUGCUAGUCUUCUAGUACCAGAUAGCAUGAUCUCUUUCCAGCAUUUCAUGGUAUGAGGUGAAACAAUGUGACAUAAGUAUCAUGCUUAUAUCUGGGUUCAACCCUUGUUCAAACCUCCUCACUUUCUUGUCCUCCGUAUCCACCAAAUAUGGAGCAUACCUUGAAAGUUGUUCGAACUUCCUUUCAUUCUCAGUCAGGGACAUAGUCUUUUGCUUGAGUUGGAGAAAUUCACUUUCUUUGUGAUCCCUCAAAGACUGUGGAAAGUACUUGUCCAUUACAUCAUCUUUAAAUUGCUCCCAAGUCAAUUUCGCUUGUUGCUCUGGGGUUCUCGUCCUUAAUAUCGAGUCCCACCAGUGGCUUGCAUCAUCAGAGAACAUAAACUCAGCACACUGGAUCUUCUGGGCAUCCAUGCACCCUAUUAAUCGAAAUAUUCUCUUCAACUUGCGAAGUCACUCCUCGGCUGCAAGUGGAUUAGCUGCUCCAUUGAAGGUAGGGGACUUGUGUCUUCUAAAUUGCUCGACCACUAAAGCAUGGGUUGGAGAAGCAUUAGGCGCUAGUGAUAGGGGUUGCGCCUAGUUCGGGUUUUGCCUGCCAAGGUCUUGGACUGCUUGGAGGAGAUCUCUUAUCAAAUUGGUUUGGUUUGCGCCAUUUUCCUUUAGACAAAACGUAUGGUUCUUAUUCGUUUAUACUUCGAAUUCUAACAAAGAAGAUAAAGUUUUAUUUCUUGACAUAAAUGAAGUUGUUACAAGGAUUUAAAUCUAAUCCCUAUAAGUUCUACAGAUCUUCUUUGGUGGAGCCUCAUCUCUAGAGGAGUCUUCCGCCUCAGGUCCGGAUUCUAUGUCCAUCUCCAUCUGUGGCUCGGGCUCAAGAUCAUUCCCUUCUUUAGGUUCUUCUUCAUCAAGUUCAAUUACUAUCUCUGGUUGAUGUUCUAAGUUUUCCCUCCAUAGGUCUGGGAGCUAUUGGCAAUACACUUCAAACUCAAAUAUAUUUGAGUGCUUCUCUAGCAUUACAUUCCUAACCAUGACUCCCAUAUCUCCCCAUUGAGGUGGAAGGGAGUAUAUGAGGUUAUUUAUAGCCUCAAUAUGCAUUAUCUCCAUUCCAGUGUUCAUCACUGUCAUGCAUCUCUCAUAGACAUCAUGUAUAUGUUCGUCAAGUCGACGGAGCACAUCAGUCACGUAAUUCUCAUAGGAUUGAAUGGCGAUUCUACGAUUCAAUACUCCUCUAAAUGCCCUAAUUGUUUUACGAGUCAUAUAUGUUGCAUUUUCACAUAUCAUACACAUUUUUUUUUUACUCUUGGAAAAAUAGCUACUGUUACAUAAUAUUCUACCUAUAAAUUCUAGCCCAAUGUGUAUCUUUUGAAAAAAACAUAUCUUUCAAAUCAUUUCUAACUAGCAUAGUAUAUCUUUGAAAAUAAGCAUAAGUUGUACCAUAUCAUCGCAAAGUAUCAUAACAUAGUCUUUUCAUGAAAACAUUAACUUUGAACAUACCUGGGCUGUAGGAUGAGAUUGAUGGAUGGGUGCAAGAUGCCAUGGAGUAUCUUAGACUUUUUCAUUUUUAAAAAAAAAAAUACUUGGUCUACAGAACCGACUAAAUUGUGCUCUGAUACCACGCCGUAACGCCCUGACCCCUUGUGGAUCGGAACACUACUUACUUUGCUUAACUAACUGAUGGUUUAGUCAUAGGAGAAUAUAUUUUAGCAGAAGCUUAAUUUUUACAAUGAUAAUUUUAACAACAAUCUUUCGAAUACUUUAAAUAAAAUACUGAAUAAAAAAAUAACGAAACGUAAUUUAUUUGAAGAAAACACAACUUGUUCUUGCGUUCAGCAUUAUUCAAAUACUUUAAAGAAAUAACAUUAAAAACGUUCACAAAAAUAAAUCUAAAUAACUUGUUCACCGAGUUUUCCAUGGGCUCGUUGCACCACUCUCCAUCUUUUCCAUCAUCUAGACCCAAGGUAGAAUCAUAUCAAUCUAUCGAGAAGGGGUUAAACCCGCGAGUUAAAAAACUCAUUAGAUAUCAUUGGUACAUUCGUGAUCAAGCUAUACAUUUCAAAGCUGUAACUUUCGAAACCUUUUUAUAGUAGGAAUUUCGGUAGAAUCCCAAACACGUAGAGUCAUGACUUAACACGACGCCUCGAUCGGAAGUACAUGUCAUACCCGAAUGUACCAUUAGACAUGGAGGUGAAAAAUGUGUAUGCACUAGGGCCUCUUUAUAGGUGAAAAUCUCACGAAUUAAGGGCAAGUGAAGGGCCUAAUACUCAUUAAUACGGAUGCCAUUUAUGUUGGAGUUAUAGGUGUAAGAAGGUGCUAGAAAAUCGUGUAGGAAUUUGACUUUUCAUAUUCCGCGUACUUCGGUUGAUACUGUAUAGUCUUUAAUAUUUCUAUCAUAACUUUUUCUCUCGAUAUCCGAUUGAGGUAAUUCAAAGUGAGUUGGAAAGCUCGCUCAAAGAGCUACAACUUUUCUAUAGAUAUCAUCUUCCAAUUCGAAUGGUUUCUAUGUUUUAAAUGGGUCUCAAAUGAGACUAAAAAUCUUAAGUAUAUUUUAGCCAUCCAAUAUUCAUGUCUUAGUGCCACUAAGGUGUUUUAAAAUUAUUUCGGGUUCUACAAUAAAUAUAAACUUUGAAUGACCAAAAGUCACUAAAAGAAAUAUUGUUAACAAUGUUUCCCAACUGAUUCAUCUAUAGGUUCACCAUUUUUUCGUGUAUGUCCUCGAAUAUAAACAUCAUCUCUCGUUAUGGAAUCUGUGUCUUCAAUUUCAGCAUGCUACAUUUUACUUAAUUAAUAUAUGUGAUAGCAUAAGCGUUUAAAAUUUUUCAAGCAAAUUUAAUUUUUAAUUUAACAAAUUUUUACCUUUUCUGCUUCUAAAUGAGCAAAGCCCUUUCUACUUGUUGAAUGCAUUAGGGUUUGACUUGCUCUCAUCUUUAUGAAUCUUUCACUCUUUUCCUACAACAUCAAUUAGUACUUUGAAAGAAUAACUUUUAUUAGGAAUAUAAAGCAAAUGUAGCAAGCAAUUUAGGAAAAAGUAAUGAAAUUUUACCUUAUAUGGUUGAGAAUUGCAUUCUAUGACAAAUGUUUGUCAUUCUUUCAUUGAUUCAACAUUAUCAGGCUUGAGGAAAGCAGCAGCUCAUGUCAUGCCAAUUGUUUUCCCCCUGUCAUUGAUUGCAUUAAGCACAUUAGAUCAUGAUCUUGCCAAUUCUUUCCCAUUUUUUGCAUGAUGUAUUUUCUAUGACAAGUGUCAACAUCAAACUUUUGCUGCAUCAAAGCACACAAUAUUAAUAGUAAUUUAAAUUAAAUUAUAUAAGAGACGCAAAGUUUAUAGUAACUGCACAUGCUCCCAUAUGUCAUCAAGAAAAUUUUUGCUGAUAUCUUUCCAAUUUUUCCACGUAAUUGGUAUAAGUUCUCUGGCUGUGGUCCCAAAAAAUGAUGAUAACUUUGUUGAACCUUUAUAAAUUGGCUGCCCUCUUUCAUUAAACUCUAUUGAUAACUUCUCGCCUCUUCUCUUGUUUAAAUAAUUCAAUUUUGCUCGACCCCUUUCCUUCUUUCCUUUUUCAGUAGUACUAACACUAUUAGGCAACAGUUUUACAUCAUGUUGCACAUCAUUUACUUGUGUGUUUGGAAUAGAAUUAGAACCUCAUUAUGAUAUUCUUAUCCAUUCAUUAUCUUAUCUUGUGGCCGCAACAUUUAAAGAUUUGUUUAGCUCGUUUUGACUUUUUAUAGCCUUGAUUAGAUGACUAUAUUAAACAAGUAAGAAAAACAAGAAAUAUUUUACUUGAAUUUAUACUUCACCAAGAUAUUUCAUCUUAUUCCACUCGUGUAAACAUCCGCAUAAAAAAAACUCAGCUUUCAUCGUUUGCAUCUAUAAAAAUAAAGCAAGAAAUAGUGGAAUUAGAGACAAUAAUGACAUUAACAUCAAUAUAAUAUUAGAUAACUAGUAAAUUAAAAUAGAGCAAGAAAGAAUCUUAAAGAUAUACAACUACCAUAUUCAAUAUCAAUGCCCUCACAAUCAUGUCUUAAAUAACCUUCAUCUUCAACGGUCAUAUCAAGUCUUAAUGCAUCUAAAGUGGAUGGAGUAUAAGCAUCCUCAUCACAAUUUUCUAACUCAUGAAAUCCUCUAGGAGGUGCCUUUAAUACAAUAUACCAAUUAGAUGUAUCGCUCUAUCUAGAAUAAAAAAACUUGUUUUGCUUAUGAAACUAAAAUAAAUGAAUCUCUUUCAAAUAGAUAUUGUCCUUUAUGAAGAUUUACCAGUGUAAAUCCUUCUUCAAUCUUGACUCCACUAUCUAUAUUUGCCCAAUCACAAUGAAACAUAAGAAUUUUAAAACUAUGAUAAUCUAGUAAAAUAAUGUCCCUGAUAACCCCGUAAUAAGAUAUUUUACCAACUACAUGGCUUAUAUCCUUCACACUAGACCAGCAAAUAGUUUGUGCUUCAACAGAAACACCACUAUUUUGUGCACUUCUACUAACAUCAGUUGUAUGAAAUCGAUGUCUAUUGAUAACAUAACCAAAAUGUGACAUCACAUCAUAUCCAGGCCACCGUGCAAGCCAUUUCAACAUAUUAGACAUGUUACAAUUGUCUUGACUGCCUUUCUCCGCAAACCAAGAAGUGAAAGUCUCCAUAUGUCUCAUUUGUAAUAAGGUUUCAUUCUUGCCAAUAUGGCUAUCUGAAUUCUUAAUCUCCUCUUUAUGCAUCCUAAAGGAAAAUAAAUAAAUAAAUGUAAGGGAAGUUUGAGAGAAUAUUAAUCAAUGUUAAACUAAUAAAUUAACUAGCUUCAUUACAUUAUGUAUGGCUCAACUGCAAUGCUGUUAAACUGCACAUAAUGAUGAGCGACCUCUAACAUUUCUGGACUCAAAGUCUUUGACUUUCCUUUAGAAAUCGGACAUCCAUCAAUAAUUGUUUCAUUCUCAAAAUCUUCAUUUCGAGUAUGUCGAACACCUACUUCAGCGACUUGUUUCAUGUAACCAAUACCAAAAUGCAUACAUUCAUCGGCUGAAUAACGCUUUGCUAUGCAGCCCUCGAGUCUUGAACGAUUUCUAACAUAUCCUUUAAGUGUUUUUAUAAACCCAAUUAAUCAUAUAAUGCGCAUUAGAUAUCUAAGUAAUUAGAAGAAAAAAGUUUGAAUACUUACAAAAGCAUAAUAGUAAUUUAUCUCUCAAAUGGAAACAUCCAACGAUAUUGUAUAGGUCUACCAAUACGAACUUCACGCUCAAGGUGGAUUGUUAAAUGAAUCAUUAUGUCAAAAAGGGAUGGGGAGAAAUACAUUUCUAGCAUAGACAAAGUCACAACGAAAUCCUCCUCAGGUUUUUCUAAUUUAUUUUUAUCGAUGACUCUUUAACAUAUUUCAUCCAAAAAUGCACAUAGUCGAAAAAUUGCAUUUCUUAGUCCUCUUAAUGCAACUGAUAGCAAUUGUUGUAUGAGCACACGGCAAUCAUGUGACUUUAGAUUUAAAAUCCUAUUAUCUGCUAAUGAUACACACUUUGAAAUGUUAGGUAACUUUAAAUUAAAUAGCCUCUUACAGAACAACUCUCUCUCUUUUUUUGGAUGUCAUAUAUGAUGUUGCGGGGAGGUAAUAUAUAUUUCCUUUCAAUUCUUGAUGAAGCAAUUUUCUAAUAUCCAUAUUGAGUAAAUCCUUAUUGGAAUUUAACCCAUCUUUUGAUUUUCCCUUCACAUGCAAAAUAGUGCCAAGAAUGCUUUUGCAAACAUUCUCCUCAAUGUGCAUUAUAUCCAAAUUAUGGUGCAAAAGUAGUGUCUGAAAAAUAACAAUAUAAAUUUUAAAAAAGUCUAAGUAAAUAAAAACUAAUUCAAAAUAAUUUAAAAUCACUAACCUUCCAAUAUGGUAGCUCAAAAAAUAUUGACUUUUUUAUCCAUGGCCAAUUGGAAUUUGAUUUUUCAUCUUUCCCUUUUUCCUAUUUUUCCCCAAUUAUUGCUAACAUUCUUGAUUGGACACAUCACUUCUCGAUCAGUUAAUAUUUUAGGACUCGGUCUAUGCUCCUUGUUUCCAUCAAACCAAGCUUCUUUUGACCAAUAAGGAUAUGAUUAUAUGCAAGAAAUCUUCUAUGACAUUUGUACAAAAAACUUUCGACUAUAAGUCAACCAUUUUGUACAUGUGGAUAAACCACAUAUUGGACAUGCUACUUCGCCGUUUGUAAGAUAUCCUGAUAAGUUCCCAUAAGUCGGAAGAUCAUUAAUUGUCCACAUCAGCAAAGCUUUUAAAUUGAAGGUGGAUUGGUAAAUCCAUCAUAUACUUUGACAUCAAUAUUCCACAACUCCUUUAAGUCUUCUAUUAGUGGUUCUAGAUACAUGUCUAUAUCAUUUUCAGGUUGCUUGAGACUUGGGAUUAAUAAAGCCAACAACAAAUUUUCCUUAGACAUGCAUAUCCAAGGAGGGAGAUUAUAUAUAACUAGUAUCACUGGCCAACAACUAUACCUAGAACUUAGGUCACCAAAGGGAUUAAAUCCAUUAGAAGAAAGGCCAAGCCUAUGAUUUCGUGGUUUAGAUGCAAAACAAGGCCAUUUUUUAUCAAUUCUCUACCAAGCUAAUGAAUCAAUUGGAUGACGCAUUUCCCCAUCUAGGCUUUUGUGAAUUGAGUGCCAUAUUAAGUGUUCUGCCUUAUCAAGUGAUCUAAAUAUUCUUCUAUAUCGUGGUAUAGUAAAAAAAUAUCACAAAACCUUUACAGGUAUCCCUUUUUGAAUCUUUUUAGAUGGUUUAUUAAUUUCCACAGUGAAGAUGCACAUUUUGGACAUGUCUUCAAAUUCUCUAGAUCAUUUCUAAACAAACAACAAUCAUUUACGCAUGCAUGUAUCUUCUCAUACCCCAAGUCAAAGGUUUUCAAUAACCUUUUAAUUGAAUUGCAAGAAUUAAGAAGGGUAUUCCCAUGUGGUAGUAUAUCUCGGAUAAUAUCAAGAAGUUCAUUGAAACCGUUGUCAGAUAUACCAUAUGUAGCUUUAAGCUUGUAUAAGACAACAGUUGCAAAUAUCCUUGUAUACUCUGUGCAACAAAGAUAUGGAAGAAUUUCUACGCCCUCCUAUAAAUUUGAAAAAUCUCUCUCUCUAUGUUCAUUCUCGACUUCUACACUAUUAUAAUCUUGAAAAAAUGCAUCUCUGUACAUCCUAUACAUCUCUAUAUUUUCUACAACUUGAGAAGGCAAUGAUGCUGCAUUCGAUUUUUUCCCAUGAAACACCUAGGUAGUAUAUGUAGGAUCCAUGCCAUUGAUGAUCAAAUGUCCACACAUUAUAUCAAAAUGUUGGUGGAAUAGGUUUUUACAACAUUUGCAAAGGCGUAUGACCUUUUCUGGAUUUAUGGCAUUGGCUUGCGCCAUAUUUGCAAAUUUGCUCGCACCACAUUGAUAUGCCUAUGAAAAUCUAUUAAAAAAAUGCUAAAUAAGUCAUCUAAAAAGCAUUUGAAGACAUAUUUUAAAAUAUUCUAAAUUUAAGAGGACAAGAUAACUUUGAUAAGUGUACCCAAUCUUUAUCCAUGGUAAUAUAACAACACUAUUAAGUUAUAAUAUGUUAUAAUAUUGUAAAAAUGAAGUGAAAAUUAUUAUAUUAGGAUAUCAUAGAAAUCAAGUUUAAAUUAGGUAAGCCAUUUUGACAAUAAAGUUUCACACAAAGUGGAAUUAGAAAAAAUAAUUCAAACCUAAAUUAAGACAGGUGAAAUUGGAACACUAGAACCUCUUUCAACACUACAGCAAUCUGUUGAGAAAUUAAUUGAGAAUUUGGUUAAGAAUGUGGUCAAUAGAAAUAUUUAUGAAAGACGAAGGCCUAUUGAUGUGUAUUUUUAGCGAAAGGCCUCAUGGAGGCAUUAUAAUUUGAUUGUGUAAUUUGAUUUCUCAAGAUGCAAAAAGACAAUAAAUUAGUUAAGAUAUUUAGUGUCAAUCAAAGUAUAGUUGAAUCCAAAAUAUUCCACCAAACAUAAAUAAAAAUCAUUCACUAAUUAUGGUUACAUCUAAAUGUAAAAAGAGUACAACGACCAUACAUUGUAUCUAUUGUUAUGCAACUAAAAAAAUAUAAUUCUCAUUAUCAUGAAUUAGACAUGCUGUUGAUCCUCAUUAAAGCUGUGUUCAUCAUCAAAGUUAUUCUAUUCGCACUCAGUAGCAUCAUCUUCCUCAUUAGCAUUAUCCUCCAUUGACAUUGGUAUAAAAAAUGAUACAGCAAAGUCGGGAACUUUACCGCAUAUAUAGCUAACGCAUAGAAUAAUGCCAAGAAUGCAAUGUAGAAUUGAAUUGUUUUUCAACAACCUUUAGCUUGUUUUGCAUCCUUUGCGCCAUCUUCAUCUAGCUGCAUUGGCUAUGCGUACAUUGGAAGAAGGUGUACCAACGUCUUGAAGGUUACCAUCUCUCAACCAACGAAUUCGACGUUUAGGCUUCUAACCUAGAAUAUACAUCAUGAUAUUAAGUCUACUCUGAUUAGCAAAUUCUUUGAUCUACAUGUGGCAGUAUUAUUGCAGAUGGGUAAUCAAUUCUUGUGUAUUUUGUAAUUUUAUGAACCCAUCAAAUACAAAUCCAAUGGAAUGAUGAGGUAAUUGAAACUUUCUCCUCUUAUGUAAAAUUCACUGUUGACCAUUUAGCAACUAGCACUCUCAAAUCUUGCAUUGACAUUUUAUCGAACAACUGAGGAAGAAAGAACUUGACUAGAAUGAUAACACUUUCCUGCAGCCAGUGGAGUCAAUCUUCUAAUAAUGUGCUUGAAGGACUACUCGCAAGCAGUGAUAUACUUUACCAAUAAAAUGUUGUGAUCAUUUAAAAAGAAAAUAGCACGUGUCAUUAGUUAAAACACGUCAAAUUGAAGAAAAGUCCAAUUCCACUGCAUAUUGUUGCAUCAAAGGGAUGAAAAACAACAUAAUUCACCUAAAAUAUUGGAGUUCACAAGCAACAGAAGUGAGCAACAGAACUGCAAAGGUUCUUCAAUCCAGAAAAAAUGACAGUAUCGUCAUGCCUGCCAAAAGAAACCUUCUACUGCUGGAUCAGAUCCAACUGCAGCAAGUAUCUUUUCUUUUUCAAUGAAAAAGUGGAGUACCACAUUCUGUGAUAAUAUCACAGAUGUAAGGCUUUCCUGCAAGUACUUCAUACGAGCCUAAAGUUGAAGAACGUUAAAGUAAAUGACAAACAUAUUUACCUGGAGAGCAUCAUGAGGGUUGUUCAUCUCUUUUUCUUCCAAUAGACCAAUCUUCUCAAAAUUAUGACCAUACUCAACCAAAUGAUUCAACACCGAGUAUGUAUUUGUCUAGUUAUCCCAACACACGGUACCUAUAAGUAUUCAGUUUGAAAUUAUUAAGCAAGUCAAAAUAAUGGAUCAAUAAUACACCUAUCACCCUCUUCAUGUGAAGGGAGACAACAAUAUUAUUGUCUAUAAAUGUAUCUGAUUCUAUUGAUGAAGAUUAAGAAUCUUAUUGAGAGAGAAAAUUAUUAUCCACUUUCAUAAACGCUAUUUCCUACUCUUAAUAACAAAGAUUAGAACCAGUCUAUUACCAGGGAGCCUUACUGUCUAGCUAAACCUUUAACGAAGCUGUUAAUUGUGAAAAAAAAAAAAACAGAGUUAAAUACAUAGCCAGGUCCUGCAAUGAAGAUGUCAAAUUUAUUGUGGGAUGUGAACUCAUGCAUACCUAGUGCAAAUAUUGGCAACCCAAUUUCAAGGUGUAGCCAAGUGAACAACGAAGCUAAUCUUAGGCUUUAAGUGCAUUGCAUAUGCCAAAGCAAUUUCACACGAUUCACAGACGAAUCAUCAAUACCACAAUUUCUACUACCAAGUACUAACCAUAGGUAAUGCUAAUAAACAUGAAAUUUUGGCACACAAGUUUUAUAUAUAAUUAAAAUAAAGGAACGGAUUAAAAAACCGAUGCAGUUGACCCUUGAAAAUUCUCUCUCUUUUGACAAAAAAUAAAUUUCAGCACGAAAUUAUCUAGAAAAUUACUCAAAUUAAACUAAAACAUAAAUAACUAAUGUCACUCACUUUCCAAGUUUUAGGACACCAAGCCAACAUAGUCUCAAAACUCAGGAAAGAAUCAAAUGGAAACAAUCUUCGCUACCAAUUGUCGAAACAUAAACGAGGACUAUAAACAUGUAUUUGACGUAAAGUUGUGAAGAUACCAUGAAAGAUUUGAAAAUUAUUUUAUAAUCUUACUCAAAAUAAGAAAUAAUUGAGGACUUAAUCGCUAAAACAAGCGAUGAACAAAAUCUAAUUGAAUCAUAUCCUAUCUUUUUAUGAAAUAUCUAACAAAGAUCCUCCUUUUGGUAGACCGCUGAGGAAGAAAAGCCUUAAUGCUCAACAAUGGCUUUAAACAUAAAACUAUUCAGCAUUAAAUUCUAGGUGUUUUGGAUGAAUGAUUUUAAUAAUUACGUCAAAAAAUAGAGAUUUUUGAGUUGAUCAAAAAGGGGGAAAAAACCUCGGUAUUCAACAGCUCAGGCUCAAAGAAUGCAUUUAUAUUUAUUUUCUUACCAUUGUUGGCUAGUUACGUGAUUCCUCUACAUUCAUUCAUAUACAGAAAUUAUGUGCUAUUUGUGGCAUUUAAUUUAAAGCAACGGGAUAGUACUCAAAAAUAAGACUGCAAGUGAGUAUUAAUCUCACCAAUUAAAAUAGAAAUUAAUCUUUCUUCAAAGAUUAGAACCAGUCUAUUACCAGGGAGCCUUACUGUCUGGCUAAACCUUUAACGAAGCUGUUAAUUGUGAAAAAAAAAAAAACAGAGUUAAAUACAUAGCCAGGUCCUGCAAUGAAGAUGUCAAAUUUAUUGUGGGAUGUGAACUCAUGCAUACCUAGUGCAAAUAUUGGCAACCCAAUUUCAAGGUGUAGCCAAGUGAACAACGAAGCUAAUCUUAGGCUUUAAGUGCAUUGCAUAUGCCAAAGCAAUUUCACACGAUUCACAGACGAAUCAUCAAUACCACAAUUUCUACUACCAAGUACUAACCAUAGGUAAUGCUAAUAAACAUGAAAUUUUGGCACACAAGUUUUAUAUAUAAUUAAAAUAAAGGAACGGAUUAAAAAACCGAUGCAGUUGACCCUUGAAAAUUCUCUCUCUUUUGACAAAAAAUAAAUUUCAGCACGAAAUUAUCUAGAAAAUUACUCAAAUUAAACUAAAACAUAAAUAACUAAUGUCACUCACUUUCCAAGUUUUAGGACACCAAGCCAACAUAGUCUCAAAACUCAGGAAAGAAUCAAAUGGAAACAAUCUUCGCUACCAAUUGUCGAAACAUAAACGAGGACUAUAAACAUGUAUUUGACGUAAAGUUGUGAAGAUACCAUGAAAGAUUUGAAAAUUAUUUUAUAAUCUUACUCAAAAUAAGAAAUAAUUGAGGACUUAAUCGCUAAAACAAGCGAUGAACAAAAUCUAAUUGAAUCAUAUCCUAUCUUUUUAUGAAAUAUCUAACAAAGAUCCUCCUUUUGGUAGACCGCUGAGGAAGAAAAGCCUUAAUGCACAACAAUGGCUUUAAACAUAAAACUAUUCAGCAUUAAAUUCUAGGUGUUUUGGAUGAAUGAUUUUAAUAAUUACGUCAAAAAAUAGAGAUUUUUGAGUUGAUCAAAAAGGGGGAAAAAACCUCGGUAUUCAACAGCUCAGGCUCAAAGAAUGCAUUUAUAUUUAUUUUCUUACCAUUGUUGGCUAGUUACGUGAUUCCUCUACAUUCAUUCAUAUACAGAAAUUAUGUGCUAUUUGUGGCAUUUAAUUUAAAGCAACGGGAUAGUACUCAAAAAUAAGACUGCAAGUGAGUAUUAAUCUCACCAAUUAAAAUAGAAAUUAAUCUUUCUUCCACGUUGAUCAUGAAAUAAAUGCACUGGUAGAGCUAAAACUCGUGUCCUGAGGAUAUCAACACACCCGCAAUAGAAUUCCUUACCCCAAAAUGAGUAUCUCAAAGAUCGCAUUCGUUCUUAGUAUUAUAAAAUUUGUUUUGGUGACUAUAAUUAUAACAAGUAUUGUUUGAUAGUUUUGGACAAUAAAAACAAGAAAAGGUAAAAAUCAUCUUCAUUAUGUGGUCCAGAGUCGUAUCCACUAGUCUGCACGAAAUAUGCAUGGAGUAAUUCGUCUUAAUUAGUUAAAGAGAAAAAAAUGGAGUAUAUAUUGAUAAGAAUCCAAUGGUGAGAUAAAGAAGUAUUCCAUUUUAAUUCCUUUCUAAAGCAACAUUUAUAUACAGCUAUAUGUUCAAUAAAUAAGUCAAUUCUAGCAAUUUUGUAGUUUCAGCUGCCAGUUCAUCAUUUUAGCCAUGGACUUAUUCAGAAGUAAAGAAAAAGAGUCUAAUUACAAAUGUGAAGGGAAGGAACAUGACAGUUCACCAAAGAGGUCUAGGAAGACCAAGCACACUGUGAGGAGGAAGAGACUAGAACUAGAACAAAAUAUAUCUUCCGUGACUAGAUUUUCCCAAUCAACCAAAAAGCCGGUGAAAACGCUCAUUUAUUGAUUAAAAAAAAUACUGAGUUGGCCAUUUGUUUGCGAAAAAUUUUUUUUCCGUCCCACAAAAAAUUAGCCUGUGAAAAGAUCAUUUACCAACCAAAAUAAUUAAUAGUCGGCCUAUAGGAGACAUAUUUGCCAAUUAGAUGAAAUGGGUCUGUGAGAUAUUUUAUUUUUAUUUCACAGGGAAUAUGGGCACAACAAUUAAUUGGACUUUUGGACCCAAAAUAACAUUUAGCUAUGGUAAGAAAUUGCUGUGUGUCUUCUCCAUUUCCGGCCGUGCAUAUCCCAUUCUGAUGCCGUCAGUAUCCAUCUAUUUUUGGCCGUCCCUUGUGAGUUUACUUUAUCUAUCUUUUCCUCUCUUUGUAUAAACCGAGGGAGAUUUACCCCUUGGUUAAUGAAAAAAGCCAAGGGAGGAUUGGGAUAUAUUGGAUAUUCUCAUGUGAAAAAUAUAAAGUUGACAUUAUUGCAAACUUGUGCUUGCAAGUAAUCAGAACAUUCUUCCACAAGUGAUAUUUGAUAGUGUUAAUAUGUUCAAAGUUUAGGGUUUUAGGAAUUUUUAUAACAUUCAAUGAGAAGUAACAUAACCCACUAUUGAUCUGAAAGUAAACUAGGAUCAGUUGCUCCCCUUUAUGUUCUAAUUUUUUAAUUUACGAUCACGUAAUCAGCACGAACUGGGUACAACAUGCUGCAAUUACUAUUUGAUAUGUUAUAUGUGUCAAGAUUUGGCUACUCCUCUUAAAAAUGUUGACCUUAUUAAGAUGAACCCCAAAUCUUGACAUGGUUUCAGAGCCCAUUAACCUCUAACAAGCGAUUCGAUCCGAUUAAGUCUCUAAAAAUGAGCACACGGAUUUCAAGAUGGUCUGCUCAAAUGGGCCACCAUCUUGCGGGGGCAUGUUAAGGGAAUAUAAUCCCACAUCGGUAAAAUACCGAAAUAAUGACCAAUUUAUAAAGGAUUGGGACACUCCUCUUAAUGAUGUUUACCUUAUUAAGAUGGACCCCAAAUCUUAACAAUAUGUACCGAGCAGCACAGUGAAAGAUUCUCUGUCGAUAUGAUUUUAUAGAAGGAAAUAUUAAAUUAGCAUUAAAAGGUUAAAUGAAUGCUUCGUGCAUAUUCUAAAUCACUCAUGCUUCAUUCAUAUUCUGAAUCACUUAACUGCUUCAGAAGAAACUUUAUACCCUUUAAAAUAUAGAAAACGACAAGCUCAUGAAAACAGGAUACCGAAAGAACUUGAGAAAAAAGAUAUGCUACGGGAAAAAUGGGAAGAGAAAAUAAGGGAGUGGCAAGAUUAUGUAAGACAGAAGGAAGAUAGAGCUUAUAUAGGGUGAGCGUCUAGAACUGACGGGGUAAGAUGCUUCAAAUAUUACCUUCAAUUGUUUCCCUGAUUAUAACACCUUGCAAAAUCUCAAGUCAUUCCCAGAAGAUUUGUGUCAAUUCCCUCAGAAGACNUACAAGCUAGCAUGAUAAACAACAUUAAGCUAGUUAAUUAUUCUAAACUUAGAUGAAAAAAUUAACCCAAACAUUUAUCAUAUAAAUAAAAUGUACCAAGUAAGUUCAACCAACACAAAUAAGUUAUUUUACAAACAAAAGAAUGCUUUUCCAACCACAUGAGAACUUGAUUUUCUUUUUCUAAAUAUCUCAAGCAUGGAAAGCAUGGUUACGAUAAGACUCGGACUCUGUGAAGAAUGUCACAUUGCGGAGCUCGAUCUGGGUGAGACUUCAGCAAUGUUCAUUUGUGAGCUGCCUGGACCUGAAAUUUCACCACAUGUCAGUGAUCAAGUUCCACUCAAUAGUAAUCAAUGGAUAGUUAAAAGUGUUAAGGCCCACAAAGUAGGAAUGCUAGGAGGACCUAAAUUGUAACAUUAUUUGCCUAAUGAACUAUGAAAUUAAAAUAGAAAAGAAGUUAAGCAUACCAUCAUUGUGGUUACAGUAAAUCCACUUCAAUAUACCUAAUUGGCCAUGCUAUUGUACUUCAUAAUGCAUCUUCAAGAAGAAAAAGCUCACGUGUAAGACAAUAUAAGCUAACAUUAUCAAUCACUUCACUAACCCAAAUUCUCCAACAUUCAUUACCAAGUGGUACAUGAUGCACUAAAUCACUUGGAUUUGUUGAUGCAAUUUCACCUUUUGCAACAACAUGAGCUUUCCCAGACCAAGAUAACAACUUCCAUUUCCUACUUUGAAGGUUAUUUGAACCAUCCAAGCUUCUGUCCCUAGUCUAUAAAAUUUAUAUCCAAUUGUACAAUUUAUUAUUUUGAAUAUAGAAAUUAAAUGUAAUUUAGAAUAACAUUCAUUAAUUCUAGUUUUCCACUUACAUUAUCUUUUUGUUCAUCACUCUUACUCUUCAUUUGAAACAAAGCUUUUAAUUCUUUAAUUUCAUCUCUCAACUCUUGCACUUGAGUUUGCAAGUUAUGAUUGUGCACCAAAGCAUUCAACUUUGAAGGAGUUGCACCGAAACCAAGACCUCUUACCGAUCCUCGAUUCUGGACCAAGUACUCUAGGAACACCAUCAUCUUUAAGGGAGUGUUGGCUUGGGAAGGUAACUGCCUCUGGAUAUGCUUUUAUUUUGUUCUGAUACGAGGAAAUAAAUUAAUUGGCAAAAAUUAUAAAUAUAAACUUUGAAUGACCAAAAGUCACUAAAAGCAAUAUUGUUACCAAUGUUUCCCAACUGAUUCAUCAAUAGGUUCAUCAUUUUUUCGUGUAUGUCCUCGAAUAUAAACAUCAUCUCUCGUUAUGGAAUCUGUGUCUUCACUUUCAGCGUGCUGCAUUUUCCUUAUUUCAUAUAUGUGAUAGCAUAAGCAUUUAUAAUUUUUCAAGCAAAUUUAACUUUUAAUUUAACAAAUUUUACCAUUUCUGCUUCUAAAUGAGCAAAGCCUUUUCUACUUGUUGAAUGCAUUAGGGUUUGACCUGCUCUCAUCUUUCUGAAUCUUUCACUCUUUUCCUACAGCAUCAAUUAGUACUUUGUAAGAAUAACUUUUAUUAGGAAUAUAAAGUAGAUGUAGUAAGCAAUUUAGGAAAAAGUAAUGAAAGUUUACCUCAUAUGGUUGAGAAUUGCAUUCUAUGACAAAUGUUUGUCAUUCUUUCAUUGAUUCAACAUUAUCGGGCUUGAGGAAAGCAGUAGCUCGUGUCAUGCCAAUUGUUUUUCCUUUGUCAUUGAUUGCUUUAAGCACAUUAGAUCGAUGAUCUCACCAAUUCUUUCCCAUUUUUUGCAUGAUGUAUUUUCUAUGACAAGUAUCAACAUCAAACUUUUGCUACAUCAAAGCACACAAUAUUAAUAGUAAUUUAAAUUAAAUUAUAUAAGAGACACAAAGUUUAUAGUACCUGCACAUGCUCUCAUAUGUCAUCAAGAAAAUUUUUGCUGAUCUCUUUCCAAUUUUUCCACGUAAUUGGUAUAAGUUCUCUGGCUGUGGUCCCAAGAAAUGAUGAUAACUUUGUUGAACCUCUACAAAUUGGCUGCCCUCUUUCAUUAAACUCUAUUGAUAACUUCUCGCCUCUUCCCUUGUUUAAAUAAUUCAAUUUUGCUUGACCCCUUUCCUUCUUUCCUUUUUCAGUAGUACUAACACUAUUAGGCAACAGUUCUACAUCAUGUUGCACAUCAUUUACUUAUAUGUUUGGAACAUAAUUAGAACCUCAUUAUGAUGUUCUUAUCCUUUCAUUAUUUCUCUUGUGGCAGCAACAUUUAAAGCUUUUUUUUAGCUCGUUUUGACUUUUUAUAGCCUUGAUUAGAUGACUAUAUUAAACAAGUAAGAAAAACAAGAAAUAUUUUACUUGAAUUUACUAAUAAAAAUUAUUAUAUAUACCAUCUGGGAACUUACUUCACAAGGAUAUGUCAUCUUAUUCCACUCGUGUAAACAUCAGCAUCAACAAAACUCAGCUUUCAUCGUUUGUAUCUAUAAAAAUAAAGCAAGAAAUAAUGGAAUUAAAGACAAUAAUGACAUUAACAUCAAUAUAAUAUCACAUAACUAGUAAAUUAAAAUAGAAAAGAAGUGAAGCGUACCUUCGUUGUGAUUACAGCAAAUCCACUUCGAUGUACCUAAUUGGCCAUGCUAUUGUACUUCCUAAUGCAUCUUCAAGAAGAAAAAGCUCACGUGUAGGACAAUAUAGGCUAACAUUAUCAAUCAUUUCACUAACCCAGAUUCUCCAACAUUCAUUACCAAGUAGUACAUGAUGCACUAAAUCACUUGGAUUUGUUGAUGCAAUUUCACCUUUUGCAACAACAUGAGCUUUCCCAGACCAAGAUAACAACUUCCAUUUCCUACUUUGAAGGUUAUUUGAACCAUCCAAGCUUCUGUCCCUAGUCUAUAAAAUUUAUAUCCAAUUGUACAAUUUAUUAUUUUGAAUAUAGAAAUUAAAUGUAAUUUAGAAUAACAUUCAUUAAUUCUAGUUUUCCACUUACAUUAUCUUUUUGUUCAUCACUCUUACUCUUCAUUUGAAACAAAGCUUUUAAUUCUUUAAUUUCAUCUCUCAACUCUUGCACUUGAGUUUGCAAGUUAUGAUUGUGCACCAAAGCAUUCAACUUUGAAGGAGUUGCACCGAAACCAAGACCUCUUACCGAUCCUCGAUUCUGGACCAAGUACUCUAGGAACACCAUCAUCUUUAAGGGAGUGUUGGCUUGGGAAGGUAACUGCCUCUGGAUAUGCUUUUAUUUUGUUCUGAUACGAGGAAAUAAAUUAAUUGGCAAAAAUUAUAAAUAUAAACUUUGAAUGACCAAAAGUCACUAAAAGCAAUAUUGUUACCAAUGUUUCCCAACUGAUUCAUCAAUAGGUUCAUCAUUUUUUCGUGUAUGUCCUCGAAUAUAAACAUCAUCUCUCGUUAUGGAAUCUGUGUCUUCACUUUCAGCGUGCUGCAUUUUCCUUAUUUCAUAUAUGUGAUAGCAUAAGCAUUUAUAAUUUUUCAAGCAAAUUUAACUUUUAAUUUAACAAAUUUUACCAUUUCUGCUUCUAAAUGAGCAAAGCCUUUUCUACUUGUUGAAUGCAUUAGGGUUUGACCUGCUCUCAUCUUUCUGAAUCUUUCACUCUUUUCCUACAGCAUCAAUUAGUACUUUGUAAGAAUAACUUUUAUUAGGAAUAUAAAGUAGAUGUAGUAAGCAAUUUAGGAAAAAGUAAUGAAAGUUUACCUCAUAUGGUUGAGAAUUGCAUUCUAUGACAAAUGUUUGUCAUUCUUUCAUUGAUUCAACAUUAUCGGGCUUGAGGAAAGCAGUAGCUCGUGUCAUGCCAAUUGUUUUUCCUUUGUCAUUGAUUGCUUUAAGCACAUUAGAUCGAUGAUCUCACCAAUUCUUUCCCAUUUUUUGCAUGAUGUAUUUUCUAUGACAAGUAUCAACAUCAAACUUUUGCUACAUCAAAGCACACAAUAUUAAUAGUAAUUUAAAUUAAAUUAUAUAAGAGACACAAAGUUUAUAGUACCUGCACAUGCUCUCAUAUGUCAUCAAGAAAAUUUUUGCUGAUCUCUUUCCAAUUUUUCCACGUAAUUGGUAUAAGUUCUCUGGCUGUGGUCCCAAGAAAUGAUGAUAACUUUGUUGAACCUCUACAAAUUGGCUGCCCUCUUUCAUUAAACUCUAUUGAUAACUUCUCGCCUCUUCCCUUGUUUAAAUAAUUCAAUUUUGCUUGACCCCUUUCCUUCUUUCCUUUUUCAGUAGUACUAACACUAUUAGGCAACAGUUCUACAUCAUGUUGCACAUCAUUUACUUAUAUGUUUGGAACAUAAUUAGAACCUCAUUAUGAUGUUCUUAUCCUUUCAUUAUUUCUCUUGUGGCAGCAACAUUUAAAGCUUUUUUUUAGCUCGUUUUGACUUUUUAUAGCCUUGAUUAGAUGACUAUAUUAAACAAGUAAGAAAAACAAGAAAUAUUUUACUUGAAUUUACUAAUAAAAAUUAUUAUAUAUACCAUCUGAGAACUUACUUCACCAGGAUAUGUCAUAGUAUUCCACUAGUGUAAACAUCAGCAUCAACAAAACUCAGCUUUCAUCGUUUACUUCUACAAAAAUAAAGCAAGAAAUAAUGGAAUUAAAGACAAUAAUGACAUUAACAUUAAUAUAAUGUCACAUAACUCGUAAAUUAAGUGCUUUUUUGGUAGGGAUUUUGUUGAUUGAUUUUUUGACCAUUAAAGAUAAAGUGGGUCCUACUUAUGAGAGAAGAAUUCAAAAAUGAAGGCUGAAAUAGUGAAAUAACAGUCAAAAAAUUUAUUUUAAUUGGAUUUUAAACUGUACCAAACAUGCUCUAAAAUAGAGCAAGAAAGAAUCUUAAAGAUAUACAACUACCAUAAUCAAUAUCAAUGCCCUCACAAUCAUGUCUUAAAUAACCUUCAUCUUCAACGGUCAUAUCAAGGCUUAAUGCAUCUAAAGUGGAUGGAGUAUAAGCCUCCUCAUCAAAAUUUUCUAACUCAUGAAAUCCUCUGGAAGUUUCCUUUGAUACAAUAUACCAUUUAGAUGUAUUGCUCACUCUAGAAUAAAAAACUUGUUUUGCUUGUGAAACUAAAAUAAAUGAAUCUCUUUCGAAUUGAUAUUGUCCUUUAUGAAGAUUUACCAAUGUAAAUCCUUCUUCAAUCUUGAAGUGUUUGAACAUUUUAUUCUGGAUGUCAAAAGUUUUUUAAUGUUUUGGAUGUACAAAAUUUUGGGUGUUUGAUCUCCUGUAAAAUUAUUGAUAUUGGCAAGAGAUGGAUGCAAGAUUUGAUUUUUAGUUUUCUUUCUUAAAUAUGAAAACAUGUGGACUAAACGUAAUGUCUGUUCCUUUUUGACAUUGCAGAGAGAAUUUUAGUGGAAUGGUUAACUUUAGUUAAAUGAGACAGAAAGUUUUGGAAGAUCAUUAGGCCAUUUCCAGCUUUGCACCAUUUUGCACCAAAUUUUCCACCAAAUCUUGCAUCAAAACAAAAUUCUUCUCCAACCAUUACACCAAAACUUACACCAAAUGAACAGUACUUUAUUAUUUUAUUCAUUCUUUCGAUUUUUUACAAUGUAUUUAUUUAAAAAAAUUAUUUAUUUAUUUAUUUAUUUAUUUAUUUUAUAACUAUACAAAUUACUAAAUCAGAACUUAGUUAAAUUAACAAAUAUAUUGAUUACUAAAUUAUUCACGUGUUUUAUAUAUUAUGUUAAAUUGACAAAAACGAAAAUAAAAAAUGGUCUUCUUUGAAAAAUGAAAAAUUAAAAAUAAGGGCAAAAUGAACAUUAUACCAUUUGGUGCAAAAAAUGGUGUACUGAAUAAUGUUGCACCAAAUAUGGUGCAACAUUAUUCAUGUUACACCAUUUUGCACCAAAAUGUGGUGCAGUGGUUGGAGGAAGUUUGCACCAAAUUUUGGUGCAAUAGGCCAUGCAUUGGAGAUGCCCAUAAUGGCACAUUUUUGCUGACAAACUAUCUAUAAAAUAAUUCAGAAAUGAUUAAGACUAAUGACCAAUGCUAAUUGCUAAAUUCCAAGCCAUGCGGAUUUUGAAGGGAUUUCUAUACACACAUAUGAUCGAGCUUCCUCACUAAUCCGACUUGAUAGCCUAACAGAAGUGAAUUUUAAAGGUUAGGCUAACUAAUUUUGUCUUCAACAUGGCAGAUUUGUACUUGAAUAUAAGUUACCAAAUUAAAAUUCAAUAGCGUUAUGCAGCAUUAGUGAAAUUAACGCAAUUGAAAUUAACGUAAUUGAAGAACCUAUUUUUUCAAGUUUACUCAUUACUUUUUUUCUAUGUAUUAUUUACUAAACAUAACUCUUAAAAGGCAUCAAGUUUACUCAAAAUAACUGAAAUUCACACACAAGUAUUCACUAGUAAAAUUGAAAAUACAACACGUAAAAGAAAGAAAAGAAAGAAAUUACAUUCACACUACAAAUGGCUACAUUAACAACAAAAAGGAAACUAAAGGGAAAGAAACACAAAAAUACAGAUAGAUGAUGCAGCCAGCAUUCUAUCACACCAAUGUCAUUUAAGAGAAUCCCUCCUUUUCGGCACAAACUUGCACAUCCAUGGGUGCUUUCCGUUGAUGGUAAACUUGGCCUUCUCCGAGCCAUCGAGAAUUUCCUGAACAACGCAGCUUUAAGGAACACGACUCGAGCAUAAAGUGGUUGCUCNNNNNNNNNNNNNNNNNNNNNNNNNNNNNNNNNNNNNNNNNNNNNNNNNNNNNNNNNNNNNNNNNNNNNNNNNNNNNNNNNNNNNNNNNNNNNNNNNNNNNNNNNNNNNNNNNNNNNNNNNNNNNNNNNNNNNNNNNNNNNNNNNNNNNNNNNNNNNNNNNNNNNNNNNNNNNNNNNNNNNNNNNNNNNNNNNNNNNNNNNNNNNNNNNNNNNNNNNNNNNNNNNNNNNNNNNNNNNNNNNNNNNNNNNNNNNNNNNNNNNNNNNNNNNNNNNNNNNNNNNNNNNNNNNNNNNNNNNNNNNNNNNNNNNNNNNNNNNNNNNNNNNNNNNNNNNNNNNNNNNNNNNNNNNNNNNNNNNNNNNNNNNNNNNNNNNNNNNNNNNNNNNNNNNNNNNNNNNNNNNNNNNNNNNNNNNNNNNNNNNNNNNNNNNNNNNNNNNNNNNNNNNNNNNNNNNNNNNNNNNNNNNNNNNNNNNNNNNNNNNNNNNNNNNNNNNNNNNNNNNNNNNNNNNNNNNNNNNNNNNNNNNNNNNNNNNNNNNNNNNNNNNNNNNNNNNNNNNNNNNNNNNNNNNNNNNNNNNNNNNNNNNNNNNNNNNNNNNNNNNNNNNNNNNNNNNNNNNNNNNNNNNNNNNNNNNNNNNNNNNNNNNNNNNNNNNNNNNNNNNNNNNNNNNNNNNNNNNNNNNNNNNNNNNNNNNNNNNNNNNNNNNNNNNNNNNNNNNNNNNNNNNNNNNNNNNNNNNNNNNNNNNNNNNNNNNNNNNNNNNNNNNNNNNNNNNNNNNNNNNNNNNNNNNNNNNNNNNNNNNNNNNNNNNNNNNNNNNNNNNNNNNNNNNNNNNNNNNNNNNNNNNNNNNNNNNNNNNNNNNNNNNNNNNNNNNNNNNNNNNNNNNNNNNNNNNNNNNNNNNNNNNNNNNNNNNNNNNNNNNNNNNNNNNNNNNNNNNNNNNNNNNNNNNNNNNNNNNNNNNNNNNNNNNGCAGUAUAUCUCGGAUAAUAUCAAGAAGUUCAUUGAAACCGUUGUUAGAUAUACCAUAUGUAGCUUUAAGCUUGUAUAAGACAACAGUUGCAAAUAUCCUUGUAUACUUUGUGCAACCAAGUUAUGGAAGAAUUUCUACGCCCUCCUAUAAAUUUGAAAAAUCUUUCUCUCUAUUUUCAUUCUCGAGUUCUACACUAUUAUAAUCCUGAAAAAAUGCAUCUCUGUACAUCCUAUACAUCUCUAUAUUUUCUACAACUUGAGAAGGCAAUGAUGCUGCAUUCGAUUUUUUCCCAUUAAACACCUAGGUAGUAUAUGUAGGAUCCGUGCCAUUAAUGGUCAAAUGUCCAUACAUUAUAUCAAAAUGUUGGUGGAAUAGGUUUUUGCAAUGUUUGCAGGGGCAUAUGACCUUUUCUGGAUUUUCGGCAUUGGCUAGCGCCAUAUUUGCAAAUUCGCUUGCACCACGUUGAUAUGCCUAUGAAAUUCUAUGAAAAAAAUGCUAAAUAAGUCAUGUAAAAAGCAUUUGAAGACAUAUUUUAAAAUAUUCUAAAUUUAAGAGGACAAGAUAACCUUGAUAAGUGUACCCAAUCUUUAUCCAUGGUAAUAUAACAACACUAUUAAGUUAUAAUAUGUUAAAAUACCGUAAAAAUGAAGUGAAAAAUUAUUAUAUUAGGAUAUCAUAGAAAUCAAGUUCAAAUUAGGUAAGCCAUUUUGACAAUAAAGUUUCACACAAAGUGAAAUUAGAAAAAAUAAUUCAAACCUAAAUUAAAACAGUGAAAUUGGAACACUAGAACCUCCUUCAACGCUACUGCGAUCUGUUGAGAAAUUAAUUGAGAAUUUGGUUAAGAAUGUGGUCAAUAGAAAUAUUUAUGAAAGACGAAGGCCUAUUGAUGUGUAUUUUUAGCGAAGGGCCUCAUGGAGGCAUUGUAAUUUGAUUGUGUAAUUUGAUUUCUCAAGAUGCAAAAAGACAAUAAAUUAAUUAAGAUAUUUAGUGUGAAUCAAUGUAUAGUUGAAUACAAAAUAUUCCACCAAUCAUAAAUAAAAAUCAUUCACUAAUUAUGGUUGCAUCUAAAUGUAAAAAGAGUACAACAACCCUACAUUGUAUCUAUUGUUAUGCAACUAAAAAAAUAUAAUUCUCAUUAUCAUGAAUUAGAUAUGUUGUUGAUCCUCAUUAAAGCUGUGUUCAUCAUCAAAGUUAUUCUAUUCGCACUGAGUAGCAUCAUCUUCCUCAUUAGCAUUAUCCUUCAUUGACAUUGGUAUAAAAAAUGAUACAGCAAAGUUAGGAACUUUACCACAUAUAUAGCUAAUGCAUAGAAUAAUGCCAAGAAUGCAAUGUCGGAUUGAAUUGUUUUCCAACAACCUUUAGCUUGUUUUGCAUCCUUUGUGCCAUCUUCAUCUAGCUGCAUUGGCUAUGCGUACAUUUCAAGAAGGUGUACCAAUGUCUUGAAGGUUACCAUCUCUCAACCCACGAAUUCGACGUUUAGGCUUCUAACCUAGAAUAUACAUGAUGAUAUUAAGUCUACUCUGAUUAGCAAAUUCUUUGAUCUACAUGUGGCAGUAUUAUUGCAGAUGGGUAAUCAAUUCUUGUGUACCUUGUAAUUUUAUGAACCCAUCAAAUACAAACCCAAUGGAAUGAUGAGGUAAUUUGAAAAUUUCUCCUCUUACGUAAAAUUCACUGUUGACCAUUUAGCAACUACCACUCUCAAAUCUUGCAUUGACAUUUUAUCGAACAACUGAGGAAGAAAGAACUUGGCUAGAAUGAUAACACUUUCCUGCAGCCAAUGGAGUCAAUCUUCUAACAAUAGCGGAGAUUCAAUGUGCUUGAAGAACUACUUGCAAAUAGUGAUAUGCUUUACCAAUAAAAUGUUCUGAUCAUUUAAAAAGAAAAUAGCACGUGUCAUUAGUUAAAACACGUGAAAUUGAAGAAAUGCCCAAUUCCACUGCAUAUUGUUGCAUCAAAGGGAUGAAAAACAACGUAAUUCACCUAAAAUAUUGGAGUUCAACAAGCAACAGAAGUGAGCAACAGAACUGCAAAGGUUCUUCAAUCUAGAAAAAAUGACAGUAUCGUCAUGCGUGCCAAAAAAAAGCUACUACUGCUGGAUCAGAUCCAGCUGCAGCAAGUAUCUUUUCUUUUUCAAUGAAAAAGUGGAGUACCACAUUCUGUGCUAAUAUCACAGAUGUAAGGCUUUCCUGCAAUUACUUCAUACAAGCCCAAAGUUGAAGAACGUUAAAGUAAAUGAGAAACAUAUUUACCUGGAGAGCAUCAUGAGGGUUGUUCAUCUCUUUUUCUUCCAAUAGACCAAUCUUCUCAAAAUUAUGACCAUACUCAACAAAUGAUUCAACACCAAGUAUGUAUUUGUCUAGUUUUCCCAGUACACGGUACCUAUAAGUAUUCAGUUUGAAAUUAUUAAGCAAGUCAAAAUAAUGGAUCAAUAAUACACCUAUCACCCUCUUCAUGUGAAGGGAGACAACAAUAUUAUUGUCUAUAAAUGUAUCUGAUUCUAUUGAUGAAGAUUAAGAAUCUUAUUGAGAGAGAAAAUUAUUAUCCACUUUCACAAAUGCUAUUUCCUACUCUUAAUAACAAAGAUUAGAAGAAGUAAGCUUUAAGGAAGCUGUUAAUUGUGAAAAAAAAAAAAAGAGUUAAAUACACAGCCAGGUCCUGCAAUGAAGAUGUCAAAUAUAUUACAGGAUGGGAACUCAUGCAUACCUAGUGCAAAUAUUGGCAACCCAAUUUCAAGGUGCAGCCAAGUGAACAACGAAGCUAAUCUUAGGCUUUAAGUGCAUUGCAUAUGCCAAAACAAUUUCACACGAUUAACAGAUGAAUCAUCAAUACCACAAUUUCUUUCCAAUUGUUUUAUCAUUUUGACGUUGUUGUCGUGGCCAUCGUUGGGUUUGAGUUUGAAAUGUAGGUGAAAUUCUUAAUUGAAUAUUGAUGGUCCACAAGAAUAACUUUGACAAUAUAUGUGUACACACCAUGAAGGGUCAAAAAAGGUUGCAAGUUUUCUAACUCUCUAUAUCUCUAGUUUCAUCAUGUGUAAAUUAUAUUUCCUUAAAAACAUAAAUUUAUCGAUAAAUAUGCAAAUAAUAGAUAAGCCUUUGACGUGAUUCAAGAACAUCUGGACUAAUUGUAGUCAACAAAAUCAUAUAUCGAUGAGCGGUUGUUCGCGAAAUUAUUUAUUUCAAUUUAAAAUCCACCGCAAGUAUGCGGUUCGUUAACAAGUAGUAAAAUGGACUAUGAGUCUAAUUAUCGAUCCCACGAGGAUUGAAUUAGUUCAAAUUAAUCUAUUACGACCUUAACCGAAACACGACAACCAAAUUGAGGUUUUAUACUUUAACUAACAAAAUGUAACAGUUGAUGUAAUUAUGAAUGACGAAUUAUACUAAGUGCAAAAUAACUUCUAUGCAAUUUAACUAGAAUUUUAUGGAGUUAAUGGAUGUACUAACGCACUAGGAUCACGAAUCCCCAAGCAAUACCCAUUCAAUUGUCAAUUAUGCAACUUUGACACACAAUUCCACAAAAGUUGAAUCGAUAUUCCUAUUUUAAUUUAGCAAUCUCUCUCGAGCAAUGCAAAACCUAUCCCGAUAUAUGAUUCGACUAUAUUUCUAUGACGAAUACUAACAUACUGAAAUGCAUUAUAAAUUCAUGAAUAUCUAAUGAUUCACACAAGGCAUAGAGGUAUAUUUCUAUCUCCUGUCGGACCCUGUGAUGAUUUAUACUAUGUCGAACCUAUUUUCCUUCUUUCGAAUGCAUAAAACAGGCCACCACAAUCGUAUAAUUACGUGCACAAUGAUCAUAUGAAAAUAAAAACACAAUAAAUCAAUCAAAUCCGGAACUUGUGUUCGAAUACGUCAAAAAUCCAAAACAACAAUUAAAUGCAAUAUUACAAGGUUCAUUGAUCUCCUAACAAUGAUAAAUCUAGCCUAACAUGCUAAAAAGAAUAAAACAUAAAAAUAUUUGAAGAAACGACAUCACCCGAAUCAAUUUCAAUCUGAUCUUCACUUGGCGCGAUGUUGUUCUCUUGUUCUAUCCUUUGUUUCUCCUUCAAAAUCUCCCAAAAACAUGUAAAAAUGGCAUUUUCUAUGUUCUGGUCUAGUUUUUGUAUUUAUAGGACCCUAAAAUUAUUGUUUCCAUAAGAGUUUCGAAAGAAAAAUGAAACUAAAAUUUUCCUCGAGAAUUGUUCUAUGCGACCACAUAGAGCAACUCUGUGUGGUCGCAUAGAGUAAAUUUUUGAAGCCUCUUUGAUUUCGGUAUGCUACUAUUCGACCGCAUAGAUGAUAGUACUAUGCAACCGUAUGGCAGAUGUGCGUUUUGGUCCUCCCACUUGCAUCCUUCACUUCUUGGCAUCUUCUCUUCAUUCUUUUCAUUUCAUCACCUCACGAUAUCGUCAAUUUGGUAAUUGGCUUAAACGAUUUCUCGAUUUGUUCAUCGGAUCAACUUUUGGAUAUUUUCACUUUGGUCCCUGAACUUUCACUUUGCAUCAUUUUAGUCCUUUUUCGCUUUUUCUCCUGAAUUUCACCAUGUUUAUCAUUGUUCCCUACAAUCCACAAAUGUACGAGAUUAAGUCACAAUUCAAUCAUUUUGCUAGUUAUUAAGUGAUGUUUGCGACCUAAAUAAGUGUGCAAAAACACACUUAUCAGCAGUCUUACUUCCCCCAUGGAUUUUUUUUUUUUGAUGAUUUAGUUAAAUUGAACUCAUAUUAUAAAUUCUCAUUGAAUCAGUUUCUAACUUUUUUCUGAAAACUGCCAACAACAGUUUCUAGUGUACGGAUAAUAUAUACAAACAUCUAAAUAAUAACGCUUUCGAAUUAAAUAAAACACUUCAGUAGGACCACAUUCCAAGCACUAAUAAUUUAGGCAUUUUAAGUCUUCGUUUGUCUCCCUUUAAAACAAAAAACGUUUGAAUUCUCAUACUCAUUCUCUGUCACGCAUUAACAUUAUAAAAUAUUUUACACGUAAACCCAAUUUUUUUGUUUUUUUUUUUGCACUUUUAAUGACGCAUUUUAAUGUUUAAUUUUUUCAAAAUAGUGACUACCAAACAGGAGCUAAAUAACAUUGAAAGAGCUAAUGUUAUUAUUACCAUUAACAAGAUAAAAUUCACUAUGAAUCUUGAUCGGUAAUCUUCUUAUUUCACGAAAAUAUAUAUUUUAGGUUCAUUUUCAAUAUAGAAACAUAAGGGAUGACGUCUUCUCCUACACAAACUGACAAGAUAUAUAUAUAUUUUUUUCUAUCGUGAAUUAAAAAUAAAUUUGUAGGUUUGAAUAUACAUUUUCUUAGGCACCAUAUCUCUAACUUGUGCUUUUUUUCAUUACAAUAAAGUCAUCACCUACAAAUAUUUAAAUUAAUAUCAUUUUUUCCCUACAAUAGCUCGAAAAUAGACUGUACUAGCAUAAUUAAGAAAGCAUGGGCAAUCAGGGGUGGGGCCAGAAAUUUUGUCCAGUGCGGGCAAAAUUUAAUCAAGGUUGAAUUUUUCGAUUAUGGAUUUAAUGAUAUUAUGACAAUGCUAAAAAUGACAUAGCGACAACACUAAUAAAAUAAUCAUCUUCUUCCUUAUUUUAGAAUUUGUAGCAAGUUGUGCAACAUCAAAAUCAAUUUUAUUCGAUAUCUCUUCAUCAAUAUUUUCUACGAAAUAUUUCCUUUUAAAGAAUCUCUUCAUUGGCGCUUGACACUAAAAUAAAUCACAAGUGAAAAUUAGAUGCUAAUUGAUAAGAAAACAACUACUAAUUUUUAUAAAUUGGUAGACACCAGAAAAUCAUCACUAAUUGUUUAGCUAAUUGACAAAAAUCAAGAUUUCAAGAAUCCAUCACAAAUAUUACCAAUAUUCAACAUUCACAUAAUCAAAAUACCUAAUAUUAAAUAAAAAAAUCUCCAAUAUUAAACAGAAAACUCACAUGAUCAAGAAAGUUUUUGUUGCAAAUUUGAGGGCCCAAGAAAAUAUGGGUUUUAGGAAAGAGAUGAAAAAAAAUUUCAAAACGAGAGCAGAUUAAAAGAAAAUUUUUAAUUUCUUGUCGCGGGGAAAGAGUCAGAAAAUGUCACGUACACUUGGGGUUUGGGCAAAUUAGUGUAUGGAGUGGACUAUAAAUAUAUGAAAAACCUAAAUUAAAAAAAAUAAAUUAGAUUGAUUUUGGGCUUGUGCCAAUUCGCCUGCACUGGACCUUGAAUGGCUCCGCCCAUGUGGGCAAUAGUAAAGUUGAUAUCUUUACUCUCCUCCUAAUCUGUGGUAAACUUCUAAUUCAUUGUCCUUUAUAAUUUUUCUUCUAUACAUGUAUUAUUGUGCUAAAUUAUUCUUUCUCAACCUUUUCUUUAUGUGGUAUUUGUUUUGACACAAUGUCAACCUUAUAUUUCCUUCUACGGCUGGGCAUUUUACCCGCCUAAUCGUGGAACCAGCCCGAAAAGAACCCCCUCUGUUUUGCUUAGGUCAAUUUUGUGGCUUGAUUUGUUGAUUUUUAGGUUGGCUUUGAUCCAGCACAAAAAAUCUCGUUUCGGUUUUUGGGUUUUUUUUUUUGGAAAAUAAAAAUUCAAGUAUAUUUUACCCUUGAAAAUAAACCGACUUGGAUUGUUUUGGAUUUGCUUUUAACUAAUAACAUAUUAAUUUGAGUUGAGGUUUCACCCAACCUGAAUGGUCUGGUGCAUGGCGUACUCAACCUUAGCUUCAAGUAUUUCUACUUGAUUACUCUCCUCUCAUUUUGCUGGUGAUUUCUAUAACAAGCUUGUUUUUCUGGGGAAAUAAUGAAUAUGCUGAAGCCAAAACCAAAGUUUGCACAUUAGAGUGCCUAAACAAGCUUCAUCCGAUGUGCGCAAGCUGUUGCAGAGCAAAGAAAGGUUGCAAACUUUACAGAUCUGAUGGAACCCUAAUUUUGUACUGGAACCUAAACGGAGAGAUAAAAUCUUGAACGAACUGUGUGUGUUUGUGGAAUAAAAGUCAAAUAAAUUCAAGAAACUUGUACGUAGUUUCUUGAGAAAUGAAAAAAAGACUCAUGUUUAGUUACAUGUGUUUACAUUUUUUCUAUGAAUACAUUAUCAUUUAUUUACUGCCAUAAAACUUUCAUGAUUCAUAGUUAAUGGACAAAACCAUCAAACCAUUUAAUUUUUAUUUCAAAUUAAUUGAAAGUCAUUUGCAGUUUUAACAUCCAAAUUGAUGAUUUCAUGACGUGGUGAACUAAAUUCACAUGUUUAAAUAGAUUGGGGAUCCAAAACCUCACUUCUAAGGUUGAGAACUCAUAACCACAUUGAAUAAAAGGUUAUGAAGCACAGCCUGAAUUUGCACCAAAAUUGGACUUGUAAAAAUAAUAAACAUAUUACAACUAUAAUAAGGGCAAGGAGGCAAAAAUUGGAGCUCAAUAAGGGAAUACGCCAGGUUGCAUUUGCAACACACGUCAGAAAUGGGUUGUGUUUUUGACACGUGUCUAACACAGACACGCCUACGCUGGAAACACGUCUAUAGUUUUUAAUUGAGCUAUCUAUCACUGGAAUUAGGCUUAUUGUAGUUUAUUUCCAUAAAACAUUCUUUUUCUCCAAGAAUAGUUUUACUCUCUAUGUUCACUGUUGUAAUCAUUGUAAUCCAUUGUAUUCACAUAAUUGAAAAAUACCUUUUUGUACAACAUAAAUCAUUAAUCAUUAGCAACAUGUAAGAACAACCUUGUCAAAAGUGGGAACUACUACAUAUUAAUCGGAUAUUCCCAUGUAAAAAAAUACAGGUAACAAUAUAGCAAGUUUAUGCCUGCAAGUAAUCAGCACAAAAUUGAUACAUUCUUCAGCUAGUAAUAUUUGAUAGGGUUAAUAUGUUCAAUGUUUAGGGUUUUAGGAAGUUUUCAAUGACAACUAACAUAAUUAACUAUUGAUAUGAUAGUACACUAAGAUCAGUUUUUCGACUUUAUGUUCUAAUUUUUGAAUUUGCAAUGCACGUAAUCAGCACGAACUAGGUACAAUAUGUUGCAAGUAUUUCUUGAUAUUGUCAUAAUAGCUAACAAAAAAGCGAUAUGACCUCCGUCAAAUAUACGAUUUUAUAUAAGGAAAUAUUGAAUUAGCAUUAAAAGGUCAAAUGAAUGCUUUGAAAAAACUGCAUACCUUAUUCAUAUAAGCUCAUGAAAAAAAGAUGUGGAAAGAACUUGAGAAACAAGAUAUACUAAGGAAAAGUUAGGAAGAGAAAAUAAGGAAAGAAAUUGAGAAGACAGGAGGAAGACAGAGCUAAUAGAGGAUGAGCAUCUAGAACUGAUGGAGUGUGCUGCUUCAAGCGUUACCUUCAAUUAUUUCUCUUGAUUAUGACACCAUGCACAAUUUUGAGUCUUUCCCGGAAAAUUUGUGUCAAUUGAAUUGAAAGACCGUGCAACUGAAGAAUCUAUUUCCUGUUUUUGGCCUUUUAACAUUGACUACGAUUCAAAGAAGCUUGGUGCGAUACACACUGAUCUUCUAAAACUAACCAUAAAAGAUAUUGAAGAUCUUGUGGAACUUGAUAAAAUAAAUAUAGUGACGUCAAUCCUGACUGGACAUCCUCAGAUUGUUGAAGGGGACAUAUUUGUGGGUAUUCGACAAAUGCAACUGGCUGAAGCAUUUAAAUCCACUGAGGUGGCCUGAAAUCUUGUGGCAAUUUGCAUUCCCAGAUGGAUUUUGGCCAUAGUUGAAGAAAAAGAGUCUCCAAAGGAUAAUAAUGAGACUAAAUGUUGUGAAGAUAGCUUAGUUGCUGAUAAUGAAGUUUCAUUUGGAGGCUUUCAAAGGAAGCAUUUGAUGCGAUUUUCACAUCUUUUUGCUUGUGGGACUAGAGAAUCUCAUUUGCAUAUGAUAUUGCAAAAGAUAGAUGUCACCAAAUCUUCCAAACGAAUAAAUUAUUUUCCAUUAGUUAGGAUCAAGGUGGAAGAAGAAAUCAAAUUGAAAAUGCAGGUAAAUUAGAACCAUCACAUUCCUUCAAGAUCUUGGAAGGAAUUAUCUAGAAAAUAAGAAUUCCUUUUGAGGAGAAACAAUUAGAUCCUUUUGGAUAUGGAAGUGUGCUGCAAUUCAUCUAUUUUAUGAGCCAUUCCGCUUGAAAAGAAAGAGUGCUUAAAUUUGCAAUGAAAUUGAUCUUGGAAAUAUUAUACUGAACGAUGAAAUUGCCAAAAUGAUGCAUUUCAGGGUUGUAGAAUUAUCCAGAAAAUAAAUAAAUAAAUAAGCACAAAAAUUGCACGAACCUUUAUGGCAUGUCUAGUAAGGACAAUUUGAUAGUUUUUGACAACAUAAUGUGCAAUGGCUAAUUCUUCUUGUUAAUUAAAGAGAGAAAACAACUAGACAUACAGAUAAAGAUCCACAAGUGAGAUUUGGAAGUGUUACAUUAUUAUACCAUUGAAUGCAAUAGUUAUAUAUUUCCACAUCACUCAAGUUUUUUGGAAAUACUUUCCACAAUCUCCAACAUAAAAUAAACAUUCAUUCUUUUAAAUGUUUUCUUUCAAAUGCCUUUAUAUCCAAAAAACAAAACUCUCUCUCUCUUUUGACAGAAAAUAAAUUUCAGCACAAAAUUAUCUAGAAAAUUACUCAAAUUAAAUUAAAACAUAAAUAACUAAUGUCACUCACUUUCCAAGUUUUAGGACACCAAGCCAACAUAGUCUCAAAACUCAGGAAAGAAUCAAACGGAAACAAUCUUCACUACCAAUUGUCAAAACAUAAACGAGGACUAAAAACAUGUAUUUGACGUAAAGUUGUGAAGAUACCAUGAAAGAUUUCAAAAUUAUUUUAUAAUCUUACUCAAAAUAAGAUAUAAUUGAGGACUUAAUCACUAAAAAAAGUGAUGAACAAAAUCUAAUUGAAUCAUAUCCUAUCUUUUUAUGAAAUAUCUAACAAAGAUCCUCCUUUUGAUAGACCGCUGAGGAAGAAAAGCCUUAAUGCUCAACAAUGGCUUUGAACAUAAAGCAAUUCAGCAUUAAAUUCUAGGUGUUUUGGAUGAAUGAUUUUAAUAAUUACGUCAAAAAAUAGAGAUUUUUGAGUUGAUCAAAAAGGGGAAAAAAAACCUUGGUAUUCAAUAGCUCAGACUCAAAGAAAGCAUUUAUAUUUAUUUUCUUACCAUUGUUGGCUAGUUACGUGAUUCCUCUACGUUCAUUCAUAUACAGAAAUUAUGUGCUAUUUGUGGCAUUUAAUUUGAAGCAACGGGAUAGUACUCAAAAAUAAGACUGCAAGUGAGUAUUAAUCUCACCAAUUAAACUAGAAAUUAAUCUUUCUUUCACGUUGAUCAUGAAAUAAAUGCACUGGCAGAGCUAAAACUCGUGUCCUGAGGAUAUCAACACACCCACAAUAGAAUUCCUUACCCCAAAAUGAGUAUCUCGAAGAUCGCAUUCAUUCUUAGUAUUAUAAAAUUUGUUUUGGUAACUAUAAUUAUAACGAAUAUUGUUUGAUAGUUUUGGACAAUAAAAACAAGAAAAGGUAAAAAUCAUCUUCAUUAUGUGGUCCAGAGUCGUAUCAACUGGUCUGCACGAAAUAUGCAUGGAGUAAUUCGUCUUAAUUAGUUAAAGAGAAAAAAAUGGAGUAUAUAUUGAUAAGAAUCCAAUGGUGAGAUACAAAAGUAUUCCAUUUUAAUUCCUUUCUAAAGCCAUAUUUAUAUACAGCUAUAUGUUCAAUAACCAAGUCAAUUCUAGCAAUUUUGUAGUUUCAGCUGCCAGUUCAUCAUUUUAGCCAUGGACUUAUUCAGAAGUAAAGAAAAAGAGUCUAAUUACAAAUGUGAAGAGAAGGAACAUGACAGUUCCCCAAAGAGGUCUAGGAAGACCAAGCACACUGUGAGGAGGAAGAGACUAAAACUAGAACAAAAUAUAUCUUCCGUGACUAGAUUUUCCCAAUCAACCAAAAAGCACGUGAAAACGCUCAUUUAUUGAUUAAAAAAAAUACUGAGUGGCCAAUUGUUUGCCAAAAAAAAAAAAAAAAAAAAAUUCCGUCCAACAAAAAAUUAGCCUUUGAAAAGAUCAUUUACCAACCAAAAUAAUUAAUAGUAGGUCUAUAGGAGACAUAUUUGCCAAUUAGAUGAAAUGGGUCUGUGAAUAUUUUAUUUUUAUUUCACAGGGGAUAUGGGCACAACAAUUAAUUGGACUUUUGGACCCAAAAUAACAUUUAGCUAUGGUAAGAAAUUGCUGUGUGUCUUCUCCAUUUCCGGCCAUGAAUAUCCCAUUCUGGUGUCGUCAGUAUCCAGCUAUUUUUGGCCGUCCCUCGUGAGUUUAGUUUAUCUAUCUUUUCCUCUCUUUGUAUAAAUCGAGGGAGAUUUACCCCUUGGUUAAUGAAAAAACCAAGGGAGGAUUGGGAUAUAUUGGAUAUUUUCAUGUGAAAAUAUAAAGUUGACAUUAUUGCAAACUUGUGCUUGCAAGUAAUCAGAACAUUCUUCCACAAGUGAUAUUUGAUAGUGUUAAUAUGUUCAAAGUUAAGGGUUUUAGGAAUUCUUAUAACAUUCAAUGAGAAGUAACAUAACCCACUAUUGAUCUGAAAGUAAACUAGGAUCAGUUGCUCUCCUUUAUGUUCUAAUUUUUUAAUUUACGAUCAAGUAAUCAGCACGAACUGGGUACAACAUGCUGCAAUUACUAUUUGAUAUGUUAUAUGUGUCAAGAUUUGGCUACUCCUCUUAAAAAUGUUGACCUUAUUAAGAUGGACCCCAAAUCUUGACAUGGUAUCAGAGCCCAUUAACCUCCAACGAGCGAUUCGAUCCGAUUAAGUCUCUAAAAAUGAGCACACGGAUUUCAAGAUUGUCUGCUCAAAUGAGCCACCAUCUUGCGGGGGCAUGUUAAGGGAAUAUAAUCUCACAUCGGUAAAAUACCGAAAUAAUGACCAAUAUAUAAAGGAUUGGGACACUCUUCUUAAUGGUGUUUACCUUAUUAAGAUGGACCCCAAAUCUUAAAAAUAUGUACUGAGCAGCGCAGUGAAAGAUUCUCUGUCGAUAUGAUUUUAUAGAAGGAAAUAUUAAAUUAGCAUUAAAAGGUUAAAUGAAUGCUUCGUGCAUAUUCUAAAUCACUCAUGCUUCAUUCAUAUUCUGAAUCACUUAACUGCUUCAGAAGAAACUUUAUACCCUUUAAAAUAUAGAAAACAACAAGCUCAUGAAAACAGGAUACCGAAAGAACUUGAGAAAAAAGAUAUGCCACGGGAAAAAUGGGAAGAGAAAAUAAGGGAGUGGCAAGAUUAUGUAAGACAGAAGGAAGACAGAGCUCAUAGAGGGUAAGCGUUUAGAACUGACGGGGUAAGAUGCUUCAAAUAUUACCUUCAAUUGUUUCCCUGAUUAUAACACCUUGCAAAAUCUCAAGUCAUUCCCAGAAGAUUUGUGUCAAUUCCCUCAGAAGACCGUGCAAGUGAAGAAGCUAUUUCCUAUCUUUGGCCUUUUAAAGUUGAAUAUUUAGAUUAAUCUUUCCAUGACUACAAUUCAAGGAUGCUGGGUGUGAUACACUUUACUCUUCUAUGACUAACCAUAGAAGAUAUUGAAGACAUUGUGGGCCUUGAACAAAUCAAUAUAUUGAUGUCAAUCCUGAAGGUGGACAUCCUAAGAUUGUUGAAAGGAGACACUAGGUGCAAUACACUUUGCUCUUCUAAAACUAACCAUAAAAGAUAUUGAAGAUGUUGUGGGCCUUGAACAAAUCAAUAUAGUGACAUCCUUAAGGUGGACAUCCUAAUAUUGUUGAAGAGAGCAUGUUUUUUGGGUUUGAACAUACGCAACUGGCUGAAGCACUUAUAUCGGCAAACAUGGUCUGAUAUCUUGUGGUAAUUUGCAUUCAGAUUUGGGCCACGGUUGAAGAAAAAGUGUCUCCAAAGCGGUUGUAUGAACCAUAAUAAUGCAACUAAAUGAUAUGAAGAUACAACAUUUAAUCUGCAAAUAGCUCAGCAGCUGAUAAUGGAGUCGCAUUUGACGGCUUGUUGAUUCAAAGGAUGCAUUUGAUGCUCGUUACACAUCUUUUUGAUACUCUUGUGACUAGAGAUUCUAAUUCCAAACGAAUAAAUUAUUUUCCAUUAUCUAAGAUCAAGUUGGAAAAAGAAGCAGAACUGAAAUUACUGCGAGUUUGCUGCAGUGCGGUCUAUAGUGUAGAUGCAGAUAAAUUAGAACCAUCGCAUUCCUUUAAAAUCGAUCCGUCUGGAAUGAUGCAGAAAGUAAAAAUUCCUUAAGGAGAUACAAUCAGAUCCUCAUUUGGAUGUAGAAAGUGCGCUUAAAUUCAUCUAUUUUUUGAGCCAUUCUGCUUGAAAAGAAAAUUGAUCUUGGAAAUGUACUAUUGGACGAUUAAAUUGCCAAUGAGGAAUUUCAAGGUUAUAUAGUGAAGAAAAAAGCGGAAAACAAAAAUAAAAAUAAAAAAGGACCAAAAUUGCACAAACCUUUGUCGCACAUCGAGUAAGGAGGAUUUGACAGUUUUUGAGAAGAUAAUGUGCAAUGAAUGGUUCUUCUUGUUAGUUGAAGAGUGAAAAAUGGCUAGACAUAUAGAAAACGAUCCACAAGUGAGAUAUGGAAGUGUUCAGGUAUUAUACCAUUGCAACACUGUUGGGAAAUAAGUCGGAUGGAGGUAAUAUGACACAAUACGAAGUAUAUGAUCACGCACAAAAAACAAGACUAAAAGCCAAGAAAUAGAUUGCAGAGGAAAAGAGUAUUCUAUUCAAUAACCAACGGAGAGAAUAAUAUACUUACAGCAAUCUUAAUAAAUUGAAUGAAGAGUCUAGUAUUUAUAGAGAAUAUUCCCAAGGGAAAAUUGCAGCCGAGAUACCGAACAUUUCGUUUAUUAGCAGACUUUGCUCAAACCUUUAGUUUGUGCCACCCACAGUCUCAAACCUUUCAAAAAUAUGCACAGGGUGUUUAAAUGAAUGGAAACCGUCCGUUUAACCGUUAGUUGACCAAUAAAAUUGAAUUUUGACCAUUUUGACCACCUUAAAAGGGCAGAAAGGUAAAUUUGCUAUUUAAUUCUAUAAUAAAACAAAUAAACUAAUAUACCAAAUAAAAAUAAAAGAAACUACUAUUCAUCUUCUUCUUCCUCCCACCCCACCCAAUAGUAAUCAAUGGACAGUUAAAGGUGUUAAUGCCUACAAAAGUAGGAAUGCUAAGACGACCAAAAUUGUAACACUAUUUGCCUAAUGAAUUGUGAAAUUAAAAUAGAAAAGAAAUUAAGAAUACCUUCGUUGUGAUUACAGCAAAUCCACUUCGAUGUACCUAAUUGGCCAUGUUAUUGCACUUCCUAAUGCAACUUCAAGAAGAAAAAGCUCACGUAUAGGACGAUAUAAGCUAACAUUAUCAAUUACGUCACUAACCCAAAUUCUCCAACAUUCAUUACCAAGUGGUACAUGAAACACUAAAUCACUUGGAUUUGUUGAUGCGAUUUCACCUUUUGCAACAACAUUAGCUUUCCCAGACCAAGAUAACAACUUGCAUUUCCUACUUUGAAGGUUAUUCGAACCAUCCAAGCUUUUGUCCCUAGUCUGUAAAAUUUAUAUCCAAUUGUACAAUUUAUUAUUUUGAAAAUAGAAAUUAUAUGUAAUUUAGAAUAACAUGCAUUAAUUCUAGUUUUCCACUUACAUUAUCUUCUUGUUCAUCACUCUUACUCUUCAUUUGAAACAAAGCUUUUAAUUCUUUAAUUUCAUCUCUCAACUCUUGGACUUGAGUUUGCAAGUUAUGAUUGUACACCAAAGAAUUCAACUUUGAAGGAGUUGCACCGAAACCAAGACCUCUUAUCGAUCCUCGAUUCUGGACCAAGUACUCUAGGAACACCAUCGUCUUUAAGGGAGUGUUGGCUUGGGGAGGUAACCGUCUCUGAACAUGCAUUUAUUUUGUUUUGAUACGAGGAAAUAAAUUAAUGGGCAAAAAUUAUAAAUAUAAACUUUGAAUGACCGAAAGUUACUAAAAGGAAUAUUGUUACCAAUGUUUCCCAACUGAUUCAUCAAUAGGUUCACCAUUUAUUCGUGUAUGUGCUCGAAUAUAAACAUCAUCUCUUGUUAUGGAAUCUGUGUCUUCACUUUCAGCAUGCUGUAUUUUACUUAUUUCAUAUAUGUGAUAGCAUAAGCGUUUAUAAUUUUUCAAGCAAAUUUAACUUUUAAUUUAACAAAUUUUUACCAUUUAUGCUUCUAAAUGAGCAAAGCCUUUUCUACUUGUUGAAUGCAUUAGGGUUUGACCUGCUCUCAUCUUUCUAAAUCUUUCAUUCUUUUCCUACAACAUCAAUUAGUACUUUGUAAGAAUAACUUUUAUUAGGAAUAUAAAGCAUAUGUAGUAAGCAAUUUAGGAAAAAGUAAUGAAAGUUUACCUUAUAUGGUUGAGAAUUGCAUUCCAUGACAAAUGUUUGUCAUUCUUUCAUUGAUUCAACAUUAUCGGGCUUGAGGAAAGCAGCAGCUCGUGUCAUGCCAAUUGUUUUCCUCUGUCAUUGAUUGCUUUAAGCACAUUAGAUCGAUGAUCUCGCCAAUUCUUUCCCAUUUUUGCAUGAUGUAUUUUCUAUGACAAGUAUCAACAUCAAACUUUUGCUGCAUCAAAGCACACAAUAUUAAUAGUAAUUUAAAUUAAAUUAUAUAAGAGAUGCAAAGUUUAUAGUACUUGCACAUGCUCCCAUAUGUCAUCAAGAAAAUUUUUGCUGAUAUCUUUCCAAUUUUUACACGUAAUUGGUAUAAGUUCUCUGGCUGUGAUCCCAAGAAAUGAUGAUAACUUUGUUGAACCUUUACAAAUUGGCUACCCUCUUUCAUUAAACUCUAUUGAUAACUUCUCGCCUCUUCCCUUGUUUAAAUAAUUCAAUUUUGCUCGACCCCUUUCCUUCUUUCCUUCUUCAGUAGUACUAACGCUAUUAGGCAACAGUUCUACAUCAUGUUGCACAUCAUUUACUUGUAUGUUUUGAAUAAAAUUAGAACCUCAUUAUGAUAUUCUUAUACUUUCAUUAUCUUCUCUUGUGCCAGCAACAUUUAAAGCUUUUUUUUAGCUCGUUUUGACUUUUUAUAGCCUUGUAAAAAAUAAAGGUGACAAUAUGCCAAGCUUAUGCUUGCAAGCAAUCGGCACAAAAUUGAUACGUUCUUCUGCAAGUAAAAUUUAGUCGUGUUAAUAUGUUCAAAGUUUAGGGUUAAAGGAAUUUUUAAAACAUUCAGUGAAAAGUAACAUAAUUAACUAUUGACACGAUAGUACACUAGGAUUAGUUUUUCUCCUUUAUGUUCUAAUUUUUGAAUGUGCAAUGCACGUAAUCAGCACGAACUUGUUACAAUAUGCUACAAGUACUGUUUGAUAUUGUUAUUCUUUCUGAACAACAAAGUAAUAGAUCCUCUAUUCCGUGUAAGAUUUUACAGAAGGGAAUAUUGUAUUAGCAUUGAAAGGUCAAAUGAAUACUUCAUACAUAUGCAAAAUCAAUCAACUGCUUCGAAAGAAAAUGUCGAUGAAAACAACAUGCAUAUUAAAUAUGACAAGCUCUAUUCUAUGCAGUGCACAAUAAAUAUAGUAGAAAAUGACAAGCUCAUGAUAACAACAUGCAUAAAGAACUUGAGAAACAAGAUAUGUUAAAGAAAAAAUGGGAAGAGAAAACGAGGGAAGAAAUUGAGUGUCAAGAUCAUGUAAGAUGGAAGGAAGAUAGAGCUAAUGCAGGAUGAGCAUAUAUAACCUCCAUGGCGUGGACACUUCAAUUAGAAUAAUGUGUUUUUGUCGGACAUAUGUCAGAUACUGACAGUUCUCGAACACUCCACCACGGUAAUGUUUUUCUUUAUAAUAAAUAUUAUUUAUUUUUUCCUUAAAUUUUUUUAUUAAAUAACAAAUAUGUACUCAUAUUUAAAAAUUUUCGAAAAUAAAAAUUAAUGACAAGUAUAAACUAAAUUUAUACUAUAUAAAUAAAGAAUUUUAAAGAAUAUAAUCAACGUGUCAAGUUAGUAGUUUUUUGAAAAAUCUCAUAUCGGCAUGUUUGACACUUAUCAUGUCCAAUACAGGUGUCAGUGUUGGUUCUACAUAAUCUAGAUCUGGUGGAGUUAGCUGCUUCAAAAAUUACCUUCAAUUGUUUCUCUUGAUUAUGAUAACAUGCAGGCAAAAUCUCAGUCAUUUCCAGAAGAUAUGUGUCCAUUUACUCCGAAGGCAUUGAGAGUGAAGAAUAUAUUUCCUAUCUUUGGCCUUAUUUAGUCCAAUCUUUCCAUAACUAUGACUUAAAGACGCCUGGUAUGUUGCAUAUUUCUCUUCUAAAACUAACCGUAAAAGAUACUGAAGAUGUUGUGGACCUUGAACAAAUCAAUAUGGUGAUGUCAAUCCUGAAGGUGUACAUCCUCAGCAUACAAAACUGGCUGAAGCACUUAAAUUUGCUGACAUGUUCUGAAAUCUUGUGAAGAUAUAGCAUUUACUCUUGGAUAAGUACGUAAGCAUACUAGAUCACUGACAAGUAAUAAUUUAGUGAGUUAAUAAUAUCAUCCUACAUGGAAUAAAUACUAUUUAAAAUGUACUAGUCUUNAACUCUCAUUCACCUUUAACAGAAAAUAAAUUUUAGCUCCAAAUUAUCUGGAAAAUUACUCAAAUUAAUUAAAAAUGUAUAGACCUAAUGUCAUCCACAUUCCAAGUUUUAGGGCACCAAGUAAUAAUAGUCUUAAAACAAUUAUAAUUAAUAUGUCAAACUCAUGAAAGAAUCCAAUGUAAACAAAAUUCGCUACGAAUUGCCAAAACAUGAAUGAGAACCAAAACACAUAUAUUCAUUGUAGAGUCCUGAAUACCAUGAAAGAUUUUAAAAUUAUUUCGUAAUCUUACUCAAACAAAUGAUAAUUGGAUGACCUACUCGCUAAAACAAGCCAUGAACAAAAUCCAACUGAAUAAAAUUUCUUUUUUUAUGAAAAAACUAAUAAAGAUCCUGCUUUUGAUGGGCCACGGGGAAAGAAAAACCUCAAUGCUCAACAAUGGCUUUAGAGCAAAUUAAUGAUAAGCAAGCAAUUACAUUUGUUUUUUUACCGUUGUUGGUCAGUUACAUUAUUCCGCUAUGUGCAUUCAUAUACAUAAAUGUGAUUAUGUGAUGUUGGUGUUAUUUAAUUUAAAGAAACUGGAUAGUACUCAAAUAUAUAUAUAUAUAUAUAUAUAUAUAUAGGAAAUGUACUUUCCCAUUUAAGGGGUUUUUAAGUAUUAAUCUCGCUAAUUGUGAAGCCCCCAAAAAAUUCAUAGAAUAGAAUUUAAUUAUUCUAGAUGCUAUAUUUUAUAUUUUGGGAAAUUUGGGGGGACUAAAGUGAUAUAUAUAUUAAUUCAAUUUUAUUUGGGUCAAAUAUUAUAUUUUAACAGAGUGAUGAUAAGCAUAUCAAUAUUGAGCUCGUUGGAUAGCUCAUAUUUAAGCAUCCAUUUUAGACUCGAGAAAAAGUUAAAUCGGAUGAGUUAGAUCCAAAAUAUUGCAGUUUAUAGAAGUUCUUAUUAAUUGGUUUUGAUUUAAAUUAAAUAAUGUAUUUAAUAAAGGUAUGUAGCCACAUGUAGGUUAAAUGGAGUUGAGGUGGUUUUUGAAUUAAGCUCUUUAGACAGGCCGAAAUCGUAAUUGAAAAAAAGGGAUUUGAAAUUUUCCACGUGGCCAUUGUAGCCCACUUAAUUUUUGAGGGAAGCCAGCAUGUGUGGACCACUCUUUUUUCCAUUUUCCCACCCCCCUGAUUUUACCGUAAGUAGAGUCCCUCUUUUACAAAACAAAUACAGCCCUCUGAUCCACUCUCCGAUGACAUUAAGGUCCAUCGACGACGUUCAAUCCCUUCCGAAGACGUUGUGCAUAGGUAAAAUCAAUUUCUAUAUAUUUUUUUAAAUCACUUAUUAAAUGGUUCUUCUUCUUAUAGUUUAGGUCAAUAAAUAAGUAGUUUGAAAUUGGACAUUGAAAGAAUAAAUGUUCAAGACAGACUAGUGUUUUUCUCAAAUAUUAUUAGUUCACAUUGAUGCUAAAAAAAACUGAAGAAAAAACUGCAUUUUUGCAGCUACCUUUGCGUCAGGAAUCACGGGGUUUGUUCUGAAGCUGCAUUUGGGAGCUACUCUAUUAUUUAUUCACUCACCUCCCAACAAGUAAGAAUAUUAAUUAAUUUUUUUUUUUUGAAGGGUUUUGUUUCAUUUUAUUUGGAUACAAACACACACAGUACUCUGUAAUUUUUUUUGAAGGUUUUUUGAAGAUCAAUGUAUGUUUUUCCGAUGGUUUGUCCCUCUUGCUCCUUCUUAUUGGUGGUAGAUUUUCACAGGUUGGAUCCAUUUUGGAGAUGGGGCAUGUUCAUGAGAAAAUGAGCAAGAAAAGGUGAUUGAUUAAGAUGGAGAAAUUUAGUUAGAUUAUUAACUAUUCAAGACCUUGAGUCGAGUUUUGCUUAUCCUCGUGUCUCGAAAUGGAAAAUAAUUGUUCUUGAUCUUUAUUGCAAAAUUCAUCACUGUAUCGAUACAUAUAGAAAACAUGUUCCUGUGGUUAAUUUUAAUUUUAAAUGACUUGAAUAAUUAAUAGUAUAAAUAAUUAUUAUUAUCAUUAUCAUCAUCAUCAUCAUCAUUAUAAAAUGAAAAUAACACAAAUAUCCUUAGCCAUUAACUUUGAAAAAUGAAAAAUAAGGGCAAAACGGACAUUAUACCAUUUGGUGCAAAAAAUGGUGUAAUGAAUAAUGUUGCACCAAAUAUGGUGCAACACUAUUUAUGUUGCACCAUUUUGCACCAAAAUUUGGUGCAGUGGUUGGAAGAAGUUUGCACCAAAUUUUGGUGCAAUUUGGUGCAAUAGGGCAUGCAUUGGAAAUGCCCUUAAUGGCACAUUUUUACCAACAAACUAUCUAUAAAAUAAUUCGGAAAUGAUUAAGACUAAUGACCAAUGCUAAUUGCUAAAUUCCAAGCCAUGCAGAUUUUGAAGGGACAUCUAUACACACAUAUGAUCAAGCUUCCUCACUAAUCCGACUUGAUAGCCUAACAAAAGUGAAUUUUAAAGGUUAGGCUAACUAAUUUUGUCUUCAACAUGGCAGAUUUGUACUUGAAUAUAAGUUACCAAAAUUAAAAUUCAAUAGCGCUAUGCAGCAUUAGUGAAAUUAACGCAAUUGAAAUUAACGUAAUUGAAGAACCUAUUUUAUCAAGUUUACUCAUUGCUUUUUUUCUAUGUAUUAUUUACCGAACAUAACUCUUAAAAGGCAUCAAGUUUACUCGAAAUAACUGAAAUUCACGCAAGUAUUCACUAGUAAAAUUGAAGAUACAACACGUCAAAGAAAGAAAUUACAUUCACUCGACAAAUGGCUACAUUAACAACAAAAAGGAAACUACAGGGAAAGAAACAUAAAAAUACAGAUAGAUGAUGCAGCCAGCAUUCUAUCACACCAAUGCCAUUUAAGAGAAGCCCUCCUUUCCUGCACAAACUUGCACAUCCAUACGUGCUUUCCGUUGAUGGUAAACUUGGCCUUCUCCGAGCCAUCGAGAAUUUCCUGAACAACGUGGCUUUAAGGAACACGACUCAAGCAUAAAGUGGUUGCUCUUAAGGCCUAACCUUCUGCAUUGUGAAGGACUCUAUGCAAUUCCCAUAAACCAUUGCGAAGAAGUGCCUAAUUUCCAUUUCAGCCACUAGAUAACCCUUAGAAAAAGUUGCAAACAUAGUCCUGUCCUCUCAUGGUACCUCAUUUCUGAGUUGAUUUUUUUCUCGGGAAUGCAUUCCUUCCAACUCUCGUGUUAGAGAAGUUAUGGAUCAUCGACUCGUGGAAAUGACAUGACAUCAUCAUUUUCUCAACUUAAUUACUGGAACUUCCAUAUAAUUAGACCAAAUGCAUAAAACCCAGAAAAAUGUGAUACCUUCAAACUGUUGAAACUUUACCUCCACUUGAGAUGAAAUGGAGAUAUCAAAAUUGCCUCAAUAAACUCAAACUCUAAAUCCCAGAUCUCUUAAAAUCCCAUUGCCAAAACUCAAACGUCUUUUCAUAUUGUUCCUCUAAAAUCCCUCAACAAUUACACCUUUAUUGUAAAAAAAUGCCAAAAGAAAUCUUUAAUUUGAAGUGGAAGGGAAACCCACAACACAAAAUAACCCAACAGUGCACAUGGAUUCUAGGGAAUGUGCAAUGUGGAACAAGAAAUCGUUGGGACGAAGUAUAUUAAUAACAGGCCGACUAUAUUCUGGGAAAUUUUUCAGUUUUACGAAAAAAAAAAAAACCUUUUUAAAAAAAGAAAAAAAAUGCAGUUUUACAAACUCACCUCUUGAUGGCGAUGGUGCGUGAUGGCGACAGGAGAUGGAGCGUUUGGACUCCGGGCUGUUGAGUUUUCGAAUUUCAACUGUGGGUUAUGGAAGUGCACAGGACCUCUUCGAUUUUUUAAAACCUUAUUUUCCGACGGAACCCGAAAAUCGUUGAUCCUGAUGCGGCGACACCACCGGAUUUGUAGGGUUACAUUUGAGGAUUUCUGUGGGCUUUGGAGAGAGGAAUUUUGUGGGUUUUGGAGAGAGAACAUUGGGGGUGAUGUUUGACUUUUUCCACUUUAAAAUGUGGCUUUUUUUUUUCUUUUCUUUUUUUUUUUUCAAAUGCCAUGCCAGCCCUAUCUUAAAGCUUGUAUUCUACCCUGUCUCAGUAGCAGGAUUGUUUUAUUUAUUAGUUAUGAUUUUGAGAUUUGAUGGGAAUUGACUGUCACGUGUAGAUUGGAUAGGGAUCAAGUAGCUUUUGAUUGUAUGUAAAAUUUGGAUUGAUAAUUUUUGGGAGAACACGGCACUUUAGCAAAUUUUUAUGUAUAUAAAAAUUUAAUUUUCCCUUUCGACUUUAAUUAUCGUGCAAAAGUAUUCAUUAUCUAAUCAAAAAAGUAUAGAUACAUAUAUACGGCAGUAGUAACACCACAAGCAGAAGGUAAAGAAUUGGAACAUGAUUUUGAUUUUGUCUUUCAAAUUUAUUUGAUCUAAUGAAGUAGGAUAACGAGGUAGUUAUUUUUAUCCCAUUUUAAUUUUUUUCCGGUGUUAUCAAAUUAUUAUACUUAUGAAAGUUAAAGAUAUGAUAUGAUAUGUAUGAUAUUGUCAUCCAGUACCAAAGAUAUGAUAUGUAUUGAACUCUUACUAGUCCCUAAAGUUAUGAUGAUGGUAUGAUAUUUUUGACGCAUAAUCUAAAUAUUUAUAUUCAGGAUUGCACCAUUAUUUUUGUAUCCUACUGAAUAUCCCCACAUACUCUAUCAUUUUCCCUACCUCUCACAGGUUAGAAUUGGUCGUCGAUUGAUGGGCAAUGAGGUGUAGUUGUGGUGAUUGGAUUCAUUGGACUUAAUAAAUUAAAUCCGGUAUAAUGUGACUAUAAAUUUUAUUUUCAGCAUUUAUUUUAGUUUUAUUAUUAUUUGAAUUUUGUUAUCUAGGGUUUGGAACAUGUUUUAUUUUCUUAAGUUUUUUCAUAUGUUCUAUUUAAUAUUUGUGGAACCAAAAUUUCACGUUGUGAUGUUUGAUAUGUUUAUUUAAUUACGAAAUGAAUAAGAUAUGGCUUAGGAAAAUCCUCGUUCUUUUUAAAUUAAAGAAUAUGGAAUUAAUCAAUAUAACAGUGAGUAACCUACCAUUACAUGAUUUUAUAUUUAUUGCAUACCAUUUUUUUCAAAAGUUUAAAAUGAAACUUUUUGUAAUGAUUUAAAUAUUAAAAAUUUGGGUCGUUACACUAAUUAAGCAUGUUUUUAAUCUUUCUUUCAUGUCGAUCAUGAAAUAAAUACACUGGCAAAGCUGAAACUCUUGUUCUUAGAUAUCGACCUGCAUGUAAAAGAGGUCCUUAAUCCAAUUGAAUUUCCCAAGGAUUGUGUUCUUACUUAGUUUUAUAAAAUUUGUUGUGGCAAUAUGUUGUUUGAUAGAUUUGGACAAUAAAAUUAAGAAAAGGUAAAAGUAAUGUUCAUUAUGUGGUCGGGAUCAUAUCCACUAGUCCACACCAAAUAUGCACAGAGUAAUUUGUGUUGUUAGUUAAAGAGAAAAAUGGUGAGUACAUAUUGAUAACUAUCCAAUGGUGAUAUAUAGAAGUGUUCCAUUAUAAGUCAAUUUUAUAGACCCUAGACUUAUUCAGAAGUAAAGAAAAGGAGUCUAAUUACAAAUAUGAAGGGAAGGAAUAUGACAGUUUCCUAUCAGAAACGAGGUCUAAGAAGAUCAAGCAGAUUUUGUGAGUAGGAAGAGACUAAUACUAGAAUAAAAUAUAUUUUUCGCAACUAGACUUUUAUUGACCAUCCAAAAAGCCAGCCAAAACGCUCGUUCAUUGACUAAUUAAAAUAAUUAGUUCGCAAUAUCUUUGCCGAUGAGUUAUUCUUGUUCAACCCUCAAAAAUUAGCCCAUGACAACGUCAUUUGCCAACCUAAAUAAUUAUUGGUCAUCCAAGAGGAGACAUAUUAGCCGACCAAAUGAAAUGGGUCUAUGAAUAUCUUAUUUUUGUGCCAAAAUAUUUGGCAAUGGAUAUGGACGCAACAAUAAAUGGUACUAUUAGACCCAAAAUAUCAUUUAGCUAGGGUAAGAAAUUGCUCCAUUUCUGGCCGUGAAUAUCUUAUAUCUCUUAUUCUGGUGUCCCCCGUCUCUCUCAAUUUCUGGCCGACCCAGGUUAGUUUACUUUAUCUUUCCCUUCCUCUCUUUUGCAUCUCUAUAUAAACUAAUGCCCUCACUCAGCAUCCCCAAGGGAUAUUUUUCUCCUUGGUUGAUGAAAAAACAAAGGGAGGAUUGGGAUAUUGGUGUUAGUGGUUGUCUGUAGUAGUUCUAGGUGGGAUAUUGGUAUAUUGGGCUCUACUAUAUAUUGGAUAUCUCAAUGUGAAAAAAAUAAAGGGGACGAUAUGGCAAGCUUAUGCUUGCAAGUAAUCGGCACAAAAUUGAUACGUUCUUCUGCAAGAAAAAUUUAGUAGUGUUAAUAUGUUCAAAGUUCAGGGUUUUAGAAAUUUUUAUAACGUUCAGUGACAAGUAACAUAAUUAACUAUUGACACGAUAGUACACUAGGAUUAGUUUUUCUCUUUUAUGUUCUAAUUUUCGAAUGUGCAAUGCACGUAAUCAGCACGAACUUGUUACAAUAUGCUACAAGUUCUGUUUGUUAUUGUUAUGCUUUCCGAACGACAAAGUAAUAGAUCCUCUAUUCCGUGUAUGAUUUUACGGAAGGGAAUAUUGUGUUAGCAUUGAAAGGUCAAAUGAAUACUUCAUACAUAUGCAAAAUCAGUCAACUGCUUCGAAAGAAAAUGUCGAUGAAAACAACAUGCAUAUUAAAUAUGACAAGCUCUAUUCUGUGCAAUGCACAUUAAAUAUAUUAGAAAAUGACAAGCUCAUAAUAACAACAUGCAUAAAGAACUUGAGAAACAAGAUAUGCUAAAGAAAAAAUGGGAAGAGAAAAUGAGGGAAGAAAUUGAGUGGCAAAAUCAUGUAAGAUGGAAGGAAGAUAGAGCUAACAGACGAUGAGCAUAUAUAACCUCCGUGGCAUGGACACUUCAAUUAGAAUCGUGUGUUUUUGUCGGACAUAUGUAUACUGACAGUUCUUGAACACUCCACCACGGUAAUGUUUUUCUUUAUAAUAAAUAUUAUUUAUUUUUUACUUAAAUUUUUUUAUUAAAUAACAAAUAGGUACUCAUAUUUAAAAAUUUUCGAAAAUAAAAAUUAGUGACAAGUAUAAAACUGAAUUUAUACUAUAUAAAUAAAGAAUUUUAAAGAAUAUAAUCAACGUGUCAAGUUAGCAGUUUUUUGAAAAAUCUCAUAUUGGCUUGUUUGACACUUAUCGUGUCCAAUACACAUGUCAGUGUUGGUGCUACAUAAUCUAGAACUGAUUGAGUUAGCUGCUUCAAAAACUACCUUCAAUUGUUUCUCUUGAUUAUGAUAACAUGCAUGCAAAAUCUCAGUCAUUUCCAGAAGAUUUGUGUCCAUUUACUCCGAAGGCAUUGAGAGUGAAGAAUAUAUUUCCUAUCUUUGGCCUUGUAAUGUUUAUUAUUUAGUCCAAUCUUUCCAUGACUAUGACUUAAAGACGCCUGGUAUGUUACACAUUUCUCUUCUAAAACUAACCGUAAAAGAUAUUGAAGAUGUUGUGGGCCUUGAACAAAUCAAUAUGGUGAUGUCAAUCCUGAAGGUGUACAUCCUCAGCAUUCAAAACUGGCUGAAACACUUAAAUCUGCUGACAUGUUCUGAAAUCUUCUGAAGAUAUAGCAUUUACUUUGUGAAUGGCUCAAUACUUGGAUAACUUCGUAAGCAUACAGGAUCGCUGACAAGUAAUAAUUUAGUGAGUUAAUAAUAUCAUCAUACAUGGAAUAUUUACUAAUUAAAAUGUACUAGUCUUAUAUCGAAUUCGAAAUAUGUAAUGCAAAAGAGAUUAUGUUGUAAUUAUUCUAAAUUAUUCACUAAAAUUAUGUAAGAGUUUGGUUUUGUAAAAUUAUAUGGAAUGAUUUCAUUGGAAUUAUAAUCCAUCUAAUGUUAUGUAUUUUAAUUUUCAAUUAUGUAAUCCAGUUUUAUUCAUACUCUCUUGAUCAUUGAUAAUCAAAUUUUGCUUAAUUUUCUUUUUCAAGAUAAGUUAAAUAUAUGUUAGAUACGACAAGACCCAAUUCUAUUCCUAGUUCAAUUUUAUAUGAAUAGAAUGCAUUUAACUACAAGAUUAUUUAUAAGAUUGCACACGCAAGCGUUGCAUGUUAUUCCUACCAUCUAUAUGUUAAUCAUAAAGAGUUCUAAACUUAUUGUGUACCUCUUCGCACUAUAGCAAGUAACUAAUUAUCUAAUUGAUGGCAAGCAAUUAAAUAAUGCAACAAAAAUACAAGAUUAAUCAAGAAAAAAUAAAAUUUACUAAAUUACUCAUCUUGAAUUAAACUAAAUAGACGACAAAAAGCAUUCAUCUUCUUCAAUUCAAACAAAUAUCAAGCUUAGCAUGAUUCCUAUUAUAUUACCAAAUAAUAAUGAAAAAUCAUCAUCUGAAAUUAAUAUGGAGACAAGAAGUAUGUAGAAGCAAUUUCUUGCUCUUUUUCUUCAACCAUGAUUCUUUAUUCUUCAAGACCAUGAUGUGAUAGUCCUUCAAUUCCUACUAGGUCUGAUCCUCUCUUCCAAAAGUGUGUGAAUUGACCUCAUGUUUUUGAUGAAUUUUGUAAUAUAAAUGUGUAUUAAGAGGCUAGAAAAAUAUCCGUAUUAUUUUGCCCGAAUUCUAUGUUUAUAGGAGCCGAAUUUUAGGUUGAGAUUGCGUCCAAUUAGUUCUAAAGAAGUUAAAAAUAGAAAAGAAAACUGCUGAUUCACCUGCUAGAAUAUGCCCAUGCAAACACAUGGCAAUCAUGCACCUAACAAACAAUUCAUCCUCAAGUAUGGGAACUGGGAAUCUCAGGCGCGUUUAUGCCUUUGAUUAGUCAUCAAUAAUUUUGUCAUAUCUUUCUCUUUCCAUAUCCAAUUGACGCAAUUCGAAAUGUGAUGGAAAACUAACUCAAAGGGAUACAAUAAUUAUGGAAGUAUCACGUUUUCAUUUCCAUCGGUUACUAUGUGAAAAAUGUGUCCCAUUCUGAGUAUAUGGAGCAUCACUUGUACAACUGAAAGAUGCAAUUGGUGAAAAAUAUAUUUUAAUAAUUCACUCCUAAUUGAAUCCAAUUGAUCGUAGGUGAUCUCCAAUCAUCAUUUUGUAGCCAAACCAACUAUUGGAUAAUUGCAAUUUUUCCCCGAACUUUGAAUUCUACAUUUUUCACCUUUUUUACUCAAAUGCUGAUUAAUACAAACAAGAUUAAUACAAAAUAAGUUAUAAUUGAUCAAAAUCACUAAUAAAUACUCCAAUUUAAUAGACUAGAUAAGUGUACAAAAUCACUUAUCACUUAGUAGCUUAUAAUGCACUUGCAUUUGGAGGCUUAUUUACCCAAAGGACGCAUUUGAUGAUCUUUACACAUGCUUGUCCAUGUAGAUGCAAUUUGUUUUACUACUCAUUUUAUGGUGGACGUCCUCAAUAAACUGCCACCCAACUCUAGCCCAUGCUGGUUGCACCGUGCAUUGGGAAACGAUGAUAUUGGACAUCACACACUUUAUGUAAAUCAAGCACUCAACUGGAGGUUUUGUGAUCACUUUUUAGGAGUUACAUUGUUUUUCCGCCAUCUAUGGUGGGGUCCAAAGAAUCAAGCAUUUGAUGUUUUUAAUCCAAAAUUGAAACUUGAUUGCCUAAGUAAUCAUUGCAUCUAGAAAGCAAGAAGUGAUGGUAUCUAUUUUCUUCGUGGGGAGGUAGAAACAAAACAAUAUGAUUGGCAAUAAAAUUCCCCAGUACUUUAAUUCUUAAUUUAAAAUUUUUAUAUCUUUUGAAUGUCAUGUUAAAACCCUUAUGAGUUACAUAAGUUACAUAAGUUAUAAUUGUCGAAUUCAACUUAGUCAUAUCGGUAAUUCAAGCGGUCGCCUAAGGUCCCUUAUUCAAGGAAGACCCUACAAAAAUUUAAAGAAAUUUCAUAUUUUCAUAUUUUAUUUAGUUUUUACUAAAUAAGAAUUAAAUUCCAAUAUUCAAGACUCUUUUACUUCUCUACUUUUUCCUUGUUCUUGAAAACUCGGGAUCAUAUAUUUAAAAUUCAUAACUAACAAACUCUUUAUUAUUACUACUUAUAUUUACAACAACUUAUCGAAGCAAUUGUCAAAAAGCAAUUUUAACCGAUUCGUGUAAGCCUAAUGCUACUAUCAUUUUCUUGGAAAUCAAUAAUUAUCAUUUACUAGCCUUUUCAUGCGUUCUAAUUGAAAACUAUUCAAGUGACUGAAUGUGCUAAAAUUUUUCAUAUUGGUUAGUAAAAAUCAUUUUCUUGUAUCAACUUUAAGGUAAAUAAAAAAAAAGACUUAUAUAAAAAGAGAGAACAAUUUUCAUUUCUGUAAUUACUUAAAUGCGUUAUUGCAAAAUUUCGAUAAUUUCAACUUUAAAGGCUUUUUUGGGCAAGUGUUGGUUCAUAGAUUUUCUUUCAUUUGAAUUUCAUGGAUAAUCGUGUUUGAUAAUUCUCGCUUAUGCUAAAUUUACGAGAUUAAAAAUAAAAUGUGGUGAUUUUACUAUUUUGAAUUUUUGGAUAGAAUUUAGUUUUCUUAGUGUUGAUCAAAUCAUCAAAUUAUAUAUCUAGAGCCUUCUAAUUAUUCUCAUGUGGUGGUUUUAGUAAUUAGUGAUAUUAUCAAAUCUUGUCUACCAUUAUAUUAUUUGAUGGAGUUCUACGAAAGCAUGUAUUCAUUAUUAUCCUAUUUACUCAAACAAUGUAAAACUAUUGAAAGUCUAUAUUUUAGAAAUUUUAUAAACAACCAAAUUUUAUGAAACUUUAUAUCUAUUAUCAAUUUAUCCAUGUCAAAACACCAAGAGUAAUAAUAAAUGUGGAACAUACCUCAAUCCAUUGCUUUAAAUCUUGAAUAUCGACUUGCAACCUUUUUAAUGUUGACUUCUUGCUCACUACAAAAAAAAAAAAAAAAAAAGUCUUUUGCAACUUUCGAACGUAUAUUGCAAAUCUCAAUGUUGUCGUAGAAUAGAAGGAUACAACAACUUUUUUGAAUGCUGGUAAUAAUAAUAUUGCAAUGUUUCUUGAAUGUUAGAAAUAACUUUUUUACAAAAAAAAAUAAAAAAAUUUCAUGGCUAAUUACAUUUUUGCAACGUUUUUUAAUGCUACAAAUAACCUUUUUGCAGCAUUUUUUUUUAGUGAUGCUAAUAACAUUUUUGAAGACGUUGCGAAUAACUUUUUUGCAUCGCUUUUUUAAGUAUUGUGAAUAACAUUUUUGCAACAUUUUUUCAGUGUUUCCAAUAACCUUUUGACAACAUUUUUUGCCUGUUGUCUAUGAUUACAUUCUUGUUUUUUACAGUUUACCAUUGCGUAGGUUAUUUUACAUUUUUCUUAAUUUGUAGAGCAAUUUAUAUAAAUCAACCACAAAACCACAAAACAAAAUAGAAGAUAACAAUAUCAAAUAACUCUAAUAAUCAUUAUUAAUAUACUCCAAAAUGUAAAAGUAUGCACACAAAAUCAGAUCCGAAAUUCUGAAGUACCUAAAACACCAACACAUUUCCCCAAAAAAAAAAGAAGAAGAAGAAGAAAAAAGAAAUUCCACAAAUCCUGUUGUGUUCUUUCAAUAGUGUUCUUGCAUUCUAAAUGAGAUAGAACUUUUGUAAAAGAAAAAUCACAAUAAAGUUCAUACGAUCAAUUUGAUCAAACCCUACUCAUCUGACUUGUCUACUAUCUCCAUUUCCAAGUGUUUAACUACAACAAAAAGGGCUUUUUACGGCGGGCGGCCUGCACACCAUAUAAAGUAAUGCCGUAAAAAAGUGUCCAUUUUUACAACGUGCAAUUACACCUUUUACGAACACCGUUAUUAGUUAUACGAUUUUUUUAUGGUGUGCAGGCACAUGCCGUAAAUGUGAGUGUUUUACCCUUGCACACACCGUAAAUGCGAGAUUUUACUUUUAACGGUGGUGCAAUCACAGGCCGUGAAAGGUAACCCUGUUAGCGUUUACGGUGUGCUAAAUGUUAACUUAAUUUAGAAAAACUGUUUAUUUAUUUGAUUACUAGCACCUAUAAUAAUUACACAAAUCCAAUUCCAACUCAACUAAGAAGAAAAUUAAAAUGUUUUUCGGUACAAGCUAGCAUGAUAAACAAAAUUAAGCUAAUUAAUUAUUCUAAAUUUAGAUGAAAAAAUUAACCCAAACAUUUAUCAUAUAAAUAAAAUGUACCAAUUAAGUUCAACCAGCACAAAUAAGUUAUUUUACAAACAAAAGAAUGAUUUCCAACCACAUGAGAACUUGAUUGAUAACUAAUGGCUUCUUUCUCUAAAUAUCUCAAGCAUGGUUACGAUAAGACUCGGACUCUAUGAAGAAUGUCACAUUGUGGAGCUCGAUCUGGGUGAGACUUUCGCAAUGCUCAUUUGUGAGCUACCUGCACCUGUAAUUUCAUCAAAUGUCAGUGAUCAAGUUCCACUCACUAGUAAUCAAUGGAUAGUUAAAAGUGUUAAGGCCCACAAAAGUAGGAAUGCUAGGAGGACCUAAAUUGUAACAUUAUUUGCCUAAUGAAUUGUGAAAUUAAAAUAGAAAAGAAGUUAAGCAUACCAUCGUUGUGAUUAUAGCAAAUCCACUUCGAUGUACCUAAUUAGCCAUGCUAUUGUACUUCCUAAUGCAUCUUCAAGAAGAAAAAGCUCAUGUGUAAGAUGAUAUAAGCUGACAUUAUCAAUCACUUCAUUAACCCAAAUUCUCCAACAUUCAUUACCAAGUGGUACAUAAUGCACUAAAUCACUUGGAUUUGUUGAUGCGAUUUCACCUUUUGCAACACAAUCAGCUUUCCCAUACCAAGAUAACAAUUUGCAUUUCCUAUUUUGAAGGUCAUUUGAACCAUUCAAAGUUCUAUCCCUAGUCUAUAAAAUUCAUAUCCAAUUGUACAAUUUAUUAUUUUGAAUACAGAAAUUAUAUUUAAUUUAGAAUAACAUUCAUUAAUUCUAGUUUUCCACUUACAUUAUCUUCUUAUUCAGCACUCUUACUCUUCAUUUGAAACAAAGCUUUUAAUUCUUUAGUUUCAUCUCUCAACUCUUGGACUUGAGUUUGGAAGUUAUGAUUGUGGACCAAAGCAUUCAACUUUGAAGGAGUUGCACCGAAACCAAGGCCUCUUACCGGUCCUCGAUUCGGGACCAAGUACUCUAGCAACACCAUCGUCUUUAAGGGAGUGUUGGCUUGGGGAGGUAACCGCCUCUGAACAUGCUUUUAUUUUGUUCUAAGACGAGAAAAUAAGUUAAUGGGCAAAAAUUAUAAAUAUAAACUUAGAAUGACCAAAAAUCACUAAAAGCAAUAUUAUUACCAAUGUUUCCCAAUUGAUUCAUCAAUAGGUUCACCAUUUUUUCGCAUAUGUCCUCGAAUAUAAACAUCAUCUCUCGUUAUGGAAUUUGUGUCUUCUCUUUCAGCACACAGCAUUUUACUUAUUUCAUAUAUGUAAUAGCAUAAAUGUUUAUAAUAUGUCAAGCAAAUUUAACAAAUUUUUACCAUUUCAACUUCUAAACGAGCAAAGCCCUUUCUACCUAUUGAAUUCAUUAGGGUUUGACCUACUCUCAUCUUUCUGAAUCUUUCACUCUUUUCCUACAACAUCAAUUAGUAUUUUGUAAGCAUAACUUUUAUUAGGAAUAUAGAGCAAAUGUAGUAAGCAAUUUAGGAAAAAGUAAAGAAAGCUUACCUUAUAUCAUUGAGAAUUGCGUUCUUUCGACAAAUGCUUGCAUUCUUUCAUCGAUUCAACAUUAUCGGGCUCGAGGAAAGCAGCAGCUCGUGUCAUGCUAAUUGUUUUUUCUCUGUCAUUGUUUGCUUGAAGCACAUUAGAUCGAUGAUCUCGCCAAUUCUUUCCAAUUUUUGCGUGAUGUAUUUUCUAUGACAAGUAUCAACGUCAAACUUUUGCUGCAUCAAAGCAUACAAUAUUGAUAGUAAUUUAAAUUAUAUUAUAUAAGAGACGUAAAGUUUAUAGUAUGUGCACAUGCUCCCAUAUGUCAUCAAAAAAAAUUUUGCGGAUAUCUUUCCAAUUUUUCCAUAUAAUUGGUAUAAGUUCUCUGGCUGUGGUCCCAAGAAAUGAUGAUAACUUAGUUGAACCUUUAUAAAUUGGCUGCCCUCUUUCAUUAAACUCUACUGAUAACUUCACGUCGUUUCGCUUGUUGAAAUAAUUCAAUUUUGCUCGAGCCCUUCCCUUCUUUCCUUUUUCAGUAGCACUAACACUAUUAGGGAACAGUUCUACAUCAUGUUGCACAUCAUUUACUUGUAUGUUUGGAACAGAAUUAGAACCUCAUUAUGAUAUUCUUAUCCCUUCAUUAUCUUCUCUUGUAGCCGCAACAUUUAAAGCUUUUUUAGCUUGUUUUGACUUCUUAUAGCCUUGAUUAGAUGACUAUAUUAAACAAAUAAGAAAAACAAAAAAUAUUUUACUUGAAUUUACUAAUAAAAAUUAUUAUAUAUACCAUCUAGGAACUUACUUCACCAGGAUAUGUCAUAUUAUUCCACUCGUGUAAACAUCAGCAUCAACAAAACUCAGCUUUCAUCUUUUGCAUCUAUAGAAAUAAAGCAAGAAAUAAUGGAAUUAGAGACAAUAAUGACAUUAACAUCAAUAUAAUAUCACAUAACUAGUAAAUUAAGUGCUUGUUUGGUAGGGAUUUUGUUAAUUGAUUUUGUGACCAUUAAAGAUAAAGUAUGUCCUACUUGUGAGAGAAGCUUUAAGGAAGCUGUUAAUUGUGAAAAAAAAUAAAAAAAAAUAAUAAUAAGAGUUAAAUACACAGCCAGAUCCUGCAAUGAAGAUGUCAAAUUUAUUGCAGGAUGUGAACUCAUGCAUACCUGGUGCAAAUAUUGGCAACCCAAUUUCAAGGUGCAGCCAUGUGAACAACGAAGCUAAUCUUAGGCUUUAAGUGCAUUGCAUAUGCUAAAACAAUUUCACACGAGUCACAGAUGAAUCAUCAAUACCACAAUUUCUACCAAGUACUAACCAUAGGUAAUGCUAAUAAGCAUGAAAUUUUGGCACACCACAAGUUUUUAUAUAUAAUUAAAAUAAUGGAACGGAUUAAAAAACCGAUGCAAUUGACUGAUAAACUUAUAUUCAAAAACAACUUCAUACUUAUCUGCUUUUCUAUUGCAAGAAAUUGAAAAAGUAUAUCACAAAAUUUAAGAUUAUUACUUAUAUUAUCUACACAAUUUAUAAAUAAAUAGGAUUCAUGGGCAUACCUUGACGACGGCUUGAAGAAGAACUCAAAAUUUUUAGUAGAUUCAUGGGCAAACGGUGGGAUUGCAACCACAGUAUUUACCAGAAAAAUUGAGGUUAAACAAACUGGAAUUAGUUUUCGCAACCACCAAUCGAUGAAGUUGAAGUGGCAAAGAGGGAAGAAAAUUUUGGUGAAAAAUCUUUGGAGGCAACAGUUUAGGAAAGGAAUUGCGUGGGUACGUGGGUUUUACAUUUAUUUUUUCUCUUUUUCCUUUCAACUAUAUACAAAUGAAAAUCAGAUUGAUUUUUUAUUUUUUUUUUGCUAAUUAUUAGCCUACAAACAAGUUAAAUAUUUUUGUCACUAAAAGAUAUAUCUUGUCAGGAAAAAAUAUACAUUUUUGUGGGCACAAGUCUUCCCACUAAAAAAAAAAUUGAAGCAAAUCAUAGCCAUACGAGAUUUUUUUUUGUGGGGAAAAGUGAUCUCUGUAGACAAAUUUGCAUUUGUCUCCCAAAAUUUUGUAGGAUAAGUAUAAAUUUCUUGUAUUGAUUAUUUCCUUUCUAUAAAAGAUGGUACCCAGGCAUAAGAUGAACUGAUUUUACUUCGUCAAUGGUUAGAAAGUAGUAAGGUUAGACUUUCUAAUGCAGAGUCUGCAGUUGAUGAAAGGAAGGUUUAUGAAGCCAAAAUUUUUGAGGAAUCUAUGCAAGAAGGGAAAAAUAUUAUCAGAAAAUUUCAUCCUAAAUGGAACAUGGAUUUUUCAGAGGUUCAUGUGGAGGAUGCCAGCGAUACCUAUUCUUUCAAAAUUCCUCUGCCAGCCUAUAUUGCUAUCUAUGUUUUCGUCCAUUCCAUUGAGCCUUUUCAGCUUGUGGAUCCUUAUAAUAUUCCCCUAUGUCAAGUCGCUGCUAUAGCUGAGCUAGCUGACGCUUAUAGAGAUUGAUGACUUUUUUAGCCUCUUAUCUAAUUUGAAGAAAUGUAUUUAGCAUCCUUGGGUCCUCUAUAUUGUGUUUACUCUUUCUGAUAUAUACACGAGUUCGUAUUACAUUAUUUACUUGCUUUGAUGACGCAUUUUGGUAUCGCUUUGCUUGUUUAUUCAUUUUGACUAACCAUCCUAUUUUGCAUAUUUGAAAUUAAUUUUGUAACUCGUAAAAUAUCAACCAUACAAUGUUUUAUUUAUGUAUCAAACAUGUCAUUGAAACAAAGAAUCACAGUUUUUAUUCAAAAGUACUUUUUCUAUGUAGCUACACUUUAACUUUUUCAUCACGAUGAUUUGUAACUAAAGACAGCCAUAAGCUUGUGACGUAGCGGAAAUAUUAUAGGGAAGAUGAACAAUCACAAAUUGAGAAAACUCUCAAGGAAGAUUUUAUUGAAUUCAGGAACUACUGCCUCUAAGGGCUUACAACUAAUUAAAUAGAAAAAAACCUAGGAAAAUCCGGAAAAUAAAAUAAUAUAAAAGAUAUUUUUUUCCAAAAAUGGAAAAUAUGAGAUAAUUACUAAGAUGGAAAAUACUUAUCUUCGGGAUCAUCCUCCAACAAACGGAAUCUAAAUCCGAAUUUCAGGGAAAGAGAUUGCAAAAAUGAAAAUUACCAUAAAUAGCAAAAACGAUUAAACGAGGGCCUAAACGAUGGAUUUUGCCCGAAAUUGGUCUUGCGUCAGGGCCAAAGGCACUGUGUUUUAUUCCUUGGCUCGGCUCCAAUCAAGUUAGACUAGUGAUUCGCCAAAAACGAGCAAACCCAAAGUCAUCAUGAAAUCAUUUGCUCCUUUUGCCAACUUUUGCCUUGUGAUGGUCCCAUUUUACCAUGAACUCUAAUCCCUUGUGCACUUCAUCAGCUUUCCUUUACACAUUGUGAUUGUUAUGGAUGAAAUUUAUUCCUACUUUCUUUGACGGAGUAAUUCUCGUCUUUUCACCAUUUUGCUGGUAGGAUGGCCCUCGCCUUUAAAUAUAGCCUUGUUGGUAGAUAGAGUCUAGCUUCAAGCAUAGUUCUUUCACAGAAAGAUUCUUGCCCUCAAUGAUAGAAAUAAUGGCGGGAUUAGCCUUACUAGUAAUCUGAGUUUUGCAGUAGGCAAAAUGAGGAUCGCCUUUCAAUUUUUUGCUCAAAAAAUUCCUGAGACCAUGUUUCAUGCCCAGCUUUGAUUUCGCCAACUUCUCAAUCUUGCUUCUACCAGUAGAUGGAAAACUAUCUUUACUGGUAAAUAGAUUUUUCAACCCAACUUUUUCACAGCAUCGGAUGUUUCCUUUCCUAGUAGAGGUUUUUUGAGCACGUUUCUUUCAAUUGUUAAGGUAGUAUUGAUUCGUAGAGCCCUUGGGCCUACUACUCUUUAGGGUUUGAGGUAGCACUUUUGCAUGGCUGAUUGAUCUCCUCUGACCAUGACUAUUCCUUUCAAAUUUCAAAAAUGGAUGGUGGACAGAGAAUGCAGCUUUUGCUAUUUCAAGGGGGGGCCUUCUAAAGAUCCUAUACACCCAUUGUAUGUAGACUUGCUUUCCAUAAAUAGGAUGUUUGUUCGCUAAAAUCCUACACCGCAAAUGCACGGGUCACGUUCAAGUAAUAAAGUGGACCUUUUGAGUCCAAGUAUCGUCCCACGGAGAUUGUAUUAGUUUAAAUUUAAAUUAUCUACGCCUUAACCGAAACAAUAGAAAUUUUCCGCUAACUAAAUUAUAAUUUAAUAACCUACUUAUAAAUAUAAAGUCUAAAUUAACUAAAUUAAAUGCGUGAUUAUAACUAAAUGCAAGUUUUAUAAAAAUAUGAUAACGAAAUGCAUACUAGGAUCCCGAAUCCCCUGAUAUCAAUCCCCUUUAAUCCAAAUUUUAUAAAGUUGACAACACGAUUCAAUUAUGAAGACCAAUAUUCCUAAUUUGUUUAACAAUCUCUCUCAAGUAGAAUUAAACCUAUUUUCACAUGCGAUCUGACUAUAUUUCUAUGACGGAUGCGAACAUAUAAAAAUGCAUUAAAGAUUUAUGAAUACUUAAAGAUUACAUAAAGCAUAGUGGUAUAUUUCUAAAAAUGCAUUAAAGAUUUAUGAAUACUUAAAGAUUACAUAAAGCAUAGUGGUAUAUUUCUAUCCCCUAUCGGACUUUACGACAAUUAACAUAAUGUCUAACUUAUUUUCUAUCUCUCGAGAGUAAAACAAGCCACAAGUCUCAUACAAAUAUUGCGCCUAUAAUUGUAGAGAACAUAAAAUUCAUGCCAAUCAUUCAAUAAUUAAAAACAUGUUUUAACGUCAAAUAAAUAAAAUUCAAGAUUAAGGGUUCAUAAUAUAAGGUUCAUUGCAAAUCCUAGCAUGAAAAGAUCUAGCCUAACAUAACGGCAAAAUUAAAUAAAUAAAAGUGGAACGACAUCACCAAUAAUUGAUGGAACGUGAUUGACAUCAAGGUUCCUUCCAAGAGUAAUCUGAAAUUUUUUCCUUUAAGCCACUGCCUUUUCGUCCGUCUCCGUCUCGUGUUUUCUGUCCUCUAUCUAGUAUAUAUAUUAUUCCAAUUAGGCAAAGUGGACCUUUUGUAAUGCAAUACUAGAGUCCAAAGCUGCCGCCCACUUCAAUUGUUUUGUAUAUAAUAUAAUCAAUUCAGCUUCCAAAUUUAUUAAUUCCAGCCGCCGUCAACCUGCCGUUUUCUGCGUCUCUAAUCUCUUCCAAAUAUUGGCUUCUUGUGGGGUGUGUAUAUGUAUUUAAUUCAAACUUUGCAGCCCACCAAUUCACCGUCAGCUGCUGGCCGUCUUUAUGAAUUCAGCAAUUUCAAUCUGCCGUUUUCUGUGCAUCCAAUAAUAUAAAUUCAGCCCCCGGCACUCCCUUCAACCUGUCGUUUUCUCUCUGUGUUUAUGAAUUUUUUGUCUACCCCCCUCGGCUUUUCUCGGCUGCAAGUAUACAUAUACCUAAACAAAAAAAAGCCCUUAUUCUGCAUAAAAAUUAGAAGCCCAAGUCCAAUAAGUUUUGUGUACUCAAUUCUUUCGUGUAAUGCAAGUUAGUCCUUCUCUUCAUUUUCUCCUCAAUUUUGAUCCUCCAUCUUUUAUUCCGUGAGUUUUGUCCACAAACUCAAUGUAAUAGCCAAUUGAUUAUUUUCUUUUCCAAUUGCUUCAAAACGGGUCCAUAACUAAAAAUAAAACAAAAUUAACACAAGUUAGGUAAAAAUUGAUAAUUUGACGACAUAAAAACCGAAUUAUGUAGUCCGAUUAAGUGCAUAAAAUGCACUUAUCAAUGUUCAUGUAUCCGUCGAAUACAGUUGGGUCCUCACUUAUUUCAAUGGCUAAUUUAAUCUGUCCUCUAGGGAUCAAGGCAUCUCUACUAAAAACAUAAAGGGGUUAGACCAUGGGUAUCCUGGGAUGUUCAACCUGUAUUUGGUUUAAAGCUUCAAAAUAAUAUGUUAACAGAGCUCCCAUUAUCUACCAGCUUGCGGCUAAAUGCCGUUGCGAGCAAUAUAUAAUUAUGCAAUCAGUUAAAUCAAAAAAAUAAAGAAUUUACAGUUAAUUAAAUGUAACAUGAAAUUAGUCGAGCCCAAUCAAAUCACGAUGUCUCCAUAAGACUAUUUUGCUCCAUUUAGUGCUCAAAGUGACAAAUACUUGUUUUCCAUUACAGAACGAAUUAAUUGAUUUUUUAUUAUGAAUGGCUUGCUUUGAUGUUAGGACUUCUAGGUUUAAUAAAUAAGUUAAUGGUUAUGUGACAAAUAUGAGAUAACUUAAUAGUUAGUUUGAGCAAGUCUAAGUGUACACAGAUAGCUUGUAGUGAAACUUUACAAUGUUAAUUUUACUCUGCCAACACGUUUUGGAACUUAAAACUCUUCAGAAACUCAUACAUGUUUUAGAUACUAAAAAAAAGUUUUCAGUUUGUUAAUAAAUUCAGAAACAUUAAGGAAAUGUUUUGACCCAUUAUCGGAAACUAUAAUUUGAAGUUUCACUUCAUUGAGGGUUGUGCCGCAAGUUUCAACUAAGAACAAUUUAAUUUUUGGAUUCAACCAAAAUUUAAGUAGAUAACCAUCAUACUACAUCAGAUAAAUAUGUCUUCAGAGUUUCAUUAAUGUUAAACAACUUUAAAUUAAAAAUUGCACUUAUAAUGGAUAAAUAUAUAUAUAUUUUUAUCCAACACUUCCAUGGUAUUUCAUAUACUUUUUUUUUUUCACUAGAAUUUCUACCUAUCAUGUCGUUUGCAUUAUGUGUUUCCAUUUCAUAAGGUUUGGACAUUUUGAUGUUGUUGUCGUGGCCAUCGUUGGGUUUGAGUUUGAAAUGUAGGUGAAAUUCUUAAUUGAAUAUUGAUGGUCCACAAGAAUAACUUUGACAAUAUAUGUGUACACACCAUGAAGGGUCAAAAAAGGCUGCAAGUUUUCUAACUCUCUAUAUCUCUAGUUUCUUCGUGUGUAAAUUAUAUUUCCUCAAAAUAAAAAAAAAAUUCAUAAAUUUAUCGAUAAGUAUGCAAAUAAUAGAUAAGCCUUUGACGUGAUUCAAGAACAUCUGGACUAAUUGUAGUCAACAAAAUCAUAUAUCGAUGAGCGGUCUUACUUCCCCCAUGGAAUUUUUUUUUUGAUGAUUUAGUUAAAUUGAACUCGUAUUAAAAAUUCUCAUUGAAUCAGUUUCUAACUUUUUUUCUGAAAACUGCCAACAACAGUUUCUAGUGUACGGAUAAUAUAUACAUACAUUUAAAUAAUAACGCUUUUGAAUUAAAUAGAACACUUCAGUGCGACCACAUUCCAAGCACUAAUAAUUUAGGCAUUUUAAGUCUUCAUUUGUCUCCCUUUAACAAUAGUAAAGUUGAUAUCUUUACCGUCCUCCUAAUCUGUGGUAAACUUCUAAUUCCUUGUCCUUUAUAAUUUUUCUUCUAUACAUGUAUUAUUGUGCUAAAUUAUUCUUUCUCAACCUUUUCUUUAUGUGGUAUUUGUUUUGACACAAUGUCAAACUUAUAUUUCCUUCUAUAUCUGGGCAUUUUACCUGCCUAAUCGUGGAACCAGCCCGAAAGGAACCCCCUCCGUUUUCCUUAGGUCAAUUUUUGUGGCUUGAUUUGUUGAUUUUUAGGUUGGCUUUGAUCCAACACAGAAAAUCUCGUUUCGGUAUUUGGGGGUUUUUUUUUUUUUUUUUUGGAAAAUAAAAAUUCAAGUAUAUUUUACCCUUGAAAAUAAACCGACUUGGAUUGUUUUGGAUUUUCUUUUAACUAAUGUCAUAUUAGUUUGAGUUGAGGUUUCACCCAACCUCAAUGGUCUGGUGCAUGGCGUACUCAACCUUAGCUUCAAGUAUUUCUACUUGAUUACUCUCUUCUCAUUUUGCAGGUGAUUUCUGUAACAGGCUUGUUUUUCUGGGGAAAUAAUGUGGAAUAUGCUGAAGCCAAAACCAAAGUUUGCACAUUAGAGUGCCUAAACAAGCUUCAUCCGAUGUGUACAAGCUGUUGCAGAGCAAAGAAAGGUUGCAAACUUUACAGAUCUGAUGGAACCCUAACUUUGUAGUGGAACCUAAACGGAGAGAUAAAAUCUUGAACAAACUGUGUGUGUUUGUGGAAUAAAAGUCAAAUAAAUUCAAGAAACUUGUACGUUGUUUCUUGAGAAAUGAAAAAAAGAUUCAGGUUUAGUUACAUGUGUCUACAUUUUUUCUAUGAAUACAUUAUCAUUUAUU